RNAcentral lists this long non-coding RNA (175690 nucleotides) under Triticum aestivum (bread wheat). Its description in RNAcentral is "long non-coding RNA (TAES_LNC014134)". The record is from RNAcentral. Lineage: Eukaryota; Viridiplantae; Streptophyta; Magnoliopsida; Poales; Poaceae.
CUGAAACAUGUCAUUUAAUGACAUUAAUUGGAUAAGGAUAGCCCCCACAAAGGAUAAGGAUAACCUUGAUCCCACCACAUCUAUAUAAGGUGACUGAAUUGUACCCGCCAUGGCCACAAAAACAUAUUGGUCGGCAGACUAUUGCAUAACUAUAUAUUUCUGUUAUUUUGUGUUCCUAGGCAAUGGCGAAAAAUGGCAUCUUCCAAGUGAUCAUUGUUUUUCUCAUGGCGCAAGUAUGCUUGCUCAUGAUGAUGGCAACACCGGUAGCACAUGCAACUGCUAGACCGGUGGGGUACAAUCCAGUGUGUUGCCCUAGGAACAUCUAUUGUUGCGGGUUUGGUAGCCGAUUGGCCAAUUCACCCGCACCAUCCAUUGUAUCUUGAUGUGUGGUUUUAUUCUCCCUCAAGGAGUAAGCUCGACAUAUAAAUGAUAUAUGUGGUUCAUGUGUUACCUAAUCCUGAAUAUUUGGGAUGCUACUAUCAAGAAGGUAUUGUACUAGUUACUUACAUAAUAAAAUGGGAGGAGAUUAUUAUAUAUCUUGUUCGGAACAUACUGCAAAGAGAUUUAAGCUUAUUUAUACUUUAGUCCUUUUGGAAGCUAGAUUAUUUGGCCGCUUUGAUUUAAGACUAAAAAAAAUGAGUGGUGUGGCAUGCACGUUAACCUCAUGAGUCUGUAGUGCCUGCCAUUUGGAAUCUCUGUUUUGUCAUUAUGUUGGUCUACACUGUCGAGGUCGUCCGUGUCGUGGCGACAUGCUUUAUUUUUCAAUGAAAACAUAAUUUUAAAGCAUUUAUUGGGUAAUAGAGUAUAUCAGCAAUUAGUAGAAACCAACUACUGUUGGGCAGCCUUGUUUGUGAAUUCAGGGAUGCACACUCUGUUUCUUUUUGCAAGAAUGCCAAGGCCAUAUAUUAAAAUUGUCCAAACCUUACAACACCAUCCUUACAAAAGCAGAAAAUAAACACACAUAUCCUGGUGUAUAUGAACAACGUCUUUCUCCCGCACUCACAUCCCGUGAGCAAAACUCGAUGUCGCAUUUCAAUCUCUAGAACACCCUCAGAACUAGGGUAAAUCAUUCUCUAUGUGUUUCCAAGUGAGUGCUCGAUUCCUCAAAAAAAAAACAAUAAAAAAGCGUAUAUGAAUACAGCUCUUUGGUCUUUGAUGGAGCAUGAAAGGAUUGUUUGUUGUCGAUCCUAUAUGUGUAAUCUAUCUAUCUAUUACUAUGCUAACUAGAGAUUACUUAGAAACUCCCACGAUUAGUUAGAAUUAUGAACUGUUCAUCUGGUGCGACCGUGUUUGGCAUAGGAUUUGGUCGAGGACCCGGAAAGGGAAAUCGAUGGAAAAUGAAAUGAAGGCAAAUGACCCAUAGAGAAAGAGAAGUGAAGGCCAUGUGAGGAGCUACUCACUAAGAGCAGGCGGAUUUGACAUUAGAUACCGUUUUUUAUUGAGAGAAGUUCAUAUUUCAACCCUCAAGUAACCACAAAGUUUAAAACUCAACCCUAAACUUCAAAACCGGUUGAUACACACCCCAAACUAACAAUACAGUGCAAAAAUCAACCCUGGUCCCGGUUUUGACUUAGUAAAGAGGUUUUGACCACAUUGACCGCUGACCUCUUGUUACUGUUGCGUGUGCACACGGUGCUGACCUGGACCACAUGUCCGCUGCACACACACUAUCUCAAGAAUCCAAAGGGUUACUCUCUCACAAGGAUCUUUACUCAAAAAAUAUCUCAAGAAUCCAAAGGGUCACUCACUCCUAGAACACGGCAGCACCGAGUGAGCACCGCGGCAUCCAGCAAGCAUGACAGCAUGCCAGAACACACAAACAUAUCGUGCGCGCCCGGCGGCGAGCUCACCUCCGUGCGCCUCGACGGCACGCACGCACACCCCCACGGCCGCGUACACCAGCACACAAACACGCACACCUCCGGACGGAAACCUGGACGCGGGAGAGCUCGCUACGAGCCGCGAGCAAGAUGUUGGUAGGAGGGAGGAAAGUCACCGCGAGCCGGCGCCUCACAACGCUCGGUGCUCUGUGCCGCUCUAUUGCUGCAUCCAACUCCGGCGAGCAAUUGCUGCCGACAGUCCGGGGUGGCUUUGCUGCGUGGCCGUGGGAGGGGCGUCGCGUGAUGGUCGGCGGGGAGUGGUCGGGGCAGGGGCGCCACGCGAGCUCGGGGCGGCAGCAGCAGCAAGACAGACUCUACUCCGGUACCAUGGUCGACACAGGGAGAGAGGGGAAGGAGAUAGACGUUUUGUUUUCUUUUUAUUUUUUGGGUGGUUAGUCAGCGGUCAAUAUGGUCAAAACCACUUUACUAAGUCAAAACCGGUACCAGGGUUGAUUUUUGCACAGUAUUGUUAGUUUGGGGUGUGUGUCAACCGGUUUUGAAGUUUGGGGUUGAGUUUUAAACUUUGUGGUUACUUGAGGGUUGAAAGGUGGACUUCUCUCUUUUUUAUUACAUACCGCCUCCAAGGAAAAUAUAAAGGAGAACCUGGAUACCAGCGCAUUCUAUAUACAAAAAAAUUAGUAAUUCAAAAAAAGUCCAAAAAAUUCCUUUUUUUUGGUAUUAAACAUGAUCAAGUAUUGUAGUCGUAUAAAAAGAUUCGUUAGAGAAUGACUUUCAUUGCACCCUGGGUCGAAGAUUCGGCAAAAAUCGCUAUAUACAAAUACUAUACACGCUAUAUUGUUGUCCCAAACUUGUCUUUUUUGCCGUGAAGUCAAUAUGAAUCAUUUCUUGUCCAAAAUUUUUAUACGAGUACAAUACCUCAUCAUGUUUGAUUCCAAAAAAGAUUUGAAUUUUUUUGAAUUACUAUUUUUUUUUCUGCAUAUAGGGUGCGCCGGUACCCGAGUGCACCAAGUUCGCGUCCCCGCCUCCAGUACUUACAGUAGGCGGUUAUGUUGUUCUAACCGUCUCCGUUGUGUGCAUAUUACAGCCGACUACAUCCCAUUUUAUCACCACCGGUGUUGGUUUCGUGCAUCAACUUAUGAUGAUUGCUUUGUUCAUGCUCGCCUUCGGUGAAGUCCGAGUCGAUUGUCGGCGUCCUGGGAACGGGGGUAUCCGACUUGCCUUCCUGUGGCCUAGGGCGUGGCUCCACCAGCGGCCUGGUACGACCCAUCUUCAUCAAUAACCACUCAAGACCCUCGCGAGGGGCCAAACCUCGCGAGGCGGACGACACAAGACCUCCUCAGAGGCCGCCUCCCUAGGCUAACUCGUGAGGAGCAGAGAGAUCAAGGCGAGGGGCACAUCGUGAGGUUUGCGUGACGUGAGCCAUGACGACCGAGGCCAGGCAGGCGCCAGCGGGCGCAGAGUACAAGUUGCCUCUUUGGUGCUAAAGGGGCAAGCGCAGACGAGGAGUCCCGAGGCAUCAGGCAAAGGUUUUCAAAUUGGUGCAACAAGACCAAGACCAGCAGGACGGCACGAUGGAGGUCUUCACGGAGCCCACGACGGGGUCACCACGAGAGUCUUUGGCAGGCGAAGACCACCUUUUGUCAGGAUAGCUUGUACUAGUUGUCUCCUUUCAAAUUGGCCGUUGUGGGAUCCAUUCCCGCCUAAUAUUUGAGGAGAGGACCCGGGCUUCUAUAUAUAGGACUAGCAACCACCGGAGCUAGAGGAAGGAUCCAAUCUUGAGAUCAUCCAAUCUAGAGAGGAACCAGACCAUCCACACAUACACACACACACACACAAGCUCACUGAGUUCAGGAACACCUCUCCUUAGGAGGCUGUUCUUCCCUUGUACUUGUUCAUCCCCAGCCUAUAAGGCAAUCCACCACACCACACUAGAGGAGGGUAUUACACUGCAACGGUGGCCCGUACCAGUAUAAACUCUUGUGUCUCCUGUAUCUCUUGUUCCUCCGGUUCGGCGAGCUAGACUUUGAGAUCGUAGUGAGAGUGUGAGCUAGGGGGAAAGAGAUCGUCAUGCGCACCCUAGUGUUCGAACCUCAAGGGUUUUGCCGGAACCUGUAAUCCGACAUUUGGCUCGCUAGGUAGGGGUGAGCUGAAACUUUUCUUUCAUCGAUCCGCGUUCCACUGCUCCAUCGCAUCCAUGUGUGACGCUCGCCGAGCCCGUGCCGAGCGCCGCGGCGCCCUCGCCGUCCGCGUCGCUCAGACGACGCCCAUUGGCGGACCUCCCAGCCGUUCUCCAUCACCCGCUGCCAACGCCGCCACCGGCCCGGCAGCGAACGAGCAGCAAGCAUCAUCGCUGCACCCCUGUGUGGCGGGAUGGCCGCACCGCCUCCCCGUCGCUGACUCCGGCCGGCUCGUCAUCCCACGCUCGUCGCGCGCCCACGGACACGCAGGCCGCGCUGCUCAUGGCACGUGAGCUCCUGCGUUACCUCCUGGACGAUGACCUUUACGAGGACUGGCUGGACCGCAUCGCCGAGCUCGUCAGCGCCGCUGGGGGCUCUCCUACACCACCCCUCUAGCUGCCUCGACCUUCCCCCAGCCGCGGGCGAUGUAGCUCACGGAGCGCCUCCGCCGCCUCCGCAUCAAGACGGCGCCCUCGUGCCGAGACGCGCGGCUCACAGAGCGCCCCCGCCUCCUCCGCAUCAAGACGCUGUCCUCGCCCCAAGACGUGCGGUCCCGCGGCGUGAUCCGCCAUGCCGUGUGCCUGCGCACGAAGAAGGAAGCUGCCAGGAGGUCCCUCGACCGCAAGAAAACGCUCCUACACACCCCGCACCAACACGUCAAGACCGCGCGCCGCCUGCGGUGGCGGUGCGUGGGUACCAAGAUCAAGCUCCGCCCCACGACGGGCCCCGGUGGCCACAGCUGGCUGCCGUGCCUUCACUCCAGAGCUGUGUAGCGUAGUCUGGCCAGACAAGUUCAAACCAGACCUACCUCCACGCUAUGAUGGCACCCCUGACCCCGCGGAGUUCUUAUAGCUCUACGAGUUGAGCUCCGAGGCGGCCAACAGAGAUGAGAAGGUCAUGGCGAACUGAUUUCCAAUGGCUCUCAAGGAUGGUGCUCGCUCGUGGCUCCUGAACCUGCCCGCGGGGUCAAUCUCCUCCUAGGGUGAGAUGCGCGACCGCUUCGUCGCCAACUUCCAGGGCACUCGUGAACGCCCACCGACCGCGGGUGACGUGCGGCGCAACAAGCAGCAACCAGGGGAAACCCUGCAAAAGUACAUCCAACGCUUCAACAGCGUCCGCCUCAAGAUCCCCAAGGUGACAGACGAGGCCAUCAUCUCCGUGUUCUCGGAUGCCGUCCGCGACGUCAAGAUGAAGGAGGAGCUCGCCAUCCAUGAGGAACUAUGCUCGGCCCUAGAGAUGUUCAACGUGGCGACCAAGUGCGCAAGAGUUGAGGAGGGGCGCCUCUUCAUCCUUGAGCUCCCUGCUGCCGACCCAGAAGAGAAAAAAGCCAAGGCCAAGGACGUGAAGCGCAAGGGAGUAGCCGUGCUCGCGGCGGAGCCGGACACGAAGCGCAGUCGGGACCAUCCCGAGUCGUCUAAGAGCAGCCGUUCGUUCUGUGCCUUCCACAACGUACACAGCCACAUCACCAACGACUGCCAAGAGUUCAGGGCCAUUUGAGAUGGACGCUUCGGUCGGUGCCCCGAGCGCAGCAACCGGGGCUACGACCGAGGACGAGGACGAAGUGGGGGACGUUGGGACGACCGCGGCCCCCAUCAGGAAUGGUGCGACCGGCCUCGCGAGGACCAGUAGCAGGACCAGCCUCGCGAGAACCGUCCUCAGGGCAAUGCUAGCCUCCCUCCGCCACCGCCACCACCAAGGAGGAACGACGACCACCAUCAGGACGAGGGGGCUAGGGGCUUCCAGGAGCCAUGCGCUAUCGCCUGCAUCUUGGGCGGUGCUCAGGCCCCAGCUUCCCAACACAUCUUCAAGUCUGUACCUAAUAUUAAAGGACGGAGACUUUCAUAGUUCUCCAUACGCUAUAUGUAAUUGAAUUGCGUUUUUACGUAAGUGGGCAAUCAGUUUUGUUUCAGGAGGAAGCGCUAUUGGGCUAGGCCUGCUGCAAUUUUCUUUCCCAAUGAUGGAGGAGCAGCCAAAAAUAUAUGCCCGUCAGGUAUUCGAACUCCAGACUCCCACCUUGGGAAUCGACCGAGGCAGCCAACUGAACCACGUAAUGAUUUCUAUUAGGAAAAAAUGUCGUUGCCCUAUCAAUAGUCCCACCUCGCUCCUUUCCAGCAAAUUUCACCAAUUUUUAUAUGUUUCUGAGUUGAAACCAAUAAGCCGCCUAAACAAUCAAGGUGAGGAGCGCAGGAAUGAAAGGAACUACAAGAAAAAUCUUGCUGCCCAUAGUUACGAAGGCAAGGAAUAAUCCUGGUUGCAUUACGAACCGGGACUAAUGUGAGCAUUAGUCCCGGUUCAAGCGGCGAGGACACCAUACAGGCAUUAGUCCCGGUUUAAAUGGGACCUUUAGUCCCGGUCCGUUUCAAAUCCUUCGAGAGGUAGUUAUGUUACUACAUCUACUAGUUAGGAAAAUUUAAAAACUUAAAUUUGGACAUGUUUUGCAAAAAAUGUAGGGAAAAUGUAAAACGGCUAUAACUUUUGCAUACGAUGUCGGAAAAAACGUAUAAUAUAUCAAAAUGUUCGGAACGAAAAUCUGCAUCUGAUGGAGAUGGCCUAUGGCCUAUUUGCAAAUUUUUAGAAUCCUCAAAUUUUAAAAGGAAAAAAAGUUAUGCUCAAAUUUCAGUUUUUUUGAAUUUUUAUUAAAUCUGGUCAAACUAUGGUCAAACUACUUAUUCAAGAAUAUUAGUGUUACUAAAUAAUUAUUCAAGAAUAUUAGUGUUACUAAAUAAUUAUUUCAGUUUUUUUAAAUUGUGGUCAAACUGUGGUCAAACUACUUAUUCAAGAAAUAUUAGUGUUACUAAAUAAUUAUUGAUUUUUGGAACAAUAGUUUCAAACUCAGACAGUGAAAUGUGUGACUUCAUGCUCAAGCUAAAUUCCUGAGGGUUAAUAGGAUUGCCAUCUUACUAUUGUCAGGAAAACAACAAGUGCAGACCUGGAAACGAGGGAUAAUAGAACCCGAAAGUUAAGCGUGCUCAGGCUGGAGUAGUGAGAGGAUGGGUGACCGUUCGGGAAGUUAGAUGAUUUGGAAUGAUGAGGGGUGAUUAGAGAUUAAAGGUUAAAUUGAGCAGUGAUGAGGGAUGAUUAGAGAUUAGAGGUUAAAAUAAUUCAUAAAUUUGAAAUUCAAAAAAAAAAUUCAAAAAAAGUCAUAAAAUAUCCUUUAGUACUGGUUGGUGUUACCGACCGGGACUAAAGGUGGACCUCCGGGCAACGGCCACGUGGAGGGCCUUUAGUCCCGGUUCCAGUUAGAACCGGGACUAAAGGGGGAGGCUUUAGUACCGACCCUUUAGUCCCGGUUCCAGAACCGGGACUAAAGGCCCUUAUGAACCGGGACUAAAGGCCCUUUUUCUACUAGUGAGGGAGCAAACAGGUGCUCCCUAGCGUUCCCUGGCACACACCCUUUUAAAGGAAAGAUAUCUCCCCCGUCCAGAAAGAGGAUCAAAAUAGGAAAGUCCCAGUACCUGGUCCCUGCCCCGAUAAGUUCUCACGCAACAACAAACAACCCUCCCCCUCGUCAAUCACGUGCAAGAAAAAGGACGUGAGUUCGUGAGUUCCCUGCUUCUUCCCCUUUCCUCCACGCCCCGUCCUUCCAGAUCUCAAUCCAGAUGGAAGCUCCGUCUUGGCCCUGUCUCCUUUUAUCACCAUGACCAUAAUGCUUUGAAGGUAACUAAUGGUUUUGGGGUAAGAACAUAACCUAAAUUCUUAAAAUAAAAGUGCAGAAAACAUAAAACACAGGCAAGGCACAUGCUUAGCAUUAGCAAGUCACAUUCAAAUGUCAAGCAAGUCCUACUAAAAAAAGACAACAAUUCUGGAAAGAAAUUAUGUGUAAUUCAUUGUGACUUUGCAAUCCAGACAAAAAACUUGUAUUGCGCAGUGUUGCCUUUGAAAACACAUUGUUCAAAAGAUUUUUGUUUGGAUAACAUGAAGACUAAAUGUUGUGUUGUUAUGAAUGCAUCAUUCCUCACUGUAUAUCAGGUUGCAUUUGUCUAGAAUAAGAAAUAUAGACAAGCAACAUUUGUGUGAUUUGGGGCAAAUUCAGUGGAAUCAACAGCGUAGGCUGCCCUGAUUUGUUAAUUAAAAAACACAACAAGUUGAUGGUUCAUGCUUUCAUAUGCUUAUUUGUAGUUGUGUAUGCAAAAACUACAAAAAAAAGUCAAAGUAAAAAAUCUCUGGGCAAGUCGCACCAGCUUCUCUAGCAACUAACUAUCAUGUGUUGGGCAUAUUUUUGGCGAAAUAAAACCCAGCGCUCUCGAGAGCGGAUCUUUGGGCAACUCAUGCCAGCAUCUCUAGCAACUAACUAUCAUGCGUUGGGCAAGUUUUCGGACACUUUUGGCUCAAAUCAUCGAUGAUUCCAACCCCCACAUCGCAGGAGUGGUUGGGCAACUCAUGCCAUCAUCUCUGGCAACUCAUUAUCAUGCGGUGGGCAAGUUUUGGAUGCUUUCGGCUCAAAUCAUCAACGAUUCCAGCCACCGCAUCCCCAAGUCGUAAACCACCGCCGCGCUCGAAAUCAUCGAGUUGCCCAAAUAGCCGGGACCCCACACCCCCCUCUUCAACCUCCCUAUCUCUCCUCUAUCACAUAGAAUCCUAGAUUUGAGUAGAAGACAAAUGCUUAGGGGGGCGAUUUCGAGAUACUUACAGACGGUUUGUGGCCCAUUCCUCGACUAGUGGCGACAACACUUUCUCGGCUCUAGGUCCUCCCCGCUAGGUGGUCGCAGCGCAUGGAUGGCACUGCCAUCUUUGCUCUUCCUCUUGCCUCGCUUCCUGUUCGCCGGCACUCUGACACAUCUCUCCUCCCUCACCUUGCUAGUUGCCGCAGAUCCUAUGCCAAAAGAUAUUGAAAAUAUUAUAGGCAACUUUCUGACAUUAUUAGGCAAGUUAGUGUAGAAAACAUUGACUACAAGAAAGCAUAUUUUUGGCUAGAACUCAAUGGUCAAAAAGGUUAUAGAUUGUAAAUACACACAUACAUGAUGCAUGCUCACGGCUUCAUGAGCCUACAAAUCCAUUGGAUGGUUAAGGAAAGAAGAGAUACAAAGAAGAACACAAAAGAAUCACAAAGAUUCAUGAGUGUAUCACCACAUGACAAGAAAUUCCAUUGAUUUGUCUCCCUCCUAUACAUGUAUUUUAUCUCAUAAUAUAAUCAAGGCUGUAAUUAGUGUAGCAGCAGUAGCAAAUCGAGCGCUAGACCAAAUGAAAUGAACAUAGCUAAGAUUAGCAUGCAACGAUCAAUGCAUGUUAGAAAAAUAAAAGCAGCAAAGGACUGAAUUGUCUGAAUCAAGGACAUAGAUAUGCAACUAACUUCAGACCAUCUUUUACCAUGCGUACAGACAGAUAAAUCCACAUGGCACUUACCAGUAUGUGUCAGCAUCUCUCUCUAGCAAUAUGUAAGUAGCAAUCUAUAAGCACACACACGCNNNNNNNNNNNNNNNNNNNNNNNNNNNNNNNNNNNNNNNNNNNNNNNNNNNNNNNNNNNNNNNNNNNNNNNNNNNNNNNNNNNNNNNNNNNNNNNNNNNNNNNNNNNNNNNNNNNNNNNNNNNNNNNNNNNNNNNNNNNNNNNNNNNNNNNNNNNNNNNNNNNNNNNNNNNNNNNNNNNNNNNNNNNNNNNNNNNNNNNNNNNNNNNNNNNNNNNNGCAUGUUUCAAAUAUUCUGCACACCUCUGUUCUAUGUUCUUCAGUGGCAUUAGAUGGAUCGUCAUCAGGAUUAAAUGCAGGAGGGUCGCCCUAAAGGCCCUUUUUGCUUGUCCCAGCCAUUUUCUCCUGCUAUGUAUAAAGAGAAAGAACAUCAUCAUGCAGAAAAUUUGCCGCAAUUGUAACGGUAUAUUUCAGCCUAGUCCUGCAACAAACUCACACAUCAUAUCACUGAGGCAAAAAAGGAGCCAUAUCAGGCAAUUAACUGUCAAAAUGUUAAAAAACGUAUCAGGCAAUUAACUGUCAAAAUGUUAAAAAAACGUAUCAGGCAAACUCACACACCAUAUCAGGCAAAAACUAUAACAAACUGAAGCAAAACAGGAAGCCAUGACAGGCAACUAAAGUGUCGAAGUGAUUGUACAUUAACUGAAUUUUUCUCUGUUGCUAUAUGAAGUAGGACUUUAAGUAACAGAGCAAAUUUCAAAAACAAAAAAAUCUGAACAAAGCAAGCAUGUAAAGUACAAAAAAACUGAAACGUGUUAGGCAAACUAAACACAUCAGGCAAUUCAAAGAAAACGAUUGUCCGUUAAAGACUAUUUCCCUUAAUUUCCAUCACGCAAUUAUUUCCUCUAGAUUGGCAUUGUUCACACAUAUCAGGCAAAACUGAACCACAUCAUGCAAUUCAGAAAUUUUAAUUAUCCAUUAAACUGAAAGUAUUUCCCCUGCAGUGAAUUACUUCCUCUACAUUUGCAUUGUUCAAAUAGUGUAGUACUAACUGGAACAAAAUCUACUACAAAUUUGCGUGUGUGCAACUUCUGAAAACAUACAGGGCAAGCCAUUCACAAAACUAGAGCAAAAAGCAAAGAUGAAUCUGAAUCUCAAAAUCUACAACAACCAAUUCACCUGAACUAUCCCUGUAGUGAGCAUCCUAACCCAAAACACUCGUACAUAAUCUCAACUCCACAGCAGCCCCACCUGCCUUCAACCCCUACAUCCACUAGUAGCCAAUCCCCUUGCGCUUCGAAAUCCCAAUGUCGUCAACCAUAACGAGAGCUUCAUCAUCCGCCAUGUACUCGUCAAUUUGGAAACGGAAAAGCUGAAAAUCGAGACCAGAUGUGCUUACCAAAGGAUUGCAGGGAAGGAUUACUCGCCCUAUGCGCCAACGGCAUGUCGCUCGCGGCGGCCGGUCCUCCCCUUUCGCGCCUUGGCUACUGCUUCCCUUCCUCCGACCUGCUCCUUGCCGCAAGCCAGGCUACCCUCCGCUUCUCUUCUUCCAGAAAACGCCGCAUGCACCUGAUGGUCGCUCCACCUCCGGCGGAAAAUCGGCCGCGGAUUCGCCGAACUCGUCGACGCCCACAGGAUUGAACCUCGCCCGAUUUGGGGGAUUUGGGAUGGGAGUCAUGAGGAGAGAGCACUGAGGUUGCAGUUUCGAAACGAGCGUCGGUAGUGGGAGGGGGUGGACGAGACGAGGAGAAGUGGUGGGCCCCGGAACCGCCGCUCCCACCCAACGGGCCAUAGGCCGACCAGGUGCCACCUGCGCGCGCGACGCGAAUAGACAGCGCGGCGUCUGGUGUACGCGAUAACGAUCCGACGGCGCAGAGAGGUGUGCGCUCGAGGAUGCAAACGAGCACAGCUGCACUUUUUAGGAUUUAGAUAAAAUAAAUUAGAGCCUUCAUAUGUGGCAUGAAUGAGCUAGGAAGAAAUUUACAUGCGCCAUGGGCUAGAAAUUGACAUUAAUGAGCCAGGAAGGAAAUCGACUCUACAUGCGCCAUGAGCUAGGAAGAAAGGGAUUUCUACAUGCGCCAUGAGUUAGAAAGGAAACAAAAAAUUUCAUAUCAUUUAAUAUUCCUUUAAUUUUUAUAAGCAGCGCACACUGUACAUAUACAAGAAUCGUAUUUGUUAGCUUUCUCUGGCUCUAUGCAUGAAGAUAUUAGCAUAUGGGUGGUCGUUUGUUUCCUAUGCAAUUUUCAACAAACUGUAGUCUUAGAGUUUUGACCAACCUGGUAUCUGGUGUUAAUUUGAGUGUUGCAACAAUGACAUAAUAGCCAAAAAAAUUGACUUAGGAGUAAAUUUAUCAUAAUUGAUUGGUUCAGUUUUGUAUGUUCGAGUAAGUGGUUAGGCAAAUCGUUCGUCUAUUCCAUAGAAUUGAUUGGUUCGAAGCAUGGGUUUAAUCUUUAAUGUCGUGUUAAAAUAGAGGUUUUGAAUGUCCGGAGUGGGGAUUAUCAAUGCUAAUUGAUUUAUGGACCUUUGAUUUUUUUUUCUCUCUACCGUUGCAACACACGGCCAUAUUUGCUAUAAUUAUUCUAAUUUGGACAAUCCGAUGAAUGCUCGUGCUUGAGAAUUCUGGAAAGUUUUUUUAUCUCCCAAUUCUUACAGUUUGUAUUUUAGUAAGAGAAUACAGAGCUAUUUUUUCUCCCAUCAUAACACACGGACACAUUUGCUAUAAAGAUCAAAUAUUCUGUUUCAACCUAAUUCAUAAUAACAAAAACAUAUGAGAAAACAUAGAAUAUUGCAGUAUGGGUAGUGCCGAUGUUGAUAUGGUCGCAUUAUUUAUUGCAAUAAAUUGGAUCUGCUACUGUAGAUUAGACUUGAGUCUCGACAUCUGUACUCAUGUAGUAAUUGAUUGGCCUGUCCAUUGGUUUUUAGGUUUUUUAGUUUCUCCUCCUGUUGCCAUAAAAUACAAAGUUUUUCAGCAAAUCAAUGUACAUCAACCGUGUAUGUUUCAAUCUUUGUUUUUUUAAGUAUGUGAAUGCUUAUGUUUUUAUUGUUUGCGUAAAUCACAACACCAGCGUUAACCUAUUUUUUGUACGACGAGGAGGACAACCGGCAACACGGGUGAGUGACAUGUUGAAAUGGAGGACGUGUGCCUNNNNNNNNNNNNNNNNNNNNNNNNNNNNNNNNNNNNNNNNNNNNNNNNNNNNNNNNNNNNNNNNNNNNNNNNNNNNNNNNNNNNNNNNNNNNNNNNNNNNNNNNNNNNNNNNNNNNNNNNNNNNNNNNNNNNNNNNNNNNNNNNNNNNNNNNNNNNNNNNNNNNNNNNNNNNNNNNNNNNNNNNNNNNNNNNNNNNNNNNNNNNNNNNNNNNNNNNNNNNNNNNNNNNNNNNNNNNNNNNNNNNNNNNNNNNNNNNNNNNNNNNNNNNNNNNNNNNNNNNGUGACAUACAUUUCUUUUAAGAAAUUGUGUCAUACUUAUGAGGUCAGGAGUGUGUGAUGUUUUUCCCGUUGCAACGCACGGGCAUGUGUCCUAGUAGUUUUCUCAUGAGGUGAAUGCGGCCCUUCCCAGGCUCGAGGCCACGCACCCGCUCAGGUGGUCCAAGUGCGCCAUCACCUUCAGCUCGACAGACCAGCUCAAGUGCGCGGUGACCGCCGGCGUCUUUCCGAUGCUUUGUUCACCCGUCAUCAACAACGUUCAAGUCACCAAGACCCUCAUCAGCGGCGGCGCGGGGCUCAAUGUCCUGUCCGUCGAGACAUUCGAUAGCCUCCAAGUGCCGUACGAUCAGCUACAGCCUACCAAGCCUUUCUCAGAAGUGACGAUGGCUCCACCACCCCGAUAGGGCAAGUCCGCCUCCCUGUCACCUUCGGCCAGCGUAACAACUACCGCACCGAGCUCAUCGACUUCAACGUCGCCCACAUCCGUCUGCCGCACAACGCCAUCGUUGGGUAUCCAGCAUUGGCCAAGUUUAUGGCAGUGACCCACCACGGCUACAACAUUCUCAAGAUGCCAGGGAGUGGUGGCAUCAUCACGGUCCCCUGCAAAGAAAGAGAUGCGGUGUGCUCCCUUGAGCACGCCUUCCAAGCCGCUGCGAUCGAAGACCCCGACAACGAAGGCACCCCGUAUCCUCCUGGGGCCGUCCCCAAGAAGAAGAAGCAGCUACUCCUCCCAGGGCGUCAGGAGAGCGGUGCCUCCAGCGGCACCAACUCAGGAUCGGCACCCGCAGCUGGGGCGCCUCCCUCCCUCGCAUAGGAAGGCGCGCCCGGCGCCCUCCUCGGGCAAGGCUCGGGGGCUCUCUUCUGGAGGGCCUCGGACCUAGCCAACAUCAUGAGGGAGGCGCUCGGGCACCAUGUGGAGGCGUGCUUCGCUGCAUGUUUCCCUAAGGAGGGCACUGGGCGAGGGGCGCCCGGUACUCAGGAGUUCACCGUCAAGGUAACCCAGGAGCUUCAAGAGGCAAGGGCCAUACAUGGCGACCGCCGCUCACCACCCGUCGUAGCUCCCCAUCCUGGCGAGGAUGGCGGGCUGCGCAUCUGCAUCGACACUCCAGGGCUCAAUAGGGCUGCAUCUCAGGAGCGUUUUUGGCCUUCGCGCGUUGGUCGAUGCGAGGGUCCACCUCACAGCUACGUUCGCAUGUCGUUUGGCUUGCCGAACGCGGCCGUCACCUUCCAGCACCACCUGCGGAGCAUCAUGGUGGCUCAGGAGGCCAGGCAUCACGUUGUCCUGACGGAGUUGGCGAAGGUCCUCAAGGAACCAACCGAGCUCCCGGAGCCUCCUAAGGCUCAGGACCCUGGCGGCUCGUGAGGAACGACUCUUUGGCAUGCAUCAUCGGCUACUCCAACAUCACUCCAGCGGCGUUAUUAGGUGACUCUUUCUAGUUCAUUCAGUUGGGGCGCCCCUCGGGCUGCAUUAUUCCCAAGUCGCACAUGUCUGUCCCUGCGACGUGUAUCCUUUUGCAUCUUUACCUUACCCUGCUGGGAGCGCCCCUCGGGCUGCAUCAUCCCCAGGUCGCUUGGGUCCGUCCCAGUGGCAUGUAUCGUUCUUGCAUCUAUCUGAGCUAACCCGCCUCUCUGCUUGAGUCGUUUUAUGACUAUCACCUUCUUAUCUGGUACUUCGAUACCCCACCCGCGACCGCCCUCGUUACCACAGGAGACGCGCGCCGCUUGUCUUUCUUUAGGAUCCCUCGCAUGAAUAGGCUAGGCACGACGUCUGUGCUCGGGUCCAUCCCUACAGCGUUGAUAAACCCAACGACUGAGCUCUGUCUGGCGGGUCGGCCCCGUUCACGUCACCACCUGGGGUCAUUGGUGUCUGGCCUUCUCAUGUGACCGAUACGUCCAUUUUGCAUCAUGCUUUUAUAUCGAUAUUUAUUGCAUUAUGGGUUGUUAUUACACAUUAUGUCACAAUACUUAUGCCCAUUCUCUCUUAUUUUACAAGGUUUACAUGAACAGGGAGAAUGCCGGAAGCUGGAAUUCUGGUUUGGAAAAGGACAAAAUAUUAGAGACCUAUUCUGCACAGUACCAAAUGUCACGAAACUUGACGGAAGUCAUUUUUGGAAUUAAUAAAAAAUACUGAGCGAAGAAAGCACCAGAGGGGGCCCACACCCUGGUCACGAGGGUGGGGGCAUGCCCUACCCCCUGGGCGCGCCCUCUACCUCGUGGGCCCCCUGGCAGUCCUCCGGUGCCCAUCUUCUGCUAUAUGAAGUCUUUUACCCUGAAAAAAAAUCAUAAGCAAGCUCACGGGACGAAACUCCACCGCCACGAGGCAGAUUCUUGGCAGAACCAAUCUAGGGCUUCGCUGGAGCUGUUCUGCUAGGGAAACUUCCCUCUGGGAGGGGGAAAUCAUCACCAACGAUCCUCUCAUCGGGAGGGGGUCAAUCUCCAUCAACAUCUUCACUAGCACCAUCUCAUCUCAAAACCUAGUUCAUCUCUUGUAUCCAAUCUUUGUAUCCAAACCUCAGAUUGGUACCUGUGGGUUGCUAGUAGUGUUGAUUACUCCUUGUAGUUGAUGCUAGUUGGUUUACUUGGUGGAGGAUCAUAUGUUCAGAUCCAUUAUGCAUAUUAAUACCCCUCUGAUUAUGAACAUGGAUAUGCUUUGUGAGUAGUUAUGUUUGUUCCUGAGGACAUGGGAGAAGUCUUGCUAUAAGUAGUCAUGUGAAUUUGGUAUUCGUUCGAUAUUUUGAUGAGAUGUAUGUUGUCAUCCCUCUAGUGGUGUUAUGUGAACGUCGAAUACAUGACACUUCACCAUUGUUAGGGACUAGAGGGAGGCAUUGGGAAGUAAUAAGUAGAUGAUGGGUUGCUAGAGUGACAGAAGCUUAAACCCUAGUUUAUGCGUUGCUUCCUAAGGGCUGAUUUGGAUCCAUAUGUUUCAUGCUAUGGUUAGGUUUACCUUAAUACUUCUGUUGUAGGUGCGGAUGCUUGCAAUGGGGGUUAAUCAUAAGUGGGAUACUUUUCCAAGUAAGGACAGUACCCAAGCACCGGUCCACCCACAUAUCAAAUUAUCAAAGUACCAAAUGUGAAUCAUAUGAACAUGAUGAAAACUAGCUUGACGAUAAUUCCCAUGUGUCCUCGGGAGCGCUUUCCUUCGUAUAAGAGUUUGUCCAGGCUUUUCCUUUGCUACAAAAAGGAUUGGGCCAUCUUGUUGCACCUUAUUUACUUUUAUUACUUGCUACUCGUUACAAAUUACCUUAUCACAAAACUAUCUAUUACCGAUAAUUUCAGUGCUUGAAGAGAAUACCUUACUGAAAAUUGCUUAUCAUUUCCUUCUGCUCCUCGUUGGGUUCGACACUCUUACUUAUCAAAAAGGCUACGAUAGAUUCCCUACACUUGUGGGUCAUCAAGACUCUUUUCUGGCACCGUUGACGGGGAGUGAAGCACCUUUGGUAGGUGGAAUUUGGUAAGGAAAAAUUUAUAUAGUGUGCUGAAAUUUACUGUCACUUGUUACUAAGGAACAUAAUCCUUUGAGGGGAUUUUUCAGGGUAUCUUCACCCCGACCAGUAGAACGAAGAGUUGCUCCUCAACCUACUGAACCUACUGAAAAAGUUUACUUUGAAAUUCCUUCGGGUAUGAUAGAGAAACUGCUAGCUAAACCUUUUGUAGGAGAUGGAACAUUGCAUCCCGAUUUACACUUAAUCUAUGUGGAUGAAGUUUGUGGAUUAUUUAAAAUUGCAGGUAUGCCUGAUGAUGUUAUCAAGAAGAAGGUCUUCCAUUUAUCUUUGAAGGGCGAGGCAUUGACAUGGUAUAGUCUAUGUGAUGAUAUGGGAUCAUGGAACUACAAGAGAUUGAAAUUGGAAUUUCCUCAGAAGUUUUAUCUUAUGCAUCUUGUUCAUCGUGAUCGUAAUUAUAUAUAAUUUUUGGCCUCGCGAAGGAGAAAGCAUCGCUCAAGCUUGGGGGAGGCUUAAGUCAAUGUUAUAUUCAUGCCCCAAUCAUGAGCUCUCAAAAGAAAUGAUUAUUCAAAAAUUUUAUGCUCGACUUUCUCUCAAUAAUCGCUCCAUGCUCGAUACUUCUUGUACUGGAUCUUUUAUGAUGAAGACUAUUGAAUUCAAAUGGGAUUUAUUGGAAAGAAUCAAACGCAACUCUGAAGAUUGGGACCUCGACGAAGGUAAGGAGUCAGGUAUAACACCUAAGUUUGAUUGUGUUAAAUCUUUUAUGGAUACCGAUGUUUUCCAUGAAUUUAGCACUAAAUAUGGACUUGACUCUGAGAUAGUAGCUUCUUUCCGUGAAUCCUUUGCUACUCAUGUUGAUCUCCCUAAGGAGAAGUGGUUUAAAUAUAAUCCUCCCAUUGAAGUAAAAGUAGUUGCACCUAUUAAAGUUGAAGAAAAGACUAUCACUUAUAAUGAUCCUGGUGUUCCUACUGCCUAAUUUGAGAAACCACCUUUCCCUGUUAGAAUAAAGGAUCAUGCUAAAACUUCAACUGUAGUAAACAAAAGUAAUAUUAGGACACACAAACCCCCUGAGCAAGUUAAAGUUGAACCUAAAAUUGCUAUGGUUAAAGAUCUCUUAGCUGAUAAUAUUGAUGGGCAUGUUAUUUACUUCUGCAAUGAAGCUGCUAGAAUUGCUAGACCUGAUGCUAGAAAUAAACAUAGACCUGUUAUAGGCAUGCCUGUUAUUUCCAUUAAAAUAGGAGAUCAUUGUUAUCAUGGCUUAUGUGAUAUGGGUGCUAGUGAAGUGCAAUACCUCAUUCCUUAUACAAAGAAAUUAUGCAUGAUAUUGCACCUGCUGAGAUAGAAGAGAUAGAUGUUACAAUUAAGCUAGCCAAUAGAGAUACUAUUUCACCAGUUGGGAUCGUUAGAGAUGUUGAAGUCUUGUGUGGGAAAGUUAAAUAUCCUGCUGAUUUUCUUGUUCUUGGUUCCCCACAAGAUGACUUGUGUCCCAUUAUAUUUGGUAGACCCUUCUUGAAUAUUGUUAAUGCUAAGAUAGACUGCAACAAGGAUAUUGUUUCUGUUGGUGUAGGGGAUAUGUCUCAUGAGUUUAAUUUUGCUAAAUUUAGUAGACAACCCCGUGAUGAGGAAUUUCCUAGUAAAGAUGAAAUUAUAGGUCUUGCUUCUAUUGUCGUGCCUCCUAGUGAUCCUUUAGAACAAUAUUUGCUAGACCAUGAAAACGAUAUGUUUAUGAAUGAAAGAAGGGAAAUAGAUGAAGUAUUCUUUAAACAGGGACCUAUUCUGAAACACAACUUGCCUGUUGAAAUCCUAGGGGAUCCUCCUCCACCCAAGGGUGAUCCCAUGUUUGAGCUUAAACCAUUUCCCGAUACUCUUAAAUAUGCUUAUCUUGAUGAAAAGAAGAUAUAUCAUGUUAUUAUUAGUGCUAACCUUUCAGAGCAUGAACAAGAGAAAUUAUUAAAAACUCUGAAGAAGCACCGUGCUGCUAUUGGAUAUACUCUUGAUGAUCUUAAGGGCAUUAGUCCCACUCUAUGUCAACAAAAAAUAAAUUUGGAGAAAGACGCCAAACUAGUUAUUGAUCACCAACGACGGCUAAAUCCUAAGAUGAAAGAAGUGGUAAGAAAAGAAAUAUUAAAGCUCCUUGAAGCAGGUAUAAUUUAUCCCGUUGCUGAUAGUCAGUGGGUAAGUCCUGUCCAUUGUGUCCCUAAGAGGGGAGGUAUUACUGUCAUUCCUAAUGAUAAAGAUGAAUUGAUUAUGCAAAGAAUUAUUACAGGUUAUAGGAUGAUGAUUGAUUUCCACAAAUUAAAUAAAGCUACUAAAAAAGAUCAUUACCCUUUGCCUUUGAUUGAUCAAAUGCUAGAAAGAUUAUCCAAACAUACACAUUUUUGAUUUCUAGAUGGUUACUCUGGUUUCUCUCAAAUACCUGUGUGAGCUGAUGAUCAAGAAAAGACUACUUUUACUUGCCCUUUCGGUACCUUUGCUUAUAGACGUAUGCCUUUUAGUUUAUAAUGCACCUGCUACCUUUCAAAGGUGCAUGAUGGCUAUAUUCUCUGAAUUUCGUGAUAAGAUUUGUGAAGUUUUCAUGGAUGAUUUCUUUGUUUGUGGAUCCUCUUUUGAUGAUUGCUUGAGCAACCUUGAUCGAGUUUUGCAGAGAUGUGAAGAAACUAACCUUGUCUUGAAUUGGGAGAAGUGCCACUUUAUGGUUAAUGAAGGUAUUGUCUUGGGGCAUAAAAUUUCUGAAAGAGGUAUUGAAGUUGACAAAGCUAAAGUUGAUGCUAUUGAAAAGAUGUCGUGUUCGAAGGACAUCAAAGGUAUAAGAAGUUUCCUUGGUCAUGCCGGUUUGUAAUAGGUUUUUAUAGGAGGUUUUUAUAGGUUCUCAAAAAUUUCCCGGCCUCUGACUAACCUAUUACAAAAGGAUAUUCCUUUUGUCUUUGAUGAUGAUCGUUUAGAAGCAUUUGAAAUACUUAAGAAAGCCUUGAUUUAUGCACCUAUUGUUCAGCCAUCUGGUUGGAAUUUACCCUUUGAAAUCAUGUGUGAUGCUAGUGACUAUGUUGUAGGUGCUGUUCUAGGACAAAGAGUUGAUAAAAAAAUUAAAUGUUAUUGAAUAUGCUAGUAAAACUCUAGACAAUGCCGAGAGAAAUUGUGCUACUACUAAAAAGGAAUUCUUAGCAGUUGUAUUUGCUUGUGAUAAGUUCAGACCUUAUAUUCUUGAUUCUAAAGUAACUAUUCACACUGAUCAUGCUGCUAUUAAAUAUAUUAUAGAAAAGAAAGAUGCUAAACCUAGACUUAUUAGAUGGGUUCUCCUGCUACAAGAAUUUGAUUUGCAUAUUAUUGAUAGAAAGGGAGCUGAGAAUCCCAUUGCAAACAACUUGUCUAGGUUAUAGAAUGUUCCUGAUGACCCACUACCUAUUGAUGAUAGCUUUCCUGAUGAACAAUUAGCUAUCAUAAAUGCUUCUCGCACUGCUCCAUGGUAUGCUGAUUAUGCUAGUUACAUUGUUGCUAAAUUUAUACCAUCUAGUUUCACAUACCAGCAAAAGAAAAAGUUUUUCUAUGAUUUAAGACAUUACUUCUGGGAUGACCCACACCUUUAUAAAGAAGGAGUAGAUGGUGUUAUUAGACGUUGUAUACCUGAGCAUGAACACGAACAGAUCCUACGCAAGUGUCACUCCGAAGCUUAUGGAGGACACCAUGCCGGAGAUAGAACUGCACAUAAGGUAUUGCAAUCCGCUUUUUAUUGGCCUACUCUUUUCAAGGAUGCCCGUAAGUAAUUCUUAUCUUAUGAUGAAUGUCAAAGAAUUGGUAAUAUUAGCAGACGUCAAGAAAUGCCUAUGAACUCGUUAUUGAACCAUUUGAUGUUUGGGGCUUCGAUUAUAUGGGAUCGUUUCCUUCCUGUAAUGGAUACACACAUAUUUUAGUUGUUGUUGAUUACGUUACUAAGUGGGUAGAAGCUAUUCCAACUAGUAGUGCUGAUUAUAACACCUCUAUUAAGAUUCUUAUAGAAGUUAUUUUUCGAGGUUUGGAGUCCCUAGAUAUUUAAUUGCUGAUGGUGGUUCACAUUUUAUUCAUGAUGCCUUUCGUAAAAUGCUAGCUAAGUAUGAUGUUAAUCAUAGAAUUGCAUCUCCAUAUCAUCCACAGUCUACUGGUCAAGUAGAACUUAGCAAUAGAGAGAUUAAAUUAAUUUUGCAAAAGACUGUUAAUAGAUCUAGAAAGAAUUGGUCCAAGAAACUUGAUGAUGCAUUAUGGGCUUAUAGAACUGCAUAUAAAAAUCCUAUGGGUAUGUCUCCGUAUAAAAUGGUUUAUGGUAAAGCAUGUCACUUACCUCUUGAAUUAAAACAUAAGGCAUAUUGGACUAUUAAAGAGCUCAACUAUGACUUAAAACUUGCCAGUGAGAAGAGGCUUUUUGACAUUAGCUCACUUGAUGAAUGGAGAACCCAGGCUUAUGAGAAUGCCAACUGUUUAAAGAAAAAGUUAAAAGAUGGCCUGAUAAAAGGAUAUAAAAGCGUGAGUUUAAUGUAGGUGAUUAUGUAUUGCUAUACAACUCUCGUUUAAGAUUUUUUGCAGGCAAACUUCUCUCUAAAUGGGAAGGUCCUUACGCUAUCGAGGAGGUCUACCGUUCCGGUGCCAUAAAAAUCAACAACUUCGAAGGCACAAAUCCGAAGGUGAUGAACGAUCAAAGAAUCAAACAUUAUAUCUCAGGUAAUCCCAUAAAUGUUGAAACUAAUAUUAUUGAAACCGUAACCCCGGAGGAAUAUAUAAGGGACACUUUACAGAACGUUUCAGACUUCGGAAAGGAAUAGGUACAUGGUGCGGUAAGUAAACCGACUCCAAAACAGUUCUAAUGGCAAUUUUUCUCCGUUUUUGGAAUAUUUAAGAAAAUAGGAAAAUAAGAAGCAGUCUGGAAAGGACACGAGGCUUCCCCGAGGGUGGAGGACGCGCCCUACCCCCUGGGCGUGCUCCCUGCCUCGUGGGCACCUCGUGCGCUCUCCGGACUCUGUUUUCUUGCACAAUUCUUCUUAUGGUCGGCAAAAAUUCAUUAUAUAAUCCCCCAAAGGUUUUCACCAACGUACCAUGCAAAUAUCCUCUGUUCUUGUUUCGAGCUGUUUUUCUGACAGAUCUAGAUCACCAUGACGUCUCCAAGUGCCCCCAAGGACAAGUUCUUCGAGAAGGUCAUCAACCCCUACCUCGCGGAAGUGCUGCAACAUCCUCAAACCAUUGAGAUGCGUGACGGGUUGCUGCACAUCCGUGAUGUUGAGGGACCAAGGAGGACCGGAAGCGUGGAGACAAGGCUCGAGGCAAUGGAGCAACAAGUUUUCAAGUGUCAGGAGAUGGUGGAGCGUGGACUCGACUCCAAUCACAUAAUGAUCACGGAGUUCACCAACAACCACAAGCUGGACGCCAAGGACAUUGGGGGGCCAUCUUCAAGUUUCAUGAGAAAAUCGAGAACCUCCAAGCCCAGAUCUAUGACCUGCAAAAUCAAAACUGUGAGUAUGAAUUUAGAUUCAAGAGGAUGAGUUUGGCUGCAGAUUUAAGGAUCCCGGAGACUCGAUCAUCCUUCAAUGAUGGUGAGCCUAUGCAUUGGAAGACGGAUGACAAGCCUACAUCAUCAAAAACUCAAUCUCCUUCACCGGCAAAAGAGAUAUAAUCACAUGGGUAUGGGCACUCCCCUUGGCAACUGCCAAGCUUGGGGGAAUGCCCCUGUAUUGUAUCACCAUCACUUUUAUCUUUACUGUUUUUUCUUAGGUCGAUCCUUUUGAUAAUAUCUUGAUCUAGUAGAAUAAAGUUUUAGUAUGAUCUAGUUGUGAAUUUUGCUUUAUGAUCUUCUUAUGUAAUCGAGUCCAUGAGCUAUAUAUAAUAAAGAUUAGUGUUGAGUCAAGGGCUUGAUUAUUUUUCUAUGAUCUUGAGGGAAUAAAAUAAAAGAGAAGAAAUAAAAGGAAAUAAAGAGAUCAUAUGGAUCUUAUGGAGAGUAAUGACUUCAUAUAUAAAAGUAUGAUGAAUAAAAGUUGUUGAAAGUUGACAAACAUAGUUUUGGUCAUCGUUGCAAUUACUAGGAAGUAAUAAAGAAAGAGAGGUUUUCACAUAUAAAUAUACUAUCUUGGACAUCUUUUAUAAUUGUGAGCACUCAUUAAAGUAUGAUAUGCUAAAGAGUUGACGUUGGACAAGGAAGACAACGUAAUGGGUUAUGUUUUCUUACAUGUGAGAUAAAUUAUAUUGUCAUGGAUCAUCCAACAUGUUGAGUUUGCCUUUCCCUCUCUUGCUAGCCAAUUUCUUUGCACCAAGUAGAGAUACUACUUGUGCUUCCAAAUAUGCCUAAACCCAGUUUUGCCAUGAGAGUCCACCAUAUCUACCUAUGGAUUGAGUAAGAUCCAUCAAGUAAGUUGCCAUCGGUGCACGCAAUAAAAAUUGCUCUCUAAAUAUGUAUGAUCUAUUAAUGUGGAGAAAAUAAGCUUUAUACGAUCUUGUGAUGUGGAAGAAAUAAAAGCAACGGACUACAUAAUAAAGGUCCAUAUCAAAAGUGGCAAUAUAAAGUGACGUUCUUUUGCAUUAAGACUUUGUGCAUUCAACUAUAAAAGUGCAUGACAACCUCUGCUUCCCACUGCGAAGGGCCUAUCUUUUACUUUUAUCUUCUACCUUAUAUAAGAGUCAUGGUGAUAUCCACCUUUCCUUUUUACAUUUUAUCCUUUGGCAAGCACAAUGUGUUGGAAAGAUCCUGAUAAAUAUAGCUAAUUGGAUGUGAGUUUUCAUGAACUAUUAUUGUUGACAUUACCCUUGAGGCAAACAGUUGGGAGGCAAAACUAUAAGCCUCUAUCUUUCUCUGUGUCCGAUUGAAACUUCAUACCCAUAAAUAUUGUGUGAGUAUUACCAAUUGUGAAAUACUAAAUGAUAGUUGAGUAUGUGGACUUGCUGAAAAGCUCUUAUAUUGACUCUUUCCUAUGUUAUGAUAAAUUGCAAUUGCCUCAAUGACUGAUAUUAGAGUUUGUUGGUUCUCAAUGAAGUUUAUGAUUCAUACUUGAAAUUGUGAUUGAAUUGUUACUUUAGCAUAAGAGAUCAUAUGACAAUAUACAUACAUACAUACAUACAUAUAUAUAUUGUUGUUCUAAGAAUGAUCAUGAUGCCCUCAUGUCCGUAAUUUAUUUUUAUCAACACCUCUAUCUCUAAACAUGUGGACAUAUUUUUCGAUUCCGGCUUUCGCUUGAGGACAAGCGAGGUCUAAGCUUGGGUGAGUUGAUACGUCCAUUUUGCAUCAUGCUUUUAUAUCGAUAUUUAUUGCAUUAUGGGCUGUUAUUACACAUUAUGUCACAAUACUUAUGCCUAUUCUCUCUUAUUUUACAAGGUUUACAUGAAGAGGGAGAAUGCCGGCAGCUGGAAUUCUGGGCUGGAAGAGGAGCAAAUAUUAGAGACCUAUUCUACACAGCUCCAAAAGUCCUGAAACUUCACAGAAGUCAUUUUUGGAAUUAAUAAAAAAUACUGAGGGAAGAAUGCACCAGAGGGGGCCCACACCCUGGCCACGAGGGUGGGGGCAUGCCCUACCCCCUGGGCGCGCCCCCUGCCUCGUGGGCCCCCUAUCAGGCCUCUGGUGCCCAUCUUCUACUAUAUGAAGUCUUUUACCCUAGAAAAAAAUCAUAAGCAAGCUCAGGGGACGAAACUCCGCCGCCACGAGGCGGAACCUUGGCAGAACCAAUCUAGGGCUCCGACGGAGCUGUUCUGCUGGGGAAACUACCCUCCAGGAGGGGGAAAUCAUCACCAUCGUCAUCACCAACGAUCCUCUCAUCGGGAGGGGGUCAAUCUCCAUCAACAUCUUCACCAGCACCAUCUCAUCUCAAACCCUAGUUCAUCUCUUGUAUCCAAACCUCAGAUUGGUACCUGUGGGUUGCUAGUAGUGUUGAUUACUCCUUGUAGUUGAUGCUAGUUGGUUUACUUGGUGGAGGAUCAUAUGUUCAGAUCCAUUAUGCAUAUUAAUACCCCUCUGAUUAUGAACAUGAAUAUGCUUUGUGAGUAGUUACGUUUGUUCCUGAGGACAUGGGAGAAGUCUUGCUAUAAGUAGUCAUGUGAAUUUGGUAUUCGUUCGAUAUUUUGAUGAGAUAUAUGUUGUCAUCCCUCUAGUGGUGUUAUGUGAACGUCGACUACAUGACACUUCACCAUUGUUUGGGCCUACAGAGAGGCAUUGGGAAGUAAUAAGUAGAUGAUGGUUUGCUAGCUUAAACCCUAGUUUAUGUGUUGGUUCGUAAGGGGCUGAUUUGGAUCCAUAUGUUUCAUGCUAUGGUUAGGUUUACCUUAAUACUUCUGUUGUAGUUGCGGAUGCUUGCAAUGGGGGUUAAUCAUAAGUGGGAUGCUUGUCCAAGUAAGAACAGUACCCAAGCAACGGUCCACCCACAUAUCAAAUUAUCAAAGUACCGAAUGCGAAUCAUAUGAACGUGAUGAAAACUAGCUUGACGAUAAUUCCCAUGUGUCCUCGGGAGUGCUUUCCUUCAUAUAAGAGUUUGUCCAGGCUUGUCCUUUGCUACAAAAAGGAUUGGGAUAUCUUUCUGCACCUUAUUUACUUUUAUUACUUUCUACUCAUUACAAAUUACCUUAUCACAAAGCUAUUUGUUACCGAUGAUUUCAUGCUUGAAGAGAAUACCUUACUGAAAACUGCUUAUCAUUUCCUUCUACUCCUCGUUGGGUUCGACACUCUUACUUAUCGAAAAGGCUACGAUAGAUCACCUACACUUGUGGGUCAUCUGUGGCCACCUCAGAAAAUUCGUCUGGUGCAGGUUGCCUAGCCAUCUUGCAGGACCGCCGAAGCUAUCAAGAACCAAGACCAGGCACAACCCGCCUUGAUGUAGGGCCUCAUGAGUCCCGCGUUAGCUCACGGGUGCCCAGACACACCUCGUAUAGCCCUGCCGUGCAAGCCACGUGUCAGGGCGGGGUUGUACACGCCCCGGGGGCUCCACUCAGAGGGAUCCCUCACCCACACACCAGUGGAAGCACCAUGCUCCGCGCUGGCAGUCGACAUGGUCGGGGAGUGGCUAUGCCUGUGCAAGUGCGGAAGCACUAUGCUCUGCGCUGGUGAUAAACAACUCAGGACGGCCCCAUGGACGUACCAACCUCAGGGAGCCACCUGACUCAGUGUCCAGCCUCACCGCAACGCUUUCCCCUCGAGAGAGUCGCACGAGGGGGCUGGGCACGGGGACUGCGCUCAGGCCUCGCCUAGCGUAAGCCGCCCUGCCAGGUCCCUCAGACCCGGUCAUCACGCACCCCUCCCGAGUGGGACCUCGGCGAGGGCAGGUAUGAAGGUCUGGUUGAGCGUCAAUGGGGACUCCUGAGCAUCGCGAUUCAGGAGCCUAACUGGCCACGUAGCCCCUCACCCCUUGGUCCAUCCUGGUCAUCCGGACGGCCCAACAGCGGCUGAGGUAUGCGCCGGGUCGGGCCCUGCCGACAUAGAACACCAAGGCCUACUUUAGCGGCUCCUUCCCGCAGGCCGUUUGCGCGUCAAGGGGGACUCCUGAGCAUCACGAAUCAGGAGCCUAACUGGCCACGUAGCCCCUCACCCCUUUGUCCGUCCUGGUGAUCCAGACGGCCCAACAGUGGAUGUGGUAUGCUUGGGGUCGGACCCUGCCGACGUAGAACAUCAAGCUAGUGGGAAGGAAAUCGCGGAACCUAAAUAAAUUAUUACACAACAUUUUGUCCCCUAAACGUCAAGCAGAGUUUUAACGCCUCCAUGAGGCACGUCUCAUGUCAUAGGAAAGCUCAUAGGAAAGCAAAACAAGAAGGAGCGCUGAAGCCUUUUCUUCAGCCUUGGGCGCCAUUGUCAGGGAGCGCCUUCCCGCUGGCAGCGUCACCGUUGGCCGGGUCAUUGGCCUCGGUCGCAAGAUCGGCGGGGCCAUCGGUUGGAGGUGCAGGCUCGAUGGCGAGGAACUUAUUCAAUGGGGCCUUCACCUGGCCCCUCCACAGUUGCAGCAGCAGCUGCGCAGCGCUCCUCCUCCACAGGCUCGAGCAGCUCGCUGAGGUCGGCGUCGGGGUCGCGAAGAUGUAGGUGGCUGAGGACGCACGUCAGAGCCGAAGAAGAAAGCGCGCGGGCUUCCCCCUCCACCAUGGGGACGAACCCGUCGACGACACCCUCGAGCGCCACGACAUGAUAAGGAAGCAGCUGGGCGGGGCUUUCAUCGUCCGUCGCCAGCGGCUUCUCCAAGCCCUUCUCGUAGAGUGCCUGCAGCGCCUCGCGGGAUCUCUCCUCAAGGGACUUGAAGGUCGCGUGAUCCUUUGCCAGAACCUUCGCUUUGGCUUCCAGCUGGGCCUUCUCUGCCUCCACCUCCUGCACUGAUACGUCACCAACGUAUCUAUAAUUUUUGAUUGUUCCAUGCUAUUAUAUUAUCAACCAUGGAUGUUUUAUAUGCAUUUAUAUGAUAUUUUAUAUGAUUUUUGGGACUAACCUAUUAACCUAGAGCCCAGUGCCAGUUUCUGUUUUAUCCUUGUUUUAGGGUUUCGAAGAAAAGGAAUAUCAAACGGGGUCCAAACGGAAUGAAACCUUCGGAAAAGUUAUUUUUUGGAAAGAAAGCAAUACAUGAGACUUGGAGUGCAUGUCAGGAAAGCAACGAGGGAGGCACGAGGCAGAGGGGCGCGCCCACCACCCUGGGCGUGCCUUCCACCCUCGUGGGCCCCUCGUGGCUCCCCUAACGUAUCUCUUCCGCCUAUAUAUAUCCAUAUACCCUAAAACGAUCGGGGAGCACAAUAGAUCGGGAGUUUCGCCGCCAGAAGCCUCCGUAGCCACCGAAAACCAAUCUAGACCCGUUCCGGCACCCUGCCGUAGGGGGAAUCCCUCUCCGGUGGCCAUGUUCAUCAUCCCUGUGCUCUCCAUGACAAGGAGGGAGUAGUUCUCCCUCAGGGUUGAGGGUAUGUACCAGUAGCUAUGUGUUUGAUCUCUCUCUCUCUCUCGUGUUCUUGAGGUGGUACGAUCUUGAUGUAUCGCGAGCUUUGCUAUUAUACUUGGAUCUUAUGGUGUUUCUCCCCCUCUACUCUCUUGUAAUGGAUUGAGUUUUCCCUUUUGAAGUUAUCUUAUUGGAUUGAGUCUUUAAAGAUUUGAGAACACUUGAUGUAUGUCUUGCCGUGCGUAUCUCUGGUGACAAUGGGAUAUCACAUGAUUCACUUGAUGUAUGUUUUGGUGAUCAACUUGCCGAUUCCGCCCAUGAACCUAUGCAUAGGGGUUGGCACACGUUUUUGUCGUGAUUCUCUGGUAGAAACUUUGGGGCACUCUUUGAGGUUCUAUGUGUUGGUUGAAUAGAUUAAUCUGAGAUUGUGUGAUGCAUAUCAUUUAAUCAUACCCAAGGAUACUUGAGGUGACAUUGGAGUAUCUAGGUGACAUUAGGGUUUUGGUUGAUUUGUGUCUUAAGGUGUUAUUCUAGUACGAACUCUAGGGCUGUUUGUGACACUUAUAGGAAUAUCACAACGGAUUGAUUGGAAAGAAUAACUUUAAGGUGGUUUCGUACCCUACCAUAAUCUCUUCAUUUGUUCUCCGCUAUUAGUAACUUUGGAGUGACUCUUUGUUGCAUGUUGAGGGAUAGUUAUAUGAUCCAAUUAUGUUAUUAUUGUUGAGAGGAUUUGCACUAGUGAAAGUAUGAACCCUAGGCCUUGUUUCAACGCAUUGCAAUACUGUUUACGCUCACUUUUAUCAUUAGUUACCUUGCUAUUUUUAUAUUUUCAGAUUACAAAAACCUUUAUCUACCAUCCAUAUAACACUUGUAUCACCAUCUCUUCGCCGAACUAGUGCACAUAUACAAUUUACCAUUGUAUUGGUUGUGUUGAGGACACAAGAGACUCUUUGUUAUUUGGUUGCAGGGUUGCUUGAGAGAGACCAUCUUCAUCCUACCCCUCCUAUGGAUUGAUAAACCUUAGGUCAUCCACUUGAGGAAAAUUUGCUACUGUCCUACAAACCUCUGCACUUGGAGGGCCAACAACGUCUACAAGAAGAAGGUUGUGUAGUAGACAUCAUGCACCAGCUUCUCUAGGCGGCCGCACUCUGCGGCCUGCGCCCCUGCCAGCUGCUCUAGUUCGGCGUCAUGACCGGUGACGGCGUCUUCUCGGGCCUUCAUCUUCUCCUCCUCUGCCUUGCGACUGCGAGACUCGGCCGCGCACUUGUUGCGCAAGGUCUCCAGCUCGGCCUCCAUCGACUAGCAGCGCCCCUUGGCAGCUUCGGCAUCCUUCAGCGCCACCUCGCGGGCGGCCGUGGCUCGGUCGGCGGCCCGCUUGUCCUCUUCGGAAGCUACCAUGACCUGUCCCGACACCGCCCUGACAAACACAUCAGAAUGCAGCCAACCCGAGAUCAACUCUAGGUUCCCCGCCACCUGGCAGCGGUCGGCUCCUUGAAGGUCGCCUCGAAGCCGUGCUAGUGCAGAAAGGGCCUCCUCCAAGGCGUCGGGCAAAGAGGAAGGAUCGCGAGCUAGCGGUUCAACCGGAGGAGGAGGCAGUGCCGCCGCCAAGACCUGUGAACUGGUGAUGGCAGGAAGAGGAGUUGGGGGAUCCUGAACCUUGGCCGCAUCGAGGGGCGAGCUGGGGAUAGGCGCCUCCGGAGCCGGCUUGGCCGAGGAGAUCGCCUUCUCCUGAAUGGUCCACAGGGCCUCGCGAGGACGAUUGAGCGAGAGAAGUGCGGGUGCCUUCACCGCCUUUCCGUGCUGGAGGGGGUGCGGCCAGGCCAGACUGCUGGGAUCGCGAGGAUGUGGCCGCCCCCUCUCUCUUCUUCACCGAUAGCGUCGGCCUGAUAAUGCAAGAGGAGAACAUCAGGAAGAAGCAGCAGAAGCGGGAGCAAGAACAAAGUCAGGGUGAGGUGCUUACUGGUCAACGGCGGCGUAGUCCCGCGCCCUCUUCAGGAGCACGGAGCCCAAGGGCCUCGCUGUCUGGGGCACCGGUGCGUGGGCCCCAGGAGCAGAUGAAGAAGCAGCAACGGGCCCAGUGGCAGCACCAGACGGCGCUAGGGCAGGAGCGUCGCCCCGGGAGAUUAGUGCCGACCUGCUCUUCGUCGGAACCAUGGUUGAGGGGGUGACCUUGGACCUUGUGGUGACCCUAGAAGGGGGCAGGACCUCCCUCACCGGGUGGUCGCCGGCGUCAUCAUCGUCAGGCAAGGCGCAGAGGAGAUCGGCCUUGCGCGAAGGGGAGGUCUCCCCGGUCCCCUCUGGAGUCGCCUUCGAGUCCUGCUCCUCCUCCUCGUCAGAGUCGCCGGAAGACACCACCACAGGACUCGUCACCAUCGGGGCAUCAGAGGGCGCCGGCGGCACGAGCCCACGUCCAUCAUAAAUAGGCAUAGCGGCGGCAACAUUCGCUCCAUCGGGGCGGCAGUACAGAGGAAUAAAGGUGUCCGGAGGGUACCCCUGGUCCUCCCCGACCAAGGAGCGGAGAGCCGUGCCCAGUUCCUCGUCAGACAAGGCCUCUGGACGCAGGCGGAGGUUGUCAUCCUCGUCCCUGAGCUUCCACAAGGGGCGCGAGCGCACCUGGAGCGGAGCCACGCGCUGCGGCAGGAAUUCCUUGACGAUCAUGGCCCCGUCAGCUUCGUCGCAUUUAGGUCGUCAGGCUUCAGAUCGGCAGUCAUCUUCUCCAGCACACGCUCCACCCGGGGGUCGGUGAGCUUCGCGCGGAACCACCCAUCAUGAGACGUGGGCAUCCCCGUCGGCUGCACUAGCCGGGGGUGGGAGCACUUGGCGUCCAUCAGGACCCACUUGCUCUUGAGGCCCUGGGCCUUCUUCCCGGCCUUCGAGAUCGCGUUGGUCUUGUUGGCCGCAACGAAGUUGGCGCACCCCGAGCAUGGCCGUUGUCGGUGUCAAAACCGGCGGAUCUCGGGUAGGGGGUCCCGAACUGUGCGUUUAAGGCAGAUGGUAACAGGAGGCAGGGGACACGAUGUUUUACCCAGGUUCAGGCCCUCUUGAUGGAGGUAAAACCCUAUGUCCUGCUUGAUUAAUAUUGAUGAUAUGGGUAGUACAAGAGUAGAUCUACCACGAGAUCGGAGAGGCUAAACCCUAGAAGCUAGCCUAUGGUAUGAUUGUAUGUUGUCCUACGGACUAAAACCCUCCGGUUUAUAUAGACACCGGAAAGGUUAGGGUUACACAAGGUUGGUUACAAAGGAGGAGAUAUACAUAUCCGUAUUGCCUAGCUUGCCUUCCACACCAAGUAGAGUCCCAUCCAGACACGAGAUGAAGUCUUCAAUCUUGUAUCUUCAUAGUCUAACAGUCCGGCCAAUGGAUAUAGUCUGGCUGUCCGGAGACCCCCUAAUCCAGGACUCCCACGGUAGCCCCUGAACUAGGCUUUCAAUGACGAUGAGUCCGGCGCGCAGUAUUGUCUUCGGCAUUGCAAGGCGGGUUCCUCCUCCGAAUAUACCACGGAAGAAUUUGAAUAUAAGGAUAGUGUCCGACCCUGCAAAAUAAGUUCCACAUACCACCGUAGAGAGAAUAAUAUUUCCACAAAUCCAAUUUGCUGACUUGUUUUGGCAACAUGACAUUAUGUCACAGCUCUGUGAUUAUUCGAACCGUUUCCUUUAACUAGCCCCGCACAUAAAGUGAGGCAGCUUUUUGACACGUCUUGUCAAAGAAGAGAUCGUGUCCCCCUAAGUACGGGAUUCUCAUCAGUACGGUCGUGGGUAACCCAACCGUGUCUAGGACUCCUAGAUUAUAGGCAAGUCCCAAACGGCUACAGAGAGGACGCUUGAUAUUCACCCUCUUUAUAAAGGGACAAGGCUCUUACUUUUUUCCCUCCCGUGCUCAAUCGAAUCCUUCCCCCGCCUCGAGUUCUAAUACCCAAAGCCCAGGUCAGGUGCUUCGGACCUUCAAUCAUGUCCGGAUCUAGCCUUCAAGGCCGGUGAAUGCCAUCCUCUGUUACAGAAGAGGAUAUCAAGAAGUUGAGGGAGGCUAGAUACCUGACCGCCGAGGUUUCGCAUCGGCUGCCUGCCCGAGGGCAGGCCGUCCCUACUCCUGAACCCAACGAGAACGUUGUGUUCAUCUCCCACUUCCUCCGAGGUCUAGGCCUCACCCUGGAUCCCCUUGUUGGGGGUUUGAUGUUCUAUUACGGGCUAGAUUUCCACGAUCUAGCCCCGGACUCCUUUCUCCACAUCUCGACAUUCAUUGUCGUGUGUGAGGCCUUCCUUCGCAUUACCCCCCACUUCGGCCAGUGGCUCAAAACCUUUGACGUGAAGCCGAAGAUGGUCGAGGGGCAGUAUGCAGCGUGCGGAGGCGCAUUAAUAAGCAAGACAGUAGGAGCUCUGUGGCCCAAAGGUUCCUUUCCAGAUGUGUCUGGAUUAUGGCAAUAGGAGUGGUUUUACAUCACAGCUCCGAGAAGUGCCAAGUGGGUGGCUGCCCCUGCCUUCCGCUCGGGCCCUCCACCACAACUGAUGUCAUGCAUUAGCAGAGGACUGAGCUGGGGUCCAGCCAAGGACGUGCCUAUACUGCAGAGUAGCAUUCCCGAUCUCUUCGAAGGAGAUUUCAGUCUGGUUACGACGGCGCAAGUCAUGCUAGUUCGUCGAGUCCAGCCUUGCAAACGCCGGCCCCUCGGCAUGUGGGAGUUCAACCCAGAAGGGCCGCGUACUAUUCAGAAUUUCCUUGGCCUGACGCACGAGGAGAUAUACAAAUCAUUCUUCGGACCCCAAAUAGAGUGUCCGGAUACUACCGAGGACGUGGGCCUGAGCAGCAACCGUACUGCCGACCAAGUAAGUAAUCCUUUAGCCGAACACAACGUCUUUUAUUUACCAUGACGUCAUUAUGAGAAAUCGGUCUUUGACCAGGACUGGCUAACAAAGGCGAAGAUGAUUCGGUGUUCGGCCCCCCUUCCUGAGGGUUUGGAGAAUCCGAUACUGGAAAAGAUGCUCGAGCUAGCACCUUGCCUGGAGCCCUCAAAGGAAGAUAAAGGGGGGAAUAAUCAGGUCGAAACCGGGCCCCCAUCACUACGAAUUCCAACCAAGGGAAUGAGCACCUCUGUGAAGGAUGAUAACCAAGGAGAAGAAUCCGACCUUCUCUCUCUUUGGGGAAGGAAGAGGAUUGCCUCUAAAGAUCCGGAAACCGAGGCUCCCAAACGGGAGAAGAAGUCUCCACUAGAGGGUCUUGGCUUGGAGGGUGCUUUUGCCGCACAAAGUCCGCGCAAGGAUCAGCCCUCGAAUGAGCUGUAAGUAAUCAGAAAGUACGUUAAAAGUGGAGAUAUACUACCUUACCUCUGAGGAAAAUAACUGAAGCGUUUAUCUUGCAGUUCGAAUCUUAGCCCUUCUCAGUACAGCUCGUCUUCAGGGGAUCUUCUUCCGGAGAUGAUGGAGAGCGAAACGCCUCCCCCGGACUCCCCCGCUCAAGAAGCAGGCGACCUUGAAGUGUCGUUGCGGAGGGGCCCUCCGGAUCCGGUGAGGCCAGAAGAUAAUCCUAUAGUCACCCGAAGUCCCCAGCGUCCGGCUCUUGAAGAGAGCAAACAAAAGAGUCCGGCACCGUCUGGUAUGCGGUCGGACGUACUGAGGGAGCUGUUGGAGCGAGCGGCCAUCUUAGAAGAACACCGUACGUUGAUGGGUACAGUGAUGGAAAGAAUUUCGUCCGUCGAAAGUGGAUUGCAUGGAGUCUUUAUGAGUCUACUGACAGGCUUUGAGGUGCGUGAAAUGAUAUACUUUUUGAUAGUACCGCACAUUUUAGGUGUGCCCUGUGUAGAUAGUAGCCCCUGAGACUGUGGUCGUCGUCGAGAACGGUGGCGAACAGAGGGUCGUAGUCCCAGGUAAUAAUCAUACCACUUUAUGUGCAGGUGAUGGGAGCUCCGGUGGCUGGCCGGACUAAUGAGUUUGCCGAACUAAAGCGGCAACUGGAUGCGGCAGAUGCCGACAUCGAGCUUGUUAACAAGCGGCUUGACGAGGCACAGGGUAAGUAAUGUUUUUUGGUCAACGUCACAUAGUAAGAGCAGCAUGAUGCCAGUAUCUUUAAUAUGUUGUGACUGCAGACGGAGCUGCCACCGUGGAGACCCUUCGAGCGGAACUUGCCCGAGGCAAGGAACAAGCGUGAGUUAGUAAUGCGGCUGCUUUGAAGGCGGCCGAAGAGUUAAGAGCCGAGAAGGCCGCGCAUUGCAAAAGCAAAGAGAAGAUGGCCAAGAUGGCCGUAGAAUUAAAAUACACUGCCGACCGUUGCCAGUUCCUUGAAAAAGACAAUCGAGUGAAGGCAGCGGACCUUGAAAAGGCCACAAUGGUGACCAAAGACACUCGCUCUGCUAUGAGGGCGAAGAAGGAGGAGCUGCACGAAGCCAGGGAUAUUGCGGCUGGGAAGCCCUUUCUGCUACAGAGGAAGUUCGGAGAUCCACGGUAUGCCCCUCUGGAUCGGCUGUGGAGUUCGGUAGACGCAUAUAUGGACUUGGCGGCAAGCGCUGUCGAUGCGGUCGAAUACUUCCGAGAUCAGACAAAUCGUGAAGUGGACAAGCUGUUCUGGUCGCACUUUAACGUUCCAGAGCGUCUGCUUCCAUUGACUGAUCAGCUAGCUGAAUGGGCCGAACUUAAUAGGUUGUCCAGACUUGCCAUGAGGUCCGUCGUAGAUCAUUUGUGGCCGGAGAAGCCGAAGCCGAACAACUAUUUCAGCUUAGUACAGCAGUUCCUUGGUGCGGAGCCGUGCAUCAAUGUGAUGAAGAGGUCGGCGUGCAUAGAAGGCUCGCGGAUGGCCUUUGCCCCUGUCAAGGCAUACUGGGCGGAGAUGGAUGCUACCACUGUUGCGGCGCAAGGUUCGGCCAUAGGCCGAGUAGAUGCCGAGCACUAUUUUGAAGAGGUUCUUGAGGGUGCUCGUUUGAUAGAGUCCCAGUGAGGGAGUCCUGGAUUAGGGGAUGUUCGGGUAGCCGGACUAUACCUUCAGCCGGACUCCUGGACUAUGAAGAUACAAGAUUGAAGACUUCGUCCCGUGUUCGGAUGGGACUUUCCUUGGCGUGGAAGGCAAGCUUGGCGAUGCGGAUAUUCAAGAUCUCCUACCAUUGUAACCGACUCUGUGUAACCCUAACCCUAUCCGGUGUCUAUAUAAACCGGAGGGUUGUAGUCCGUAGGCAAUCAACUCCAUACACAACAAUCAUACCAUAGGCUAGCUUCUAGGGUUUAGCCUCCUUGAUCUCGUGGUAGAUCUACUCUUGUACUACCCAUAUCAUCAAUAUUAAUCAAGCAGGAGUAGGGUAUUACCUCCAUCGAGAGGGCCCGAACCUGGGUAAAACAAAGUGUUCCCUGUCUCCUGUUACCAUCCGGCCUAGACGCACAGUUCGGGACCCCCUACCCGAGAUCCGCCGGUUUUGACACCGACAUUGGUGCUUUCAUUGAGAGUUCCUCUGUGUCGUCGCCUUUAAGCCCGAUGGAUCCUUUGAUCAUCAACAACGAUGCGGUCCAGGGUGAGAUUUUUCUCCCCGGACAGAUCUUCGUCUUCGUCGGCUUCGCUCUGCGGGCCAAUUCGCUCGGCCACCUGGAGCAGAUCGAAAGCUACGCCCCUGGCCAUCAAGUGGUUUGGAAGCUUAAACUACACGGCUGACAUCCGCGGAGACUUGAUCUUCGACGGAUUCGAGUCACAGCCAAGCGCGCCGCACUGUCUCGAUGGGCAUGAUAUAGCUCUGCCGCCGAACAGCGCCUUGGAGGCCGCACACGCAUCGGCUUCGACCAUUGAUUCAGAGCCUACUACGCCGACCGAGGAUCGGCGGUUGGAUGCUGCCUCAGUGGCUGCGAUCUCAGAGGCGAUCGAGCCGAACUCCAGCCCCGCACUCCGCAUGGCCCGUGACUCCGAGGAGCCGGAUUCCUCUCCGAACUCCGAGCCCCUUGUGCCCCUACCGAUCGAAUCCGACUGGGCGCCGAUAAUGGAGUUCACCACCGCGGACAUCUUUCAGCACUUGCCCUUCGGCGACAUCCUGAAUUCUCUAAAGUCUCCCUCUUUAUCAGGAGAGCCCUGGCCGGACUACGGUCAGCGAGGGUGGGAUACGGACGAUAAGGAAAUUCAAAACCCACCCACCACCCACUUUGUAGCCACUGCCGACGAUCUAACCAACAUGCUUGACUUCAGCUCCGAAGACAUCGACGGCAUGGACGACGAUGUAGGAGACGAACAAGAACCAGCACCUGUAGGGCGCUGGAAGGCCACCUCGUCAUAUGACAUAUAUAUGGUGGAUACUCCAAAAGAAGGAGAUGGCAAUGGAACAGUGGGGGAUGACGCCCCCAAGAAACAGCCAAAGCGCCAGCGUCAGCGGCGCCGCUCUAAAUCCUGCCAAAGCAAAAACGGUGAUUCCGGCACGGGAGAUAAUACUACCCCAGAUAGCGCCGAAGAACACCCACCUCAGCAAGAUUUGGCACAGGAAGAUGGAGAAGCUAGCCCUCAUGAGAGAGCGGCAGACCGAGAGGUCAAGGAUGAUAACUAUACGCCUCCCUCCGAAGACGAGCCAAGCCUCGAUGACGAUGAAUUCGUCAUACCAUCAGACCCCGCCGAACAAGAGUAUUUUAAACGCAGGCUUUUAGCCACGGCAAGCAGCCUCAAGAAAAAACAGCAACAGCUUAGAGCUGCCCAACAAUUGCUAGCCGACAGAUGGACGGAAGACCUUGCGGCCGAAGAGUAUGAACUCGAACGCCCCUCCAAGAGUUACCCGAAGCGCAGGCCGCUAGCCCGAUCAAAGGAGGAAGCACCUACAUCACUAGUGCAUGACAUGGCAGACCAGCCACCUCGCGGCCGCUACAGAGAGGCCUGUCGGCCCACCACCCAAGCCAUGCCCCGAUGCCGCUCAACUAAGGCACGGGAAAAUGCGCCCGACCUGCGAGACAUACUGGAGGAUAAGGCAAGACAAACAAGAUCGAUCUAUGGAUCACGCAGGCGCCCUACGACAUGUGACAAUGAUCUUCACUCCGGAUACAACAAAUCCAGCCGGGCCGAACACAACAGACAUAGCUCUUCCGAGCUGCGUCGUGAUAUAGCCCAGUACAGAGGCGCCGCACACCCGCUAUGCUUCACGAAUGAAGUAAUGGAUCAUAAAAUCCCAGAGGGUUUCAAACCCGUAAACAUCGAAUCAUAUGAUGGCACAACAGACCCGGCGGUAUGGGUCAAGGAUUAUCUCCUUCACAUCCACAUGGCACGCGGCGAUGAUCUACACGCCAUCAAAUACCUUCCGCUCAAACUUAAAGGACCGGCCCGGCAUUGGCUUAACAGCCUGCCAGCAGACUCAAUCGGUUCUUGGGAGGACCUGGAAGCCGAAUUCCUCGACAACUUCCAGGGCACUUACGUGCGACCGCUCUAAUUCGGCAGCCAGAAGAAUCAGCCACAUAAUUCAGCAGCCAGAAGAAUCAGCCAGACAAUUCUGGACACGGUUCCUAACAAAGAAAGACCAGAUAGUCGAUUGUCCAGACGUAGAGGCCCUAGCAGCCUACAAGCAUAACAUCCGCGACGAGUGGCUUGCCCGGCACCUGGGACAGGAAAAGCCGAAAUCCAUGGCAGCCCUCGCGACACUGAUGACCCGCUUUUGCGCGGGAGAAGACAGCUGGCUAGCUCGUAGUAACAACUUAUCAAAGAACCCUGGUAAUUCGGAUACCAAGGACAAAAGUGGCAGGAUACGUCGGAAUAAGCAAAAACGCCGCAUUAACAGCGACAGCAAUGAAGACACGGCAGUCAAUGCCGGAUUCAAAGGCUAUAAAUCCGGUCAGCGGAAAAAGCCAUUCAAAAAGAAUAUUCAGGGCCCGUCCAGUUUGGACCGAAUACUCGAUCGCUUGUGCCAGAUACAUGGCACCCCCGAAAGGACAGCCAAUCACACUAACAGGGAUUGUUGGGUGUUCAAGCAGGCAGGCAAGUUAAGGGCCGAAAACAGAGACAAGGGGCUGCACAGCGACGACGAGGAGCCCAAGCCGCCGAACAAAAAUGGACAGAAGGGCUUUCCCCCACAAGUGCGGACGGUGAACAUGAUAUACGCAACCCACAUUCCCAAGCGGGUGGAAGCGUGCGCUACGGGACGUGUACGCGAUGGAGCCAGUCGCCCCAAAGUUCAACCCAUGGUCCUCCUGCCAGAUCACUUUUGAUCGAAGGGAACAUCCCACUAGCAUCCGUCAUGGCGGCUUCGCCGCAUUGGUUCUCGACCCAAUCAUCGACGUAUUUCAUCUCACAAGAGUCCUCAUGGACGGCAGCAGUAGCCUGAACCUGCUUUAUCAGGAUACAAUGCGGAAAAUGGGCAUAGAUCCCUCAAGGAUUAAGCCCACAAGAACGACCUUUAAAGGCGUUAUACCAGGUGCAGAAGCCAAUUGUACAGGCUCAGUAACACUUGACGUGGUCUUCGAAUCCCCGGAAAAUUUCCGAAGCGUAGAGUUAAUCUUCGAUAUAGUCCCGUUUUGCAGUGGCUAUCACGCCCUGCUCGUACGAACCGCAUUCACAAAGUUCAAUGCGGUGCCGCACUAUGCAUAUCUCAAACUCAAGAUGCCAGGCCCUCGAGGAGUAAUUACGGUCAACGGAAACACCGAACGCUCCCUCCGUAUGGAGGAGCAUACGGCGGCUCUCGCAGCGGAGGUACAAAGUAGCCUUCUCAGGCAAUCCUCCAGUCCGGCCAUUGAAAAGCCAGACAUUGCCAAGCGCGCCCGGAGUAACCCACAUCAGGCCCGCAUGACACACUCUGAGCAAGCGUAGCAAUGCGGCUCCAACCCCAGCUUUCGCGACAUAGCGAAACCAGUACCUCGCGUACAUAACUACGCCCUUGAAGGACCAUGGGCACAGGGGAAGGGGCACAAUAACGGCACGCCCAAAAUACGGCUUAAAACGUACCAGGGGCUGCCGGAUUCUUUUUUUUUAAGUUUUUCUUACUUUCAGGACUCCAUACUUCGGACGACCUAUUCGGCAAUUCGACUGCCGCACAAAUGAUGCAAGAUCCAGGGAGGCAGACAAGCCAUGCCGCAUUAUGGAACUCCCAGGUGGUCUCUAUUACGAGCGGUAUACCUGUUUUAAAUACAAAUCUGUGGCCUACCCCUGGUCAGGACAUACUAAAUAGUCUAAUAUCUUUUGCUUACCGCACUAUUUGUAUCGUUCGGCUUUGAUAAAUACCCUCUCUAUAAACAAUGCUUAGCUUUUUGUCUAUUUUUUGCAUUACUCUCUUUUAUAUAUGUUCAUUAAUGACAUGUUGCACCCAUACACUAUGGUACGGCAAGUACGCCAGGGGCUUAAGGACCCUUUAAUAUGGUGAGAGAAGUCCGUACACUUUCACAAGUGCGGGACCCUGAACUUAUAGCACUAUAUGCAUCGGCUCCGAAUCAUGAUUUGGGUCAACAGUUGGGUUUGCCCGGCUCCUAUGUUUUGGUGCCUUACGUUCCGCUCUAUCGGCUAAGGUAGCACUAGGAGAACCACUAUGAUUGUGCCCCGGUUGAGCUGGGUUAAGCACCUCAGUGGAGAAAGCUAAAACUAACUAUCAUGAUGAGGCGAGAGACCAGUCGCUGUUCGAGAGGUUUUUUCGAGUCCCUAAAGACUUAUGCCGCUUCGAGCGAGGAGCUGGAUAACCCCGGCCAAGGCGUGGAUAGCGCCCCGAACUCGGUAUUCCGAACUAGGGGAUUCGCCGAAAUUUAAAAUUAUAAAGUUCUAUGGCUAAGUGAGAGUGUUCAAGAAUUAUAGUCCGAUCGCCUGGUUCGUCGUGCUGAGCGCCUCCCUCGAAGGACCCAACCAUGGGAAAAAGAGCGCUCAGGUUUAUCACCGAACACCCCAGCACUAGUGGCAUGGGGGCAGAAGCCGACGACUGGCCAUCUCUCAAUUUUUGAUAAACGGCCGCACAAAAAAUAAUAUUUUAAAUUCAAUAAGCAUUGCUUAGCGCAUAUGAACAAGUUUUCAACGCACAAGAUAAACACGAGCGAGUUCAUUCAAAAAUUACAUCCUUGGUACAUUCAUCUGCCACAAGGCGGGCACCCGCAAGAACAUCCUUAUAGUAGUUCUUGGGCUUGCGAUGCUCCUUCCCCGGCGGCGACCCGUCCCUCACAAGCUUCUCACCGUCCAGCUUACCCCAGUGCACCUUUGCACGGGCAAGGGCCCUACGGGCUCCUUGGAUGCAGACGGACCGCUUGAUGACUUCGAGCCUUGGACAGGCCUCCAACAGCCGCCGCACCAGCCCGAAGUAACUCCAGGCAGGGCCUCUCCGAGCCACAGCCGAACUAUAAAGCCCUUCAUGGCCUGUUGGGCCGCCUUGUGGAGCUCGACCAGCUGUUUCAGCUGGUCGCUCAAGGGCACAGGGUGUCCGGCCUCAGCAUACUGAGACAAGAACACCUUCUCCGUCGAGCUGCCCUCUUCAGCUCGGUAGAAUGCGGCGGCGGCGGAUGCGCUGCGGGGAAGAUCUGCGAAUGCCCCUGGAGAACUCCGGAUUCGGGUAAGUAACAAGUAGUUUACUUUUAUAUUUCUGCUUUGCAUAAAGAAUGCCUUACCCGCUGCUAUCUUCUUCACAUCCUCCAACUCUUGGAGGGCCUUUUGGGCUUCGGCCUUGGCAGACUUGGCAGUCUCAAGGGCCGCCGCGAGCUUGGACGCUUGGGUCUUUGACUCAAGCUCCAAACUCUCAUGUUUUUUCAUGAGAGCCUGGAGCUCUUGCUGCACCUCGCCGACCUGAGCCCCAAGUUUCUCUCGCUCGGUGUGCUCCGCGGCCAUUUUCUUUUCGGCCUCAGAUAGCGCCUGCUUGAGGGUCGCCACCUCAGUCGUGGCCCCUACAAUAAGCAGUACAAUCCUGUUAUUUUUUUGCAAUCACGCCUCUCUAUAGGCACCUUCUUCCGUAAGGUAUUUCUUACCUUCUUUCUCCUCGAGCUGCCGCUUGGCAAGGCCGAGCUCUUGCUCGGUCCGCCCGAUGUCCUGUUUCAGGACACCCACCUCCGCAGUCAAUGCGGCGGUAGAUAGCAGCGAAGCCUGCAUACGCAUAUUGACUCUUUGUUGUUAGACUCCUGCGAAAUUUAAUAGAUCCUCUAUUCGGCUUUUCUUUCCGAACGACAAACAGAGCAUCAGGGGAUACUGUCUAUGCGGUAAUAUUUUUACAUAUUUUUACUUACCUCGAAGCCUGUUAGGAGGCUAGCGCAAGCUUCACUCAGUCCGCUCUUGGUGGACUGAACCUUCUGGAUCACCGUACUCAUAAUAGUACGGUGCUCCUCGUCGAUGGAGGCGCCUUCAAGCACCUCCAGCAGAUUGUCCGGCGCCUCCGGUUGGACGGAGGCUGCCGGCUCACAAGGCUUGCUCCUCUUGGAAGGAGUUCGCCUGCCGCGGUCUGAAAUUGUUGAAGAUUCCAGCACGGUGUCCGGCAUAAAGCCGGACUUGGAGCCCUGGGGGGUCUUGUCCCCUUUACUCCUGGAGUCUGGGAGGUUGCCUUGCGGCUCCUCUAGGACCACCUCCUCCUGCCCCGGAGCUUGUCGCGACGCUACUUCGGUGUCGUCCACAGUACGGGGGGAGACAGCGGGCGGAACUGAGUUCACGUCCGAUGAAUCCAGGGAGCCGCUCGAUGACUCGUUGAGUUCGGCCCGGGGCGGGCUGCAUGAUUAUAUUCGACAUCAGGGAAAGCUGCGCAACAAAAGGAAUAUCAUGAGUUACUCUGGUAUCCGAACACUUACGAUUUCGCUGGACGCCUGGCCAUGUCCGGCCACUCCUCUUCGUCCUCGUCGGUGUCGGGGGCGUAGUCCGGUGGAGGGGUUUCCUCUUCUUGGACCCUUCGCCCCCCCCCCCUACUGGGGCGGCCUUCCUCUUCUUUCCUCCCCCCGCUGGAGGGGGAGAGGUUUCUUAUUCCUCCUCCUCGUCUCCACGGGAGGAGUGCAUCUCGGACUCGUCGGAUGACGAGUCCGACCCCACCACGUUACGGGCACUCUUUUGAGUCCCCGUGGUCUUCUUCUUCUUGGCCUUCUUUUCCGGCACCACAUAAGGCGCCGGAGCCAGCAGCUUCACUAGUAGAGCUGGGGCUGGGUCUUCGGGCAGCGGAGCCGGACAGUUAAUCGGUCCGGAUAUCGCCCGCCAAGCCUGUCAAAGGUAAGGGAGUUUAGAUCCCGCAUAGAGUUAAACUAUGAAAAAAGCUGAACAUCCUGUAAAGGGUGAAGAUAGGUUGCCUCGCCAGCGUGACGCUGCGAGUUGUAUCCGCGGUCCUCGGAAGCGGAUGCGGGAGCCUUGGCGCCCUUGAAUAGCACCAUCCAGGCAUCUUCGUACGUCGUGUCGAAGAGCCUGCUGAGGGUUUGGUGCUGCGCCGGGUCGAACUCCCACAGAUUAAAAUCCCGUUGUUGGCACGGGAGGAUCCGGCGGACGAGCAUAACCUGGAUUACAUUGACAAGCCGGAUUGGCUUGUUCACCAGGGACUGGAUGCAUGUUUGCAAUCCGGUCACCUCUUUUUCGUCACCCCACGACAGGCCCGUCUCUUUCCAGGACAUAAGCCGCGUGGGGGGUCCGGAUCGGAACUCGGGGGGUGCGAUCCAGUUCGGAUCGUGUGGCUCGGUGAUGUAAAACCACCCGGCUUGCCACCCCUUUAGGGUCUCUAUGAAGGAGCCCUCAAACCACAGGACGUUGGCAAUCUUGCCCGCCAUGGCGCCUCCGCACUCCGCCUGGUUGCCGCACACCACCUUGGGCUUGACAUUGAAGGUCUUGAGCCAGAGGCCGAAAUGGGGGCGGACGCGGAGGAAAGCCUCGCACACGACGAUAAACGCCGAGAUGUUGAGGAUGAAGUUCGGGGCCAGAUCGUGGAAAUCCAGGCCGUAGUAGAACAUGAGCCCCCGAACGAGUGGGUGAAGUGGAAAACCCAGUCCGCGGAGGAAGUGGGGAAGGAAUACUACCCUCUCAUGGGGCCUUGGGGUGGGGAGGAGCUGCCCCUCCUCGGGAAGCCGGUGCGCGAUGUCUUUGGACAAGUAUCCGGCCUUCCUAAGCUUUUUGACAUCGCCCUCCAUGACGGAGGAGACCUUCCACUUGCCUCCCGCUCCGGACAUCGCUGGAGAAGGUUGAGGUGGGAAGUGCGGGCUUGGGCGCUGGAGCUCGAGUGCGUAGGAGAUGGAUAGGCAAAGGAGGAAGAAGGCGUAUGUAAAAAGGUGGAUCCUUAUCCCCUUAUAUGGGCGGAUGCGGUUGUGCGUCCCCACCUGCCUAAUAAAACUCACUUGCCUCCCAAGCGCCGUGGUAAAUGGCGCGGUUAGGGUUACCCAUGUCCGUAUUGAUGAGAAUCCCGUAAAAAGGGCACACGAUCUCUGCUUUGACAAGACGUGCCAAGGAAACCGCCUCGCAAAACAUGCUGAGGUGGAAAAGUAAAAACGAUUCGAGUAAAGGACUUGGCCGUAGUGUGAUAGCGCACUGCGGAAUAUGUCAGCAGAUUUGAUUUGUGUUAAUAUUAUUCUCUCUAUGGCAAUAUGUGGAAGCUUAUUUUGCAGAACUGGACACUACUCUUGGUGUUUACAAUCUUCUACGAAGGACUUGGAGGAGGAACCCGCCUUGCAAUGUCGAAGACAAUUUGCACGCCGGACUCGUCGUCAUUGAAGCCUGGUUCAGGGGCUACUAAGGGAGUCCUGGAUUAGGGGGUGUUCGGGUAGCCGGACUAUACCUUCAGCCGGACUCCUGGACUAUGAAGAUACAAGAUUGAAGACUUCGUCCCGUGUCCGGAUGGGACUUUCCUUGGCGUGGAAGGCAAGCUUGGCGAUGCGGAUAUUCAAGAUCUCCUACCAUUGUAACCGACUCUGUGUAACCCUAACCCUAUCCGGUGUCUAUAUAAACCAGAGGGUUGUAGUCCGUAGGCAAUCAACUCCAUACACAACAAUCAUACCAUAGGCUAGCUUCUAGGGUUUAGCCUCCUUGAUCUCGUGGUAGAUCUACUCUUGUACUACCCAUAUCAUCAAUAUUAAUCAAGCAGGAGUAGGGUAUUACCUCCAUCGAGAGGGCCCGAACCUGGGUAAAACAAAGUGUUCCCUGUCUCCUGUUACCAUCCGGCCUAGACGCACAGUUCGGGACCCCCUACCCGAGAUCCGCCAGUUUGACACCGACACCCAGUGCUCGAAGAAUAUUAUGUUUGAGUGACAUGUAUUCCCAUUGUAAGCAUAAUGUUUUUAUGAAAUGUAGUAAGGCCGUAUUUAACUUUUGCCGAAAAGUAAUAUGAUGCCUCCUGUGCGGCCGUUUAUGUAUAUAUGUAUAUAACCUGAAAGAUUGCAGUCGUCGGCUUCAACCCCCAUGCAUAUAAUGCGGAGGUGUUCGCAGAAAACGCGUGUUCACACUUAACCCAAUGUCUUGGUCCUAUUAAGGAGGUGAUAGCGCAGCGAACGAGGCAACCGGACUAUGAUGCUUUAACACUUUCACUUAUCCAUAGGAGUUUGACGGUGGGGCUACUAUAUAGCCCCUGGUGGCUCCGCACUCUCCCAAACUAGGGGUGCGUAUAUGCCUAGCCGGGAAACGGCCCUUCGUUAAAGCGGAGGAAUUCUAACAUUCCGAUAGGUCAUUGAGUGGUUGACCAGUCUCGCGCUAUAUGAUGACAGUCAGUUUUCGGCUUUCUCUACUGAGGUGCUCGUUCGGACGAACCAGGGCACAAUCGCAGUAGUUCUCCUGGUGCUGCCUUAGCCGAUAGAACGGAACGUAAGGCACCAAAACACAGGAGUCGGGCAAACCCAACAUUUGACCAAAGACAUGAUUCGGAGCUGAUGCAUAUAAGGCCAAACUCGCGACGCCAAACACUCCCUAAGGUAUUCGGUCUUUAUGGUAUAAACCGGGCCUAAAUAGUGCCCUUUGUAAGAAGCCCCUUGUGUCCAGGUACGGGCGUUUAUUCUGACGUGGCCACAUGCCAAGACGUCAGCAUCCUUCUCAAUUCUAUUGAGAAUCCGAGGGAUGUGUAUCAACAAGAGACAGUGAAAAAGGUUUACGCAGGGUCUUAAUCUAAAAAGAAUCCUUGGAGCGGGUCCCUGCUGCACGUUUGCACAUGUGUCUCAAUUGUGCCGUAACCUAGACGGGUGUAGCACGAUGGUUAUCUGUAAAGGACAGGAACUUAGGUGAAAAGUUGUCAUGCAAAAAGGUAGUUUUUAAAGAAACCAUGUAUAAUUAAAGAUAAGUAAAAAUUGCCACUUGUCUGCGCGCGUUGAGCCCCUUGUAUUUGUAAUAGGGGUGUGGCCAUUAAUCCGGUAUGAAUUAUAUAUAGUUGCGCCGGACUCGUCUAACCGUGUCCGUGGUCUUGACGACCUAUCAAAUGCUUUAGUUGGUGAGGCCGUUUUUAGUGUGCAGCUGCCUAGGCAGUCCCACUCUCUUCGGCGUGCAAAUAUCUCUCAAUAUUUCCAUGUACUGCAAUGAUGCCACGUGGACCGGGCAUCUUGAGCGUGAGGGAAGCAUAAUGCGGUAUUGCAUUAAAGUGAGCAAAAGCUUCGCGUCCAAGUAGUGUUUAAUAGCCACUUUGGAACGAAGCAAUGUGGAAUGUUAAAUCUUCGAUACGGAAGUUAUCGGGGAAGCCGAAUAUAACCUCUAGUAGUAGGGAGCCCGUGCAGUGAGCCCCUGGGCCUGGCAUUACUCCUUUAAAGGUAGUGUUGCUAUGGCAAAUUUUCAUUGGAUCUAUCCCCAUUUUGCGGAUUGUAUCCUGGUAUAUCAGGUUUAAACUGCUGCCACCGUCCAUCAGGACUCGUGUAAAGUGGUAUCCGUCAAUUAUUGGGUCUAAUACCAGGGCAGCCCAUCCUGCACGCCGGAUACUUGCUGAGUAAUCACGAUGGUCGAAAGUGAUCGGUUGAGACGACCAGUGGCAGGACUCCGCGGUGAUAGGCCCUUGGGUAUAUUUUUCUGGGAGUGCCGCUUUGUUUCUCCCCUUGAUCACGUGUAACACGUUGACUGUUUUGACUUCUGGUGGAAACUUCUUUUGUUCCCCAGUGUCUUGCUUGGGAGGCUCAUCCUCGCCUUCGCUUGGUGUAUCCUCCCCCUUGUGUACGACGUUGAGCUUGUCGGAUUGCUUGAAGACCCAACAUUCUCUGUGGGUAUGAUUAGCAGGUUUACCAGGGGUGCUAUGGAUCUGAUAUACUUGGUCCAGAAUUUUGUUUAGGCUGGACAGUUCAUCUUUGGCGCCUUUAGAGGGCUGCUUUUGCUGACUUUGCCGAGAGCUUCUAAAUCCGGCGUUUACUGCCGUGCUCUUCGUGCUGUCUUCUUUAUUCCGGCGUUUGUUAUUGUUGUUGCACCGUGAUUUUUUGUUUCCAUCUCUAACUUCGGAUGUACUUGGGUCGCUGAUGCUGCAUCUGGCUAGCCAGCUAUCCUCACUCACGCAAAAGCGGGUCAUGAGGCUUGUUAAUGCUGCCAUUGUUCUCGUCUUUUCUUGGCCGAGGUGUCUGGCAAGCCAUUCUUCACGGACGCUAUGCUUAAAAGCUGCCAAGGCUUCGGCGUCUGGACAGUCGACUAUUUGGUUCUUUUUAGUAAGAAACAUGUUCCAAAGUUUUCGGGCUGACUCUCCGGGUUGUUGAGUUAUAUGACUCAAAUCAUUCGCGUCUGGAGGUCGGACGUAGGUCCCCUGAAAAUUUGCCCGAAAAGCAUCUUCGAGCUCUUCCCAGCUUCCAAUGGAGCUUUGGGGGAGGCUCUUAAGCCAGUGCCGAGCUGGCCCUCUGAGUUUGAGGGGUAAAUACCUCAAUCCAGAUACCAGGGUCUGUUGUUCCGUCGUAUGCCUCUAUAUUUACGGGUUUGAAUCCCUCUGGAAAUUCAUGAUCCAUCACCUCAUCGGUGAAACAUAGGGGGUGUGCGGCACCCCUGUAUCCGGGUGUACCACGUUCAUCGGAUGUUUGUUGUGUUGCCUUGUAUGCUGGAGCGCGCUUACGUGGUCCAUAGAUGGAUCUGGUUGUGCCGUCCUUUUGAUGCGAGUCCUCGCGUGGAUCGCGUAUUGGCUUAUGUGCGGUGUUGUUUGCCGCUCUAUGUUGACCAUGAGGUCGCCUAUCCGACCAGAUGGUUGUUUUGAUUUUUGGUUGUGGGGGAUCUAAGGCCUCCUCAUCGAAUUCAGGUAGCAACUUCCACUUCGGGUAGCUCUUGGUAGGGCGAUUACCACCGUACUUCGCUUCUGUGUUGAGUACUUUGUUCCAUCUGAUUUGGAGUGUGUCUUGCGCAGCUUUGAGCUUUUGCUUCUGCUUUUUUAGACGCCUCGCAGUGGCAAUGAGCCUUUGAUGGGCAUUCUGUUGCUCCGGGUGUCCGUCCGGUGUGACGUCAUCUGGACUAUGAUCUUUGACAGAGUCGGGUUGUUCGGCUUGAUUCUCCGUGUUGCCGUGGUCCAGCAAUGGUUCCCCCUUCUCUAACGCUGGGUCUGUAUGAUCGUUGUUUCUGCCAAGGCGGGAUUUGGGGCAGGCUUACGCCGCCAUUUUGACAGCUUCUCGAGGGAACAACCCUUCGUCGCAUCCUUCCGUUCCUCGUCGUCGUUUUCCUUUGGUGUGUCCACCAUGUAUACGUCAUGUGGUGAAGUGGGCGUCGAGUGCCCUGGGGGCAAUGGUUCCUGUUCGUCUCCUGCAUCGUCGUCCAUGCCGUCGAUGUAUUCGGAGUCGGAGUCGAGCAUGUCGGUUAAGUCAUCGACAGUGGCUAUUAAGUGGGUGGUGGGUGGGCAGCGAAUUUCUUCGUCAUCCGCAUCCCAAUCCUGCUGGGCAUAGUUCGGCCAGGAUUCUCCUGACAAGAAGAGAGACUUUAAUGACUUCAGUAUAUUGCCGAAGGGCGAGUGUUGAAAGACAUCCGCGGAGGUAAACUCCAUGAUUGGCGCCCAACCGGAUUCAAUCGGAACGGGCACAGGCAGUUCGGAGUCCGUGGCCGGAGAAGUAUUCGGCAGUUCAACAACACGGCUCUCGUGCAAGGUAAAGUUGAUGUUCGGCUCGAUCGCCGCUGAGGGUAAGGCCUCCGUGGCGGGGUCCAUCCACCCGUCCGCGGAAGGCGCAACUGGCUCCUAAUUGAGGGUCGGAGCGGCCGCCGGUGCGAUCUCCUUAACACUGUCCGAUGGUAGAGCUAAGUCGUACUCAUUGUGACCGCGUGACGCACAAGGCAGAGGCUCGAAUCCGUCGAAGAUCAAGUCUCUACCGAUAUCGGCCGUGUAGUUUGAGCUUCCAAACCUGACCUGGUGGCCAGGGGCGUAACUUUCAAUCUGCUCCAUAUGGCCAAGCGAAUUGGCCCGCAGUGCAAAGCCGCCGAACACGAAGAUCUGUCCGGGGAGAAAAGUCUCACCCUGGACUGCAUCACUAUCGAUGAUAGUAGGAGCCAUCAAGCCGAACGGCGACGACACAGAGGAACUCUCAAUGAAAGCACCAAUGUCGGUGUCAAAACCGGUGGAUCUCGGGUAGGGGGUCCCGAACUGUGCGUCUAAGGCAGAUGGUAACAGGAGGCAGGGGACAUGAUGUUUUACCCAAGUUUGGGCCCUCUUGAUGGAGGUAAAACCCUACGUCCUGCUUGAUUAAUAUUGAUGAUAUGGUAGUACAAUAGUAGAUCUACCACGAGAUUGGAGAGGCUAAACCCUAGAAGCUAGCCUAUGGUAUGAUUGUAUGUUGUCCUGCGGACUAAAACCCUCCGGUUUAUAUAGACACCGGAAAGGUUAGGGUUACACAAGGUCUGUUACAAAGGAGGAGAUAUACAUAUCCGUAUUGCCUAGCUUGCCUUCCACGCCAAGUAGAGUCCCAUCCAGACACGAGAUGAAGUAUUCAAUCUUGUAUCUUCAUAGUCUAACAGUCCGGCCAAUGGAUAUAGUCCGGCUGUCUGGAGACCCCCUAAUCCAGGACUCCCACAGCCGUCCUUGAUCCGGUGAUAGAAGAAGUGGCACAGCAGCGCCACGGACGACAUCACCCCAACGUAUGCCUCACAGUAGAAGGCGAAGAUCGACAGAAGGAGGACAGAGUUGGGAUGGAGAUGGAGGGCAUGCAGCUUGUGUAAUGGAUGAGGACGGAGUAGAAGAAGUCAGAAAAGGGGGGGGGACCAACCCCGCCACAACGCUGCUCAUGAAGAAGGGAUAGAAGGUGCUGCCCGAGGCCUCCGGCUUGGCAGAGCCAACCUAGAGCGCGGUCUUCCUAUUCUCGUCGCCGCCCUCCGCCGUCAUCAGGAGCGUGGCGGCGAGGUUCUUCUCCGACACGCUAGGCGCGCUCAGGGCCGGCUUAUACCAGGAGGGUGCAAGGGUGGCCCUUGCCUUGCUGGGCGCCAUCAAUGUCGGGCUUGGAGGAGGACUGGUGCAGAUCUGGAGGCUUGGGAGCAAGGAGCAGGAAAGGGGAUCUGGAUCAAGACGAAGGCAAGCAAUGAAGACACUGCGGCGCGCACCAGCCUUUUGUCAGUCAGGCGGUCGCUGAGGCAGCAUGGGGAAGCGGAGACGCCCAUGACCGAUCAAUCUCCAUGCGGCAAUCAAGGCCGCAGGCGGGUGGGGCCCGCGGUGUUCCGCAGUUGACCCUUGGCUUGGCCACGAGGACAAGCACGAGCGUGCCUUGGGCCCAGGGGCUACUAUCGGUAGGGGUACCCAGACUUGCCUGCCUGCGGCCCAGAGCGUGGCUCCACCAGCGGCCUGGUAUAGGCCAUCUUCAUCAACAACCAAUCAAGACCCUCGCGAGGGGUCAAGCCUGGUACAGGCCAUCUUCAUCAACAACCAAUCAAGACCCUCGCGAGGGGUCAAGCCUCGCGACACGGAUGACACAAGACCUCCUCGGGAGCGAAGAGAUCAAGGCGAGUGGCACUGUUGGAAAUAUGCCCUAGAGGCAAUAAUAAAAUGAUUAUUAUUAUAUUUCCUUGUUCAUGAUAAUUGUCUAUUAUUCAUGCAAUAAUUGUGUUAUCCGGAAAUCAUAAUACAUGUGUGAAUACAUAGACCAUAACAUGUCCCUAGUGAGCCUCUAGUUAACUAGCUCGUUGAUCAACAGAUAGUCAUGGUUUCCUGACUAUGGACAUUGGAUGUCAUUGAUAACGGGAUCACAUCAUUAGGAGAAUGAUGUGAUGGACAAGAUCCAAUCCUAAGCAUAGCACAAGAUCGUGUAGUUCGUUUGCUAGAGCUUUUCCAAUGUCAAGUAUCAUUUCCUUAGACCAUGAGAUCGUGUAACUCCUGGAUGCAUAGGAGUGCUUUGGGUGUACCAAAUGUCACAACGUAACUGGGUGACUAUAAUGGUAUACUACAGGUAUCCCCGAAAGUAUCUGUUGGGUUGACACGGAUCGAGACUGGGAUUUGUCACUCCGUAUGACGGAGAGGUAUCUCUGGGCCCACUCGGUAAUGCAUCAUCAUAAUGAGCUCAAUGUGACCAAGUGUUUGGUCACGGGAUCAUGCAUUACGGUACGAAUAAAGUGACUUGCCGGUAACGAGAUUGAACGAGGUAUUGGGAUACCGACGAUCGAAUCUCGGGCAAGUAACGUACCGAUUGACAAAGGGAAUUGAAUACGGGAUUGAUUGAAUCCUUGACAUCGUGGUUCAUCCGAUGAGAUCAUCGUGGAACAUGUGGGAGCCAACAUGGGUAUCCAGAUCCCGUUGUUGGUUAUUGACCGGAGAGUCGUCUCGGUCAUGUCUGCAUGUCUCCCGAACCCGUAGGGUCUACUCACUUAAGGUUCGGUGACACUAGGGUUGUAGAGAUAUUAGUAUGCGGUAACCCGAAAGUUGUUCGGAGUCUCGGAUGAGAUCUCGGACGUCACGAGGAGUUCCGGAGGUGAAUAUUUAUAUAUAGGAAGUCCAGUUUCGGCUAUCGGGAAAGUUUUGGGGGUAAUCGGUAUUGUACCGGGACCACCGGAAUGGUCCCGGGGGUCCACCGGGUGGGGCCACCUAUCCCGAAGGGCCUCAUGGGCUGAAGUGGGAGCGGAACCAGCCCCUGGUGGGCUGGUGCGCCCCCCAUGGGCCUCCCCCUGCGCCUAGGGUUGGAAACCAUAGGGGUGGGGGGCGACCCACCUGACUUGGGGGGCAAGUCCCCCCUUGGCCCCCCCCCCCUUGGAGAUUGGAUCUCCUNNNNNNNNNNNNNNNNNNNNNNNNNNNNNNNNNNNNNNNNNNNNNNNNNNNNNNNNNNNNNNNNNNNNNNNNNNNNNNNNNNNNNNNNNNNNNNNNNNNNNNNNNNNNNNNNNNNNNNNNNNNNNNNNNNNNNNNNNNNNNNNNNNNNNNNNNNNNNNNNNNNNNNNNNNNNNNNNNNNNNNNNNNNNNNNNNNNNNNNNNNNNNNNNNNNNNNNNNNNNNNNNNNNNNNNNNNNNNNNNNNNNNNNNNNNNNNNNNNNNNNNNNNNNNNNNNNNNNNNNNNNNNNNNNNNNNNNNNNNNNNNNNNNNNNNNNNNNNNNNNNNNNNNNNNNNNNNNNNNNNNNNNNNNNNNNNNNNNNNNNNNNNNNNNNNNNNNNCUAGUAGAAAACAGGGCUUUGGUCCAGGCCGGGUCAGCCCAUUAGUCCCGGUUCAGUCCAAAACUGGGACCAAUGUGGGCAUUGGUCCUGGUUCGUGAGCCCAGGGGGCCGGCCGGGCCACGUGGGCCAUUGGUCCCGGUUCAUCUGGACCUUUUGGUCCCGGUUGGUGGGAUGAACCGGGACCAAUGGCCUCGCUCCUGGCCACCACCAUUGGUCCCGGUUGGUGGCUUGAACCGGGACCAAAGGCUCCCCUUUAGUCCCCGCUCAUGUCACCAACCGGGACCAAUGAAGUGCCUAUAUAUACCCCUCGCUCGCGAGCAGAGCACCCCAGUGCUCUGUUUUUCUCUGGCCGAGGGGGAGAGGGCUUGGUGGUGCUCUAGCUCACCUCCUAUGCACACAAGGUGUUCGAUGGAAUGCCCGAGCCACACUACUUAAGCUUUCUCCUCUCCAAGCUCGACCUCCAAGCUCCAUUUUCCAUAAUAUUUGUCUAGGUUUAGCGGUCCGUCACGCCCCGUCCCCGUCUUCACUGCCGUUGAUCACCCGCGCCGAGCUCAUCGCCGGCACCACCGUGGUGAGCCUCUUGUCCUUAUCUUCUUUCUAAAAGGAAAAAUAUUCUUACUUGUAUGUUUACAUAGAUACUUGUAUUAUUUUCUUACUUUUAUUAUUGCAUCUUAUAUAGUGCGAUGGUUUUGGUAUCCGCCCCCGUCGGCCCUCGUCCUGUCUAUGAUUCGGAUGUGGUAUAUAUAUUAUAUUUAUAACUAUUGGUUCAUUUAUUGUUUAUGAAAAUUAUGCCGACCAAUGUGACAUAGAUUUUAUUUAUGUAGGAUGUAUGUGAAUCGGAAAUGCCAACCGACCCUAUUGUCGAGAGGUUAAAUUUAGUUGAAGAAGAAAACAAUUUGUUGAAGGAAAAAAUAAAAAAAUUGAGGAGGAGAAGAUGAUAUUGGAGUUGCAUGUUGCGGAUGUCGUCGAUGAUCACAAGAUCAAGAUGGAUGCAAUGCGCUUGAAGAUUAGAAAGAUUGGAAAAUAUGCCAUUCAUACCGAGGCUUGGUAUCAUUAUGCCGUUGGAUCAAUUGUUACCUUGGUUGCGAUUAUGAUCACAUUUGUUUUCGCAUUGAAAUGUUUUACAUAGUUUCAACGUAUGGUUUAAUUAAUUAGAUGCUCUAGAGAGCUAUGUUGUUAGAUGAGAACUAUGUAUGCACUUUGGUUUUAAUGUGAUGAUGAACUUCUAUUAAUUUGGACACUUAAUUAUAUAUAAUGCACGCAGAUGAACCGGCAAUGGAUGUACGGUGACAGACACACUUGUGAGUACAUUAAGGGCGUGCAUGAGUUUCUCGAUGCGGCUGAGGCAAACAAGCAGAACAGUUUUAUGUGUUGUCCAUGAACUGAAUGUCGGAAUACGAGGUCUUACUCUAACUGGAAAAUCCUUCACUCCCACCUGCUUUACAAGGGUUUCAUGCCACACUAUAAUGUUUGGACGAGGCAUGGAGAAAUAGGGGUUAUGAUGGAAGACGGCGAAGAAGAAGAGUACGAUGACAACUAUGUGCCCCCUGAAUACGGGGAUGCUGCAACGGGGGGAGCUAGCGAAGAUCAAGAGGAACCAGACGAUGUGCCCAAUGAUGCUGCAACGGGUGAAGCUGCUGAAGAUCAAGAGGAACCAGACGAUGUGCCCGAUGAUGAUGAUCUCCGCCGGGUCAUUGCCGAUGCAAGGACGCAAUGCGAAAGUCAAAAGGAGAGGCUGAAGUUCGAUCGCAUGUUAGAGGAUCACAAAAAAGGGUUAUACCCCAAUUGCGAAGAUGGCAACACAAAGCUCGGUACCGUGCUGGAAUUGCUGCAGUGGAAAGCAGAGAAUGCUAUGGCUGACAAAGGAUUUGAGAAGCUACUAAAAAUAUUAAAGAAGAAGCUUCCAAAGGAUAACGAAUUGCCCGACAGUACAUACGCAGCAAAGAAGGUCGUAUGCCCUCUAGGAUUGGAGGUGGAGAAGAUACAUGCAUGCCCUAAUGACUGCAUCCUCUACCGCGGUGCAUACAAGGAUCUGAACGCAUGCCCGGUAUGCGGUGCAUUGCGGUAUAUGAUCAGACGAGAUGACCCUGGUGAUGUUGAUGGCGAGCCCCCCAGGAAGAGGGUUCCUGCGAAGGUGAUGUCGUAUGCUCCUAUAAUACCACGGUUGAAACGUCUGUUCAGAAACGAAGAGCAUGCCAAGUUGAUGCGAUGGCACAGUGAGAACUGAAAGAAAGAUGGGAAGUUGAGAGCACCCGCUGACGGGUCGCAGUGGAGAAAAAUCGAGAGAAAGUACUCGGAUGAGUUUGCAAAGUACCCAAGGAAUGUAUGGUUUGCUUUAAGCGCGGAUGGCAUUAAUCCUUUCGGGGAGCAGAGCAGCAAUCACAGCACCUGGCCCGUGACUCUAUGUAUGUAUAACCUUCCUCCUUGGAUGUGCAUGGAGCGGAAGUUCAUUAUGAUGCUAGUUCUCAUCCAAGGCCCUAAGCAACCCGGCAACGAAAUUGAUGUGUACCUAAGGCCAUUAGUUGAAGAACUUUUACAGCUGUGGAAUGGAAACGGUGUACGUACAUGGGAUGAGCACAGACAGGAGGAAUUUAACCUUAAGGCAUUGCUGUUCGUGACCAUCAACGAUUGGCCCGCUCUCAGUAACCUUUCAGGACAGACAAACAAAGGAUACCAUGCAUGCACGCACUGUUUAGAUGACACUUAAAGUAUAUACCUGGACAAAUGCAGGAAGAAUUUGUACCUGGGCCAUUGUCGAUUUCUUCCGACCAACCAUCAAUGUCGAAAGAAAGGCAAGCAUUUCAAAGGCGAGACAGAUCACCGGAAGAAGCCCGCCAUGUGUACCGGUGAUCACGUACUUGCUAUGGUCAAUGAUUUACACUACAUAAUCUUUGCAAAGGGUCCCGGUGGACUAGCUGUUCUGAAUGACGCUGAGGGACACGCACCCAUGUGGAAGAAGAAAUCUAUAUUUUGGGACCUACCCUACUGGAAAGACCUAGAGGUCCGCUCUGCAAUCGACGUGAUGCACGUGACGAAGAACCUUUGCGUGAACCUGCUAUGCUUCUUGGGCGUGUAUGGGAAGACAAAAGAUACACCUGAGGCACGGGAGGACCUGCAACGUUUGCACGAAAAAGACGGCAUGCCUCUGAAGCAGUAUAAAGGUCUUACCAGCUACACUCUUACGAAAGAAGAGAAAGAAAUCUUCUUUGAAUGCCUACUCAGUAUGAAGGUCAUGAUUGGCUUCUCGUCGAAUAUAAAGGGAAUAAUAAAUAUGCCAGAGAAAAAGUUUCAGAACCUAAAGUCUCAUGACUUCCACGUGAUUAUGACGCAACUGCUUCCGGUUGCAUUGAGGGGGCUUCUACCGGAAAACGUCCGAUUAGCCAUUGUGAAGCUAUGUGCAUUCCUCAAUGCAAUCUCUCAGAAGGUGAUCGAUCCGGAAAUCGUACCAAGGCUAAGGAGUGAUGUGGCGCAAUGUCUUGUCAGUUUCGAGCUGGUGUUCCCACCAUCCUUCUUCAAUAUCAUGACGCACAUCCUAGUUCAUCUAGUCGACGAGAUUGUCAUCCUGGGGCCCGUAUUUCUACACAAUAUGUUCCCCUUUGAGAGGUUCAUGGGAGUCCUAAAUAAAUAUGUCCGUAACCGUGCUAGGCCAGAAGGAAGCAUCUCCAUGGGCCAUCAAACAGAGGAUGUUAUCAGGUUUUGUGUUGACUUCAUUCUUGGCCUUAAGAAGAUAGGUCUCCCUAAAUCGCGGUAUGAGGGGAGACUGACUGGAAAAGGCACUCUUGGAAGAGACUCAAUAAUAUGCAGGGACGGAUAUUCUUGGUCUCAAGGACACUACACAGUUCUACAGAACUCUACCUUGGUGACCCCGUAUGUCGAUGAACACAAGAACAGUCUGCGCUCCAAACACCCGGAGCAGUGCGACGACUGGAUUAUAUGUGAACACAUCACGAAUUUCAGCAGUUGGUUGGAAACACGUCUCAGAGGUGACAACACUGUUUGUGAUGAGUUGUACUUGUUGUCCAGGGGACCAUCUUUGACUGUAUUGACUUACAAAGGAUACGAGAUAAAUGGGAAUACAUUUUACACGAUCGCUCAAGAUCAAAAGAGCACCAACCAAAACAGCGGUGUCCACUUUGAUGCAGCAACCGAGAGCGGAAAGGACACAUAUUAUGGUUACAUAGUGGACAUAUGGGAACUUGACUACGGACCUAAUUUUAAGGCCCUUUGUUUAAGUGCAAAUGGGUCAAUCUGUCAGGCGGCGGGGUACUGGUAGACCCACAGUACGGAAUGACAACAGUGGAUCUGAAAAAUCUUGGGUACACUGACGAACCGUUCGUCCUAGCCAAUGAUGUGGCAUAGGUUAUCUAUGUGAAGGACAUGUCUAUCAAACCGAGAAAAAGAAAAGAUAAGGAAGCGAAUACAUCAUACGAUGAGCCAAAGUGCCACAUAGUUCUUUCAGGAAAUAGGGACAUCCUGGGAGUGGACGGCAAGACAGACAUGUCUGAAGAUUAUGAAAAGUUUCAUGAAAUUCCUCCCUUCAAUGUCAAGGCUGACCCAAGCGUCCUGAUAAACAAUGAAGAUUAUCCAUGGUUACGACGCAAUAAGCAAAUGACACAAGCGAAGAAGAAGUGAAUACUUUCUCCCGCAACUAUUAUGAUGAUACCAUGCCAACUUUGUAACACACGAACAUGCUACCAUUGUCCGUUUUGUACAUGCACAUGCUAUGUGGGUGAAAUUAUGAUACCAUGCCAACUUUCAACUUUUUCAGAGUUCAUUUGAAAUGCUUUCAUGUCUUAUGGUUCAGCCCUCGUAAUACCAUGACCAUUAGUCCCUGGCCCAUGCCAACUUUCAACUUUCAACUUUCUAAAACUAAUGGCACUAACAGAAAGUUUAUAAUUUUGCUCCUCGCCCCUGGCCCAUGACCAUUAGUCCCGGUUUGUGCCACAAACCGGAACUAAAGGGUUGGUCCUCGUUGCAGGCAGAGUUUACUCCCACCUCGCCAACCGAAGGGGGCUCACACCAGUUUAUAAGCCCUUCCCUCUCUGCCUUGUUGAGCUCCUCUCCAAGUGAAAAUAGAUGCCCUAAUAGAGAAAAGUUUAACCUAAAUUCAUAGUGAAUUUCUCUGAAAUUCAUAGAAAUUUACUAGGAAUUUAGGUUGAAUUUUCUCUAUAAGCGCAUCUACUCUCAUCUUUUUAGUAAGUUAAUCACAAACUUGUGAUUCAAACAAUUUUCAAACAAUUCAAAUUUUAACUAUUCAAAUUUGGAAACUAAUGGUACUAACAGAAAGUUUAUAAUUUUUCUAAAACUAAUGGCACUAACAGAAAGUUUAUAAUUUUGCUAACCUAAAAGCAAACAGAAUUAAAAAUUAAAGCAAAAAACAAAAGAAAAUAAAUAAUGCAAAAAACAAAUCAAAAAACAGGAAAAAAAACUAUUUUUAUAGUAAAGUUAAUCACAAAAUAAAAUAAAUAAAGCAACAAAGAAAACAAAAAAACUAAAAAAGCGUUUUCAAAUUUGAAAACUAAUGGCACUAAUAGAANNNNNNNNNNCACAAAAUAAAAUGGCACUAACAGAAAGUUUAUAAUUUUUCUAAAACUAAAAGCAAAAAGAAUAAAAAAAUAAAGCAAAAAACAAAAAAAAUAAUGCAGAAAACAAAACAAAAAAACUGGAAAAAAUAGCAACAAUAAGUAUUUUGUUGUAAGUAGAAACAAAAUAAAAUAAAUAAAGCAACAAAAAAACAAAAAAACAAAAAAUGUGUUUUCAAAUUUGAAAACUAAUGGCAUUAACAAAAAGUUUAUAAUUUUUCUAAAACUAAAAGCAUAAAGAAUGAAAAAAUAAAUCAAAAACAAAAUAAAAUAAAAUAAAUAAAGCAACAAAAAAACAAAAAAAAAUGCCACCUACUGGGCCCCCACGACCUGAAUACGACUAGAAACCCAUCAAAGGGCCAGGAUUCAGGCCCGCAGGAGGCCUAGUAGGCCCACAGGCAUAACAGUGACAAUUAGGCCCGUAAGCCUGUAAUGGAGAGAAGCUCGACCGGGGUGCGGCAGUGGGGCUUAUAAACCACUGCGCACCCCUCUCAACUAGCGAGGUGGGACUAAACUUUCGACGCAGCAGCCGCACAAGGCCUUUGGUCCCGGUUGGUGGCACCAACCGGGACUAAAGGGGGGCAUUGGUCACAGUUCGUGGCACAAACCGGGACCAAUGCCCGCCUUUAGUCCCAGUUGGUGCCACCAACCGAGACCAAAGGCCGCCGUUUCCCACCCAUUGGGCUGCUGAAAAGAGGCCUUUGGUCUCGGUUGGUGGCACCAACCGGGACUAAAGGGGGGCAUUNNNNNNNNNNAAAAAACUGGAAAAAAUAGCAACAAUAAGUAUUUUGUUGUAAGUAGAAACAAAAUAAAAUAAAUAAAGCAACAAAGAAAACAAAAAAACAAAAAAAGUGUUUUCAAAUUUGAAAACUAAUGGCAUUAACAAAAAGUUUAUAAUUUUUCUAAAACUAAAAGCAUAAAGAAUUACAAAAUAAAGCAAAAAACAAAAGAAAAUAAAUAAAGCAACAAAAAAACAAAAAAAAUGCCACCUACUGGGCCCCCACGGCCUGAAUACGACUAGGAACCCAUCCAAGGGCCAGGAUUCAGACCCGCAGGAGGCCCAGUAGGCCCACAGGCAUAGCAGUGACAAUUAGGCCCGUAAGCCUGCAAUGGAGAGGAGCUCGAGAGGGAUGCGGCAGUGGGGCUUAUAAAGCACUGCGCACCCCUCUCAACUAGCGAGGUGGGACUAAACUUUCGACGCAGCAGCCGCACAAGGCCUUUGGUCCCGGUUGGUUCUACCGGGACUAAAGGGGGGCAUUGGUAAUGGUUUGUGCCACGAACCGUGACCAAUGCCUUUGCUAUAUAACUAGCACUUGUGAAAAUUUCCAUUCAGUUCGUCUUCCCUGCCCGACACCGCCAGGCUGCCCCUCUGCGCCUCGCCGUCGCCGUCGUCGCCCNNNNNNNNNNCGUCGCCGCCCCGCGUCGCACCCCGACGCCAUCGCUGCCCCGCCUCUGCCUCGCCGUCGCCGCCCCGCGCCGUCGUCGCCUCUCGCUUUGGUCAGGGCCGGCACCGCCCCCCUCUUCCCCCGUGUUUUUAAUUUUUUUGCAAAUUCAUAUAUGUUUUUUCCUGAUUAUAUGUAUAUGUAUAGUAUAUGUAUGUGUGUAUAUGUAUGCAAAAGAUAGAUUAACAGAAAAAUAGUAUUUUUUUCUGUUCAUAGAUUUUUUUGGUGAUAUUGAUUAUUGUAAAUAUGCAAAUGUUUGCAUAUUCAUAUGAACAAUGAAUUAGGCAAAACCUUUACUUUUUUUCUAAAAUUUCUAUUUGAACAUUAUUUAAAAAAAACAAGCAAUACUACUUCAUGCAUUUUUAAGAAGGAAGAAGAAGAAAAAGAAUGAGCGGAAAAAGGAAAUAAGAAGAGGAAGAAAGGAGAAAAAGAGGGGAGAGGAAGAUGAGGAGAAAUAAAUAAGAAGAAGAAAAANNNNNNNNNNNNNNNNNNNNNNNNNNNNNNNNNNNNNNNNNNNNNNNNNNNNNNNNNNNNNNNNNNNNNNNNNNNNNNNNNNNNAUAUCCUAUUUUCUCUUUUCUCCUCUAUUCCUUUCUUCUUCUCCUCUUUUUUUUUCUUCGACACGUGGGGGGGGGGUCGAGAACGUCGGACAUUCAUGAGAGAGGCGAGGAAGAAGGGGAAGAAGAGGGAGAAGAAAAGGAGAGGAAGAAGAGGAAGUCUUCUCCUCUAUUCUUUCUUCUCUUCUUUUUUCUUCUUCUUCCUAUAUGUAUUAGUUUUUUUAUUUAGGUUGUUAAUUAGUAGAUAUUAAUUUUGUUCAUAUAUGUAUGGAUGCAUGUGAUAUGUAUGUAUGUAUGUAUGUAUCGGGUAUGUCAUUGUCAAUAUACCCCCUACCCGAUAACUUCGACAUGAGGGGGUCGAGAGGGGGUCUAGGGUCGCCGAGGGGUCGAGGGUCGUUGAACAUGAGAGUAAGAAAAGGAUAAAAAAGAAGAGGAAGAAGAAAAAAAGAGGAGAAGAAAGAAUAGAGGAGUUCUUCUCCUCUAUUCUUUCUUCCCUCUUUUUUUUUCUUCUUCUUCCUCUUUAUUUUAUCGGGAACGAGGGUCGUCGAGGUUCGCCGAGCGGUAGAGGAGAAACCCUAAAUAGAAAGUAUCGUCGGUGUGAGAUACAUGUACCAUCGGUGUCGGACACUACAUCCACGUCCCACAAGUGGCGCGGGCUUCGACGCCCACGCCACUUGUGGGACGUGGAUGUAGUGUCCGACACCGACGACCACAUGUAUCUCACACCCACGAUACUUGCUAUUUAGGGUUUCCUCUAUCAUUNNNNNNNNNNNNNNNNNNNNNNNNNNNNNNNNNNNNNNNNNNNNNNNNNNNNNNNNNNNNNNNNNNNNNNNNNNNNNNNNNNNNNNNNNNNNNNNNNNNNNNNNNNNNNNNNNNNNNNNNNNNNNNNNNNNNNNNNNNNNNNNNNNNNNNNNNNNNNNNNNNNNNNNNNNNNNNNNNNNNNNNNNNNNNNNNNNNNNNNNNNNNNNNNNNNNNNNNNNNNNNNNNNNNNNNNNNNNNNNNNNNNNNNNNNNNNNNNNNNNNNNNNNNNNNNNNNNNNNNNNNNNNNNNNNNNNNNNNNNNNNNNNNNNNNNNNNNNNNNNNNNNNNNNNNNNNNNNNNNNNNNNNNNNNNNNNNNNNNNNNNNNNNNNNNNNNNNNNNNNNNNNNNNNNNNNNNNNNNNNNNNNNNNNNNNNNNNNNNNNNNNNNNNNNNNNNNNNNNNNNNNNNNNNNNNNNNNNNNNNNNNNNNNNNNNNNNNNNNNNNNNNNNNNNNNNNNNNNNNNNNNNNNNNNNNNNNNNNNNNNNNNNNNNNNNNNNNNNNNNNNNNNNNNNNNNNNNNNNNNNNNNNNNNNNNNNGGCCACAUGUAUCUCACACCCACAAUACUUGCUAUUUAGGGUUUCCUCUACCGUUCGGCGACCCUGACCCUCGACGACCCUCGUUUCCGAUAAAAUAAAGAGGAAGAAGAAGAAAAAAAAAGAGAAGAAGAGAAUAAGAAGAAAAAAGAGGAGAAGAAAGCGCGGGCUUCGACGCCCACGUCACUUGUGGGACGUGGAUGUAGUGUCCGACACCGACGGCCACAUGUAUCUCACACCCACGAUACUUGCUAUUUAGGGUUUCCUCUACCGCUUGGUGACCCUCGACGACCCUCGUUCCCGAUAAAAAAAAGAGGAAGAAGAAGAAAAAAAAGAGGAGAAGAAAGAAUAGAGGAGUAACUCCUCUAUUCUUUCUUCUCCUCUUUUUUUCUUCUUCUUCCUCUUUUUUUUUAUCCUUGAAGCAUUGUCGAGGCCACCCCAAACCCUAGAGAAGCAGCGUCGAGGCCACCCCAAACCCUAGAGAAGCAGCGUCGAGGCCACUAAUUAAUAUUAGUUCUACGUUUUCCACUAAUAUAUCCAUCUGUCAUGUUUGAAUAAUAAUUGCCAUGUUGUCAAUAUUUGUAGAAACUAUGGACACCGCCCGAGACGAAGUACAAGAAGAGUUGUUGGGGGACAUAAUCGCACAAGAAGUGAUGCCGUCUGCUCAUUGUUUCUCGACGACACCGAUGGUCUGGAAGCAGCUGGCUAUCAUUAUGAUGGCUCCGGUGACCUAAUGCCGGUGCAAGAAGGAGACCGUGAGGACGGCUCCGGUGACCCAAUGCCGGUGCAAGAAGGAGACCGUGAUGACGUGUUCGAUGACCGAACCGAGUCCGGCCAGGUAUAUAUAUUAGUUAAGCUUCUGCUGACUAGCUAAUUGAUGCAUUCAUUGUUUUGGUAUGUACACAUAUUAAUUAAGUCUUUGUUAUUUUUCUAGCCCUCCGGAUCGAGCACAACUUCGGUAAAGAGACGAGGCCCGAAGAAAAAGUUGAGCUCGGAUGAAAAGUUUGAGAUCAUAGCAAUCGCGCUCGACGGCCAACCGAUUGAACCCCUCCGGACAAAGAGCGCAUUUGUUGCUCAGUGCGGGGUUUUGGUUAGGGACAAGAUCCCGAUCAGCAUUCAGCAAUGGUUUAAGCCGGCUAUAGAAGACCCUGAGGUGUCUUAUGUCAAUGAUAUGCAGAAAAAUGAUCUUUGGACUGAGCUGAAGUCAAAUUUCACCCUACCGCCAGAGGAUAAUCCAGAGAAGCCAGUUAAAGAGCAAUUAAUCAAGUCUUUUGCUCUUAAGAGGAUGGCAGAACUAUUCAGGAGGUGGAAGAAAGAUCUGAAUAAGUUUGUCAAAAAUAAUGAGACACUAGAAUUCAAGGGCAGAUAUGAGAAGAUCAGAGAUCACUGGCCCGCAUUUGUGGCCCACAAGACAUCGGAAAAGAGAAGAAGAUAUCGGUGACAAACAAGCAAAAUGCUGCGAAGAAGAAGCAUCACCAUCGCACGGGGUCAUGUGGCUACCUCGUAGCCCGGCCUAAGUGGGCCAAGACUGAGAAUGAUCUGGUUGAUAAAGGGAUCGAACCAGAGACAAUUAACUGGCCAGACCGUUGCCGGACUUGGUUCUUCGGGGCUGGCGGAACCUUGGACCCUGUAACAGGGAAGUGCAUUUGGACGAACGAUCAAAUGGACAUACCAGUCAGGAAGCUUCAACAGUAUAUCGAAGCAGCGCAGCCUGAGCACCCUGGAUGGACACGAGGCACGCCAGGCUCCAUUCCGUGGAAGGUUGGGUUUCCGGACGCAGGCGGUUACAAAUCCCAUGAGAGGAGGAAAAAAUUGCAGCAGACCCAAAUGCAGGCGCUGCAAGCAAGGAUACAAGCGAUAUAGGAACGAGAAGCAAAUCGCAGCAAACGUACUGCCGAAGCUUCCCCCGAAGCUACCCCGCCAUCUCAGCGGAGAAGCAGCGUGGCUUCCACCGAGCUGCUUCAGCCGGAGCAUGCCUUGAUGGCUCCUGCCAGCUAUCCCGUGGAUGCUAUCACGGAGUCUCAAAAUUGCCACCUUAUAAUGCAAUGGAUGAAUUUGAAGGUCAAGGCGGCUGUUGGCUCUGUUUAUCCUACUGAACCCGACGCAACUUUUCACUGCCGGCCGAUUCCAGAAGGAUAUGCUAGGGUGAUGGUGGAUGAAAUAACAGAGGGAUUUGAGGACCUCCAGCUUGACCACCCUACCGGUGAAGGGGAGACUAGGUUGGGGUCUACUCUGAAGACUCCAGGCAUAUGGCAGAAGGAGCUCAUCAACCUUCCGAACUGGACGCCUCCGCCUCCUCCUCCUCCUCCGGCAAGUCAGGGCACUCCACCUCCUCCACCGCCUCCUUCUCCGGCGAGUCAGGGCACUCCGCCUCCUCCACCGCCUCCUCCUCCGGUGAGUGACGAUCAGGGCACUCGACCGGCUCCUUCUCCAGCGCGUGGCGGCACUCCGCCUCCUUCUCCGCCUGCGCCGACGCGCCGGAGCAGCCAGCCUCCUCCUUCUCCGCCUCGUCAGCAAGGGCGGAAGAGACCUGCUGCCGCUCCGGCUGCUCCGGCGCGUCGUAGUCCUUCUCCUUCGCCUCGUAAGCAAGUAAAGAAGACAAUCACUCCGUCUGCUCUGUCGGCGUCUAGUAGUACAGCCAGAGGCGGGAGGAAAUACAGAUUUGGUCCUUCUCUGAAGACUCCAGAGAAGUUACCAUACGAGAGGACCCCGGAGGAGAGCGCCGAGAUCGCACGAGAAGAAGUGAGGAACUACUUUGAAUGGGUGAAAGCAAAGAAACAUCCACCUUCGGAGGAGAAGGUCGAUCCAGUGAAAGCGAAGCACACUCUGGCUACCCUGACAAAACCACCCAAGUCUCUGCCGAAAGGAAACUAUGAGCGCAUUAUUGGAAAGGAAUUUGCCGAAGCGGAGCGGUCGGGAAGUACUGUCAGUGAUCAAAGGCUGAAAGAAUGACGAGCUGGAAAACAAAUUGCCCAGCUCGGCGAACAAGCGAAGCAAUCGUGCCCCCCGCUCAAGGUGCCUAGCGACAACGUCGCUAAUGAUCUGAGGAUGGUGCCCGGUUAUAGCAAUCUUGGCGAUUACCUGCCUGACGAUGUACAUUAUGAUUUCAUGGAGGUGCAGAUACAAAGAUACGAGUACGGGAAGCCUCUCGUCAAAUAUGAAAGAUCUCUAUCAACGAUGAUGCGAAGAUUGCAUGAUUGGUACUUGAAAAUCUACAGAGACUCUGGGGGGAGGAGUACUUUGUAUGUGAAAGUUAAAAAGGAGCAUGCCCUCGUUGGAAUUGAACUGUUGCCUGUUCCAUUCGAGGAGUUCUUUCUGUUUUUCAAUCAAUUGGCCCUCGAUAAAACAACGGUCGCCUGCUACUGUCUGUAAGUAGUACUACUUCUGUCAUUAAGUCUCUCUAUAUAGCUCAGCUCUUUCAUUGCAUGUAUUUAUAAUCAUCCUCAAUAUAUUAUGCAGAUUGAAGAUCGCCGAAUUGAAGAAAAGACAAGUCGGUGAUAUUGGGUUCAUUAACACAUAUCUCAUAGAUGCAACUCAGAUUAAAUUUCAUGCCGCAGAUACCGAGGCCAACUUGCUACGAUCGUUGGUAAUAAAUGAAAACAAAGAUAUAAUACUCUUUCCUUACAACUUCAAGUGAGUGUUACUGUCUUGUGCGUAUUCGGUUUCCCUUAUAUAUUAGUCAAGGUUAUAGUAAUGUAAUUGAUGAGUUAUGCAUGCGUGUGCAGUUACCACUAUAUUCUCCUAGAGAUUAAGCUUGAGCAGGGACUAGUAACCGUCUUAGACUCAAGACGAAAAGAUCCCCAGGACUAUGCAGACAUGACUCAAAUGCUCGAGAAGUAAGUUAAAUCGAUCAUUAUCCACCAUAUCAGCAACUUUGUUCAUUUCCUGAUAUAUCAAGUAAUUGUUUUCUUUGUCUGGCAGGGUUUGGAAAAAAUUCUGCAAAGAAGCUCCAGGACUCCUGAAGAAGCUGCAAUUUAGACACCCGAAAGUAAGUACUAUAGUAGCAUGUUCCGUGCAUCUCCUAUUGAUUCAAGCGCUAGUUUCAUCAAUACCAUUUGGCAUUCUUGCUUAUCAGUUUGAUUGACCACUAUUUCUUGUAAAGUGGUUGUGGCAGGAACAAGGGAAUGAUUUCUGUGGAUACUACGUUUGCGAGUCCAUCCGCCACACGACCUGUGAGCGGGGCUACACUGACGAACAAUAUGAAGUAUGUAAAUAACAACAUUCACAAUUUUAUUUUAUUACCAUCAUUUGUGUUGAUUUUCAUUCAUUCAUAUAUAUAUGUAUUGACCCCCUUCUUCAAAUUAGAUGUUUCGAAAGCGGGAUAAACUCCUAGCACCAGCUCGCAUGCGAGCAAUUCAAGAGGAAUUGGCGGCAUUCUUUCUUGACCAUGUGAUCGCUGAAGACGGAGAAUACUAUGUGGACCAUGAGUCCGUAUGAUUAUAUUUGUAAGAGAUAAUUAUUGUAUAUAUGUAGCCAGUAGUGUCGGAUAGAUAUACGAGAACUUGUUGUUCGACCAAUCUCUCGGAGAAGGAGAGGUGGUCCAUAUCACUUCUCUCUGUAUGCAUAUAUGUUCAUGAUGAUCUUCUGUUUCCUUCGUUUGCUUACUAGCUAGCUAGCGUGUCUAGUCCUCUCUAUACGUAUGUAUAGUACGUAGCGUCGACCAAGCACGGACAUAAGAGAGGACACUUCUCUCUAUUAAUUAUAGCUAGCUAACACAAUAUAUGAAACACCUAAAUUAACCCUCCAAAACCCCCAACCCCCCCCCUUUCAAAAAAAAAAAACCAGCCACAGAAAUGCUGACGCGUGGAUGCCUAUUGGUUCCGGUUGGUGCCACCAACCGGGACCAAAGGGUCUCCUGCCUGGGCUCCGCGCACAGACCACGUGGAGGCCCAUCAGUCCCGGUUCUGGAUUGAACCGGGACUAAAGGGACAGGGCAUUAGUACCGACCCUUUAGUCCCGGUUCAGGAACCGGGACAAAAGGACCUUACGAACCGGGACAACAGGCCCUUUUUCUACCAGUGCUAGGGGUCCUAUAUAUAGUGGGAGGGAGGGAGGGCAGCCGGACCCAAGUCCCUGGCGCCUCCCUCUCCCCUCGUAACAUCUCUCUCUCUCGUUGGAGCUUAGCGAAGCCCUGCCGAGAUCACUGCUGCUUCCACCAUCACGCCGUCGUGCUGCUGGAUCUCCAUCAACCUCUCCUUCCCCUUGCUGGAUCAAGGAGGAGACGUCUUCCCCAACCGUACGUGUGUUGAACACGGAGGUGCCAUCCGUUCGGCGCUCGGUCAUCGGUGAUUUGGAUCACGACGAGUACGACUCCAUCAACCCCGUUCUCCUGAACGCUUCCGCUCGCGAUCUGCAAGGAUAUGUAGAUGCACUCUCCUCUCCCUCGUUGCUAGAUGACUCCAUAGAUUAAUCUUGGUGAUGCGUAGAAAAUUUUAAAAUUCUGCUACGUUCCCCAACAGGCACCUCGUGAGGUUUCCGUGAUGUGAGCCAUGACGACCGAGGCCAGGCGGGCGCCGGCGGGCGCAGAGUACCAGUUGCCUCUUUGGUGCUAAAGGGGCAAGUGAAGGCGAGGAGUCCCGAGGCAUCAGGCAAAGGUUUUCAUAUUAGUGCAAUGAAACCAAGACCAGCAGGACGGGGGUCAUCACGGAGCCCACGACAGCAUCACCACCAGAGUCUUUGGCAGACGAAGACCACCUUUUGUCAGAAUAGCUUAUACUAGUUGUCCCCCUUCAAAUUCAUCAUUGUGGGAUCCCUUCCCGCCUAACAAUCCCGAGCCCAGGGGUGUGCGGCCGGUGCGGCCGCACAGGGCCUCCAGGUGGAAGGGGCCCCCAAAUUAGUAGCACAUCAGGCCUAGUCAAACCAGCAGGCCGAAAAGCCCUGAUAGUGUCCCGAGCGUAUGUCGCUAAUCCAUAGCUUAUGAGAAUAACCAUCGUUCACACUAACCCUAACAACGCCGCAGCUGGUCGACAGAUGCAACCUGGCGAUGCAACAGAGGAACGGCGGCCGCCGGCAUCGGCAGCGCCCGCAACGCUGGCAACAACAACCAGCAGGUAAAUAGGGCAGGCACAUGGUUGUAUUCCAGCGAUGCACUAAAUCCACUUAGUCAAAUUAACUAAUCAACAUCACUGCAUCCUUCAGAACAAGUGCUAUCUCGCUUGUUGUUACUUUUCCUCUUUUGUUGGAUGAAGCGAGAUGGACUGAAGGAGAGACGAGGGACAGUUUGACAAGGUCAAGUUUGACGUCCGUGAGUUCAUCGGUCCCAGUUUUUUACAAAUAGUUUGCUGGUAAAUGUUGGAUGUAUAUCCCUUUAGUCUUGUUUUCCCAUCAUUUAUACUCUUUUAUAUUAAUUGGUGUAGAAGUCAUGUGUUUCAAGAUUCAAGUUAUGUCCUCGAAAAAUCUAUCUAAAAUAUAUGAAUCUGGUUACAAGAAAUAUAAUAUUUUUUAGAAAAAUUUAGAGGAUUUAAUUCAACAUCAUAAAGGACUUAUCCGUAACUUGAAUAUACAUUAGUUUUAUUUUUAUAAGAAAGUAGGCCUCAGUUUAGUGUUUGGCACAGGGCCCCGAAUUUUGCCGGCUCGACCCUGCCGCCUAAUAUUUGGGGAGAGGAUCCGGACCUCUAUAUAUAGGACUAGCCACCAUCGUAGCUAGAGGGGAGGUCCAAUCUGGAGAUGAUCCAAUCUAGACAGGAACCAGACCAUCCACACACACACAAGCUCACCGAGCUCAAGAACACCUCUCCUUAGGAGGCUGUUCUUCCCUUGUACUUGUUCAUCCCCAGCCUACAAGGCAAUCCACCACACCACACUGGAGUAAGGUAUUACACCACAACGGUGGCCCAAACCAGUAUAAACUCUUGUGUCUCCUGUGUCUCUUGUUUUUUGGGUUCAACGAGCUAGGCUUUAAGAUCGUAGUGAGAGUGUGAGUUAGGGGGAAAGAGAUCUUCGUGCGCACCCCAGUGUUCGAAUCUCAAGGUUAUUGCUGGAACCUGUAAUCCAACAUCGAUGGAUCAAGGAUGAUAUAUGAUGACGAUGACGCUUGUGUGCAGCCAUGGCAGUUGAUGUCUUCCUAGUUAGGUGUGGAGUCUAAUUGGUAUCCAGUUUGGCCGUUGCCUGUGUAUUGUCAUGUUCCAUGAUGGUUGUCUAUUGGGCAUGUUGUUACGGGUUUUGCUCAAUUAUUUUUAAAUUAAUCAGACAUUUUUUCUUUUUAAUUAAUGAAAAUGUUAAAUAUUUUGCCUUAGUUUAGUAAUAAAGUAGUGCAAACCAAAGUAACUAUCAUGUAGUUCGGGGAAUGACGCCAACAAAACAUUUGCAAAAAAAACCAGCUGAAUUGGCCUCACUGCCGAUCGACGCGGCUAGCCGAGCUAGGCAGGCCGAAAACUAGGAGCGCCCACACAAACAUGAGACAAUUUCUUAUUUGUUCCUUUCUUAAAAUAUGUUUCCCUUUUUGGCCCAAAUUUUUUUCAUCACAACUUCAUUUUCUUCCUUUAAUGACACUUUCAUAUUUUUCUAUUAACACCAUGAAAUGCGAGAUGAAAAUUCCUAUUUACCAGUGAUUUAGCAUGCGUGUGUGUGAACCUUCCCACAAAUUCACUCCCCUAUUCUCUCCCUGACUCACUGCGAGAUGCUAGCCCUAACCCUACGAUGGCGGCGGAGGGGCACACAGCGGCGCCGGCACGAGGCUGGGAGGGCGGUGUGUGAGGAGGGUCUGGCCGAAGUACUUACGGAUGGCAGGGCGGAAGGCGCGGUGGAGGAGGGCCAUGGCGCUGCACCGGUCUCGGCCUCGGGCGACCAUGGUGGGGCGGCGGAGGGGGCAUGGUGGGGCGACGGCUACAACGCGACUGCCAAGGGGUGGGGCGGCGACUACACUUUGGCUGACGCUACUGCAGGAUCGGUAAUUAAGGGCUGAGCUGGGUGCUCGGCCUCGACUACAUCGGCGACGUGGCUAGAAGGGUGAGUCCUCUCUUCUCUAGAUUUCUCCAAAUACAUAUUACUUUGAGUCCAUUCAUCAUUGGCUAUUCAAUUGUGCAAUAAAUAAAUUAAUCAACCUUGAUUGAGAUAUGAGAUCCCUCAAUUGUGUGAUUGUAUUCUUAGAGAUGAAUAUUUGCUGCCAGAUCUGCAAUGGAAAAAAAGACAAAGAUUAGGUUGAUACUACAAAGCAAGUAUGUUCACAGAUCUUGGAUAAUAUGUUUACAGAUAAUACUUUUUUUUUAUUUCAAAUAUGAAGCAAGUAUGUUCCAGUUUAUACAUAACUGAUCUUCCUUUUAAUGUUUGUUGAAAAUAUGCACAUGGGUUUGGUCUGCACGUGCUACUAUAUAAGGAAGCUGUAGGAGUAGAAAGUACUCAUGAUUAGGUUUCUCUUGGUUUUACAAGAUGGAUCCAAAUUCAACUUAUAUGCUGAAAGUAUUCUAAUUGCUUCCUUACCACCUUGGCCAAAGCUUGGAGAACACAAAACUAAGAAAACGGGGAAAGUGGCCAACUCUGAAUCUCGAGGAUAAAAAACAUAACCUAAAAUAUGUUUGAAAAUUGGUUCACAAGUAAUGCAUUGUUUCUAUUAUUUGUUUACUCUACUGCUGCCAUGCAUGCGUAGGAUUGUCUCAAGUUAAUUUGGGCCCAUUUUCCAUUGAAAGUGAGAUGCUCAACUAGCAAACAAUUGUUCCUGGGAAGGUAAAUGCCAAAAGAAAAAGGAAAGAACUUGCUACAGAAAUUGCAAACAUUCAUGUGGUGCUAAAUCAACCUUGCGAUGUGCACAAGAAGACGAAGAUUUAACCCAGCCAGCCCUGCGUUGAGCACGAGAAGCAAAAGAAGGCUUAGCUUGUGAUUAUCUUGUUCAUUAUGUGUUUAUUUCAAACUGUCCAUGCGCGCUCAACCUAUCAUGUGAGCUUUUGCAUACUGUUUAUUCAAGAUGCUUCUUUUGGAAACUAUUUAUAUGCUCAGCUCAUGAUAUGAGCUUGUGAGCUUUGGUGUUGUUUACGUGAUGUAUGUGACUUGGAUGUGUCCUAAUAGGGCUUGUGUAUGUGAUGUAUGUCACCUGGUGGUACUCUAUAUGAAACUGGAUGAUAUGAUAGUUGUGGAUGGUACUUGAUGAGUUAUGUGCCUAUGUCAAAGAGUUUGUAGUCGUGUUGUCAUGAUAUUACAUGAAUUGUGUGCAUAUAUGAAUUGUUGGCAGGGUAUAUGGCGAUAUUAUUAUUAAAAUCCAAUGAUUUAACUCUACUUUUAUCAUAUAAUCUGCUCACAUACUACACUAGGGAUAAAACAGUCUUUUUAGGUCCGACUUAACACCGUUAAUUUUCAAAACUGACGGAGAUGUUACAUAUAGGGAACCAAUUCAAGUUUGAGUGCUAAGAGCAUCUACAGCCGGACUUGGCAAAUCUGGCCCCACAAACGCCCGCGGGCGCGUCCGCAGGCACUGACCGGUCAUAGCUCAUAUUUGGUGAUAUGCAUCUGAACACCUCAUUUUCACCCCCUAAAUUUAUACAAACCAUUUAAAAAAUUUCCUAUGCAAUAUGUACCACACUAUUCUAAACUAAGUUUCACCAUCGGAGAUGUCCACGACGUCCAUGCCGGGCACCGGGUAGAUGGGCGCGUAGGAGUGCUCCGGCUCCUCCUCAUCAUCAUCAUCCAUAGCCGUGGGCAUCUCAUUGACGUUGACGGGGUGCUCCGCCUCCGCCUCCUGCAAACCAUCCGCGGUGCGCUCUGUUUUGCUUCCGCCUCCGGCACAUGAUGCCGCUUGGCCUCCGCCGUCGAUAUCGGGCGGAGGGAAUCAAGUAUUGUUUGCUACUCCGCUUGCAGAUCCACGGCCCCAGCGUCCCCCACGUCCACCUCCUCCUCCCCUUCAUCGUGCCGUCCUCGCCCUCUUCCUCCUCCUCCUCCCCCCUUCAUUGUCCUACUGCUCCUCCUCCUCCUUCGGAUCUACCGCAUUCAGAGGUAACCACGCUACUAUCCAGGGCUCCGCGCCUUGCCAUGACCUGCUCAGGCAGGCUUCAAACGCCUGGACUGACCGGCACCCCUCAUAUCCAAUCCAAAUUGGGGAAGGGUAUGGGGGCGAAGGCCGCACCAAACCUAUUUGGAUCGCAUUUUCAUGACCGGUUAGUGACCGUGCUGUCAGCCCAGGUAUUUCAGACGGGUUCAAGGGCGAAAAAGGAAAGUAAAUAUUAAGAAAGGGUCAAGGAAGGAAUCGUCUCCAUACACAGAUGUGAACCGAAACAGACAUUGCACUCACGCAGAUGCUCCUAUGUGUUAUCCUACUCACCUUAUCCGGUGCAGAGCGUAGUGGAACGCCCGUCCGUCACGUGUUCCGUUUUUUAUAUGACCAACGAGCCGCCGCCACCUGUGCUCCGCCGCAGCGCCGGCCAUCCCACCCGCCCGCUGCUCGUCUCAAAACCGCGGUCUCCCUCGCUGCCUGCCCGUUCUGCCGUUUCCUGCAACCUAUAAAUCCAGCCGGAGAACCUCACCUGUCCAUCCAUCUCAUCUCACUCACACUAUUACUCAUAUAAGCUUCACUAGCUACUAAGUAGUUCACUUCCUUCCGAACCAAGCUCUCUUCCACGACACGAAGAUGUCUACGGUGACCCGCGCCUACCACGACCAGAGGCUCGCCGCCGGCAGGGGCUGCUCCAAAGGUAACCAAAUCGAUAUCUUGUCCCGCCGGUCCUCAAGGGCACAUUGUAGCUUUCUGUGUCUCCGCUGAAAAUUAAUCGUAACUAAAAUGUUUUUGUUGAUCCGGAACUGCAGAGGCUGCCAUGGCGGGUUCCAAGGCCGCGGCCGUCGCCAUCGUCGCUGCCGUAGUGCCCACAGUAAGUACCAUUCAGUUCUUCGAGGAAAUCCUUGCACGGUUCAUAGAAUGUCUCAUGGAUGCGUUACCUAUAACUUCAGCUGGCGAGCGUGAGGAUGCUUCCGUGGGUCAAAGCACACCUCAAUCCCACCGGCCAGGUGCUCGUCAUCUCGACCGUUGCCGGGAUGGCCUACUUCAUCGUCGCCGACAAGACCAUCCUUUCCAUGGCAAGGAAUAACUCCUUCGAGGACGCGCCGGACCACCUCAAGAACACCUCCUUCCAGUAAUUAGGCCCUUGAUUAGCCAGUGCCCACUAAACUGUGUACGCAGGCCCGUACGUGUCUUCUGAAACAUAGUAGUAUACUGUUCAGCGAGGCGAUGGUUUGCAGUGCGAAAAGGUGGUGUAAAGCCCUUUUCUGCGAGCAUGCCCUAAUUACCUGAUGAUUUAUGAUGUAUACCAUAAUAAUGUGGCCAUGUUGUCCAACAAUAACAACUAUAGUUUUGAUUUUGUACAACUCUGGUCCAAUUGCACUCGCUCAUCUUACCUUUAACAUGCAUCAGUGCAUUGCAAAAGACCCCCUACCCCUGCCCUGUUCUGCUCCGAAAUGCACGUGAGCAUCAUGCCGCUUCAAUCACACGUUAAAUCUUCUGCUAUGGUUUAUUGGAUGGGUUGUCAAAUAAGUCUCAGUUCUUUUCAAGCUUAUGGGAGGCUUAUGGCGGAAAUUAAGCUCAAGCCCAAAAAAACUCGUUUAGGUGCCAUUAGCUUAUGCCUACCGCGCCCUGUGCCUUGCACGGCGGGCACGCCGUGCCAUGGCCUCAUUGGACGAUAGUGCGUCCCGAACAUUGACACACCAACCAGGGGCGGAUCCAGCGUGGGGUCGUGUCUGGGCGGUCGCCCCGGGUAAAAUUUCUAACCCUAGGGUAUCCCUACUGCUUUUUCUAAUGGCCGCCAUGGGAGGGGGAGAGCUCUCGUAUAGAUCUAUAGGUUCAAUCGAAAGAAGUUACGAGCAGGAAGACAGAAGAUAACGAUUCGCUUGUAAGUUGUAAGAUGGGCCAAUGACCAAGGCCCAACUAGACGGGACUAUGUGAGCCUAUGAUUAUCUGUAAAGUUUUGGCAUUCCCAAUUCUGUCGACAGGAAACCAAAUCAGCAAACAAUGUAUCACGCGAUCACCGCUCAACAAAAAGUAUUGAUGCCGCCUCGCCUAUGUGACGCGGCGCCCUAUGCUGCCGGUCCACAGCCUCGCCGUGGCACUGCCUAGGUCCUUCCCCGACCGAUGGUGCUCGAUGGAGAAAGAGGAAUCCACUUGUUCGCGGAAGGCGGCAACGUCACCACCCCUUUAAAACUGCAAGCGCUGAGCCAAUUGAGACAGCAAACAGCAAGUUCGUUCAUUCUCCCCUAAUCUUCUACUCUCAUUCUUCCCUAAUUUUCUGCUCUCAUUCUCCUAUAUUUCUUUAAUCUCUUGUUACGUUGGCCUAAUUUUUCAAAGUUAAAUGCUGAUUUUUUUAGGGAAAUUUAAUUACAUACCAAAUUGGAUGUUCUAUAUAUGAGCAUAAGAAUUAGGCCAUAAAUGAUUUGUUUGUCGCGUUAUAUAUUUUUCUCCUCGAGAAUAAAGCUACAUUGCAAUAUUGGUUGUAUUGAUCGUCUUGCCUGGAUCCAUACUACCUAGCCCAUUAAUUUUGUUCAUUGUCUUCUCUCAUUGCACCGUGGCUUCAAAAUUAUGUUUUCUCUAAAAGUCCGUCCCGGGUAACUUCAAAUCCUGGAUCCGCCACUGGCACCAACGGAGAGAUUGCACGUCCGCCAGCGCGUUUGGAUGCCAGACGGACCGCACAGCCUCCGGUGAGGCAGCUACAGCUGGCCUAGCAUCGGAUCCAUGCGUCAUUUGGGCGGACGCAAUGGAUUCUCGAUAGAUGGAGUCCGAGCACAGUCGUGCACGGGCAUCCCCUCAGGCGCAGCGGAGCGCAAGCCGGACGGUUAUCUCCUCCUCGAGGCCGCGUGCGAUAAGGUCGAGGUCGACGGAUUUGGAGGUGAAGGACUUGGAUCUGCUGCCCGUCAUGCCGGAGACGAGCUUGGAUGGCGGAGGGGAGUGGAGAAUAGGUGAGUGAAGUGGCUAGGGUUUGGUCCGGCGAGUGGAUAGGGAGGAAUUUUUGUGGAGUCGGGUAGGCCGGCGUGGGCCGGGUCUGACGUGGCGGACGUAGGGCGCCUCGUAUCCCCCCAUAUUUGGGCUGGAUAUGAGGUGCCGGUUAGCCCAGACGUUUGACGACCGUUUGAGGGGUCCGUCUGGAUAAAAAUCAUGACCAGACAGAGACCGGAUGGUCUGUCCAAACAUAUGAGACGGGUUUGAGGCGUCGGGUUGUAGAUGCUCAUAGGAGCGAAACCGGCGGCACCUGCUCUGCUCUGCUCUGUUUCGUUUCUUUUAUCUUACACAAAGGACAAACGCCUCGUGUAGCAAAAUUAUCUAUGUAUUGUGAUCAGAUCAGCACUGUGGUGCCUAACUUUAAAUGGAUCGAGAUCUCCCUUUUCUUGCUAGCUUUAGUUUGGUGGGUAAAGAAAGAAAGACGAGGGAGGGAGCAACAAACAAACAUCGUCCAAUCCUGUGGAUUCCCAUACCACAGUUUUGGAUGCCGCUACCGGAAAGCGUGCUCUGCCCACCAACUCAGUUCUGCACUCCAAGUCCAAACGAGUACCCACGGUUUGCACCCAAAACCGUGCGUGGCCGCCACCUUUUUGCUCGCUAUAAAUACCCGGAUCAACUCCUCGUCCUGGAAGCAUCAAGCAACAGUCAGCCAGCCAACCAGCCCAUCUCAUCUCACUUGAUCGCACCCUUUGUACUGAGCCGUUUCUGCACAAGAUCACGGCGAGGAUGUCGUCGACGGCCACCGUCACCCGCGCCCACCUCGAGAACAAGCUCGCCCUCGCCAGACGCUGCUCCAGAGGUAGUAACCAGGAUCCACUUCUUCAGAGUUCAGUUCAGCCAAGUUGUGUACUGAUAGUCUGACACUAGCAAUGCAUUUCUUUUUCUUAAAUCUUUUCCAGAGGCGACGCUCGCCGGAGCAAAGGCGGCGGCCAUCGCCACGGUCGCGUCUGCGGUCCCAACGGUGAGCUCCUCCGUCCGGGAUUUGUUGAUUUUCAUGCACGUUGGUCUGGUUUUCAUGACUGAACUGUUUAUCGUGCAGCUGGCGAGCGUGCGGAUGCUGCCGUGGGCCAAGGCGAACCUGAACCCCACCGGCCAGGCGCUCAUUGUUUGCACCGUCGCCGGGAUGGCCUACUUCGUCGCCGCCGACAAGACUAUCCUCUCGCUGGCAAGGAAGCACUCGUACGAGAGCGCCCCGGACCACCUCAAGGACACCUCCUUCCAUGGCGCCGCCGCCGCAACUCGUCCCCGUCCGCCGGCAUUCUUCAGGCCUUGAGCUAGUAUUAUCCUGCUAAUGUAUGAUAGCACGCGCUUGUCCGUUGCGCGUAUUCUAAAAAAAAUGUAUGCAUCCUUGUCAGUGUCCCAACGCAAGAAACUGCUGCGCCGGAAUGUAUUAUGUAUGCACAUGCUUUACAUCUGUGUACUGAAUAAAACUGAGGGCUCGAUCCUGGUUUCAGAUAAGCCGUGUACGACAGACUUCAUAUCUCGACGAAGAUGGAAACUGAGCUAGCAGUGAGGCCGUGACUUACAGCACAGAAUUCAGGUGGCCCCACAUGUUAAUCCGAAACUGCAGAGGCUGCCAUGGCCGGAGCCAAGGCCGCGGCAAUCGCCACCGUCACUACCGUAAGUACCCAGCUAGCCAUUCAGCUCUUCGAGGAAAUCCCUCCAGAGUUCCUAGCAUGUCUCAUGAAUGUACGUGAUCCCUAUUAACUUCAGCUGGCGAGCGUGAGGAUGUUGCCGUGGGCCACCAGGGCGCACCUCAACCCGACCGGGCAGGCCCUCAUCAUAUCCACCGUCGCCGGGAUGGCCUACUUCAUCGUCGCCGAUAAGACCAUCCUCUCCAUGGCCAGGAAGCACUCCUUCGAUGACGCACCUGACCACCUCAAGAACACCUCCUUCCACUAAUUAGACUAUAAUAGAUCCAUUAGUAGUGUGCAAUAAACUGCAAACACUUAUCUGAUUAUGAUGUUCAGCCAGCUGAGAAGCGACGACUUAUCUGACUAGUAAUGCGCACAUGCAACACACGUUAAUAGUUAGGCAAUAUAUUAAUUACACACAGAUAUUAGGUAUGAUAUUAUUUAUAUAUUAAUUAUGUGAUUAGUGCAAUAUUUGGUAUGAUAUUAAUUGCACGUUAAACCAGUGGUGGUGCCAGGAUCAAAACCAUGUGAUGUCAAGCUUCACUAAUAAAAAAAAUUAGAUCAUAAACAGGAAUAAAAACAUCAUACUUUAUUACAAACCGUCUAUGGCAGUAGUGCUUUGUGGCGAUGCAUACAUUGACAUGUAUAUGCAUAAUAGCAUCAAUACUAAUAGACUAGAAUACAUCAGUUUCAACAUAAGUUAUGAGACAAUGGUACAAGAAAUCAUCACCUAUUCUAUUGCGCCAAUCAGACUUGAUAUAUUUCAUUGCGGAAAAUGCUCUCUCAACUGUUGCCGUCACCACCGGCAAGAUCAAUGCUAGCUUUACCAAAAAGAAUACUAGAGGAAAGGUAUUGUACUUCUUUGUCUCAACGAGUUUUCUGCAAAGAUCACUAACCCCUUUCAAAUUGGAGUCUUGAAUCAUCAUGAACAUUUUCAAGGAAGUUAUCAAGUUGGACACUAAGAUCUUCAAUCUUGCUUUCACUCCCAAAAUCUUCUGGAUACAAACGAGCCAUUGCUAACACUUUUUCUUUGUCAAAAUUAGCAAACGAAUCAGAAGGAUCCAAAGAAGCCAUCCCAAGAAGCAAGGUUGUGUUGCUUUCACUAAAGCGGUCAUCAAUCUCUACAUGUAACAUAUCAAUAACGGUGUACAUCAGACUUUGGUAGCAAUUCUUAUUUGAUAUGCCAUCAGUCUGAGCCUUCCGCUUUGAUUUCGAUCCUCGGGGUAUAUGCAUAGCAUCCAUGUGAAAAAGUUCAAUAUCUUGUUCAAUGCAAAAAUCAGUAACCUUUUUAAUCAUACCUUCCCAACGUUGGUUUCUCAUGUCAUGUAGCCUUCUUUUGGUUGUGUGAAUAUAUGACACGGCAUUCACAAUGUCCUGAUCCUUCCUUCGCAAAGCAACACUUAGAUAAUUAGUAAUCCCAAGUAUAGCCUUCAUCAAGUGCAUCAUGAAAACAAAGUCAAAUGUUUGAAUAGCAUCCAGAACACCUUGCUUUAAUCCUAUCAAGAGAUUUCCUGGCGUUUUGUGCAUUAUCAUCAACAACUUCAAUUACCGAGGGGGACAUAACAAUCAUAUUCAAGAGAGAGCUGAAAUGAGACCCCCAACGAGUAUCCCCAGCUCGUUUAAGUCCAAGUUCUUGAUUCAAACCUCUACCAGUUUCAAGUUCUCCAUUCUGCAGUGUCGUCUGGACUCUUUUUGCUUGUUUCUCUCUAAGCAUAUCUUUGUUCUUAAAAGAAUUUCCCACUGUGGAGAGAAGAACACUCAUCCACUCAAAAAUCCAUACCACAUCUUCAUGGUUUUUUACAACUGCAACUAGUGUUAGCUGAAGUUGAUGAGCAAAACAAUGAAUGCUAUGAGCAGACCUAGAAUCUCCCAUUACUAAAGUUUUCAAACCAUUCAAAUGCCCUUGCAUAUUACUACCUCCAUCAUAGCCUUGGCCACGAAUUCAAGAAGGGCUAAGGUUAUGUUUUUUAAGCAAUGCAUAAAUAGCUUGUUAGAGAGCAAGAGAAGUUGUUUGAGUAACAUGAGAAAGGCCAAUAACACGCUCCAAUGAAAAUCCCCAAUUGUCAAUGUAUCUUGUAGCAAGAGCCAUUUGUUCCUUGUGAGAUACAUCACGAGAUUCAUCAACCAAUAUAGCAAAGUAUUCAUCUCCCAGAUCUUCUAUGAUUGCCUUCACAGUUUCUAUAGCACAAGCUUUCACAAUAUCUUUCUGGGUAGUAGAAGAAACUAACUUUAAAUUCUGAGGAGCAUUCCUCAAAGCAACAGCAGCCACAUCAGGACAACGUGCAACAUACCACUCAUAAAAAGUUAGAAAAUUCCCCUUCCUCAAAGAAGACUCGCUUUCAUCAUGACCUCGAAAUGGCAAGCUCAAAACAAGAAGCAACCUUGCAAUAUCUAUUGACGCAAUUAGCUGAGUUUGGUACUCUAUAUUGGAUUUCUUUGUUUUCUGUCAAAGACAACUCCAAUGGAUUGCUUCUAGUUCAUUAGAUCAUCCCAUCUCUCCAUGUUCUGAUUAUGAGUACUUGAAGGACCCCCGACAUGAAUAUCCAAUCUCUUUACAUUAUUCCAACUUUUCCACCCCUUUGUUGAAAAUUCAUCUCCACCACCACGGCCUAGACUUUCAUUCUGAAACAUAUAGCAACUAAAUCUGAGAAUGGUUUCAUACUUAAACCAUACUCGUACAUGUAUCUCUCAAAACCAUACUUGAAUCAAUACCCGUUUAAUGCCAUUUUCAGCCCAACCAAAACUAAACCCUCUAUUUUUUUCCACCCAAACCAAUUUAAACCCAAUACAUAAUUAUGGGUUUAAACCCAAUACAUAACUAUGGGUUUGCUUCAAUGUAUAUAUGAUUACACAAAUCGACAUGUUAAGAAGCAAAUGACAUAGAAAAGGCAUAAGUGCAUCUACAACAAUUUAGGAAUAAAGUUAUCGUUGAGAUACGGUCAACACACAGCAAGAGUAAAAAAAACAAUGCCCACAACUAAAAAGCUCACUGACAAGUGUAUUAAAACCAAUUGCUUAGCUAAAGCACAAGCAAACACAUUCGAUUUGCAUGUGGUGUUUCCCCAUAAUACAGAAUUACAUAGUGCAUUGUAGCAUUUACAAGGAUCAAAGGUACUUGUUGUCGAUGCGUCCUUGCUUAUUGCACAUAACACUAGUAGAAAAAGGGUCAAACGUGAAGCACAAUAGUGCCGGUUUGAAUUUCAGUCGGCACUAAUGUGUACAAUAGCACCGGUUCGUGGCGGCGAUCAAUAGCACCGGUUCAUGGCGAACCUUUAGUACCGGUUCAUGCCACGAACCGGUACUAGAGGCUGUGUCAGCCUGCGGUCAGGCUAUGGCCCCACCAUCACCAUUUAGUGCCGGUUCGUACCAUGAACCGGUACUAAUGAGGUUAUGGUAAGCUGUUUUUAGUCCCACCUCGCCAAGAGAGAGGGACUAGGAGCGGUUUAUAAGCCCUGAGUGCAGAGACGAUGAAGAAGAGGCUCAAUGCUCACAUUGCUUAGCUUCAAGCCUUCAGGAAUAUAGUAGAUUGCACGAAGCUAUGCGCAGUGCAGUUCACACUAUUUCGAAAAGCUUGAAGCAAAUUAACGAGCAUUGCAACUCUUUUUUAUUUUUAAUAACUUAUUACAACUCCGGACUUCUUCUGUUAUGGCAAAAACUAAUUGCACGUCGGCAUUUCUUUUUUUUAAACUUUGGUUAUAACUCCAGAAUUUGACCAUCAAGUUUUGCAGAAAAGAAAAAAUAGCAGAAAAUAAAAAAAACUAUAGUUGAAAAGAAAAAACUAUAUAAAAAAACUACUCAGAAAUAAAUAGAAGAAAAUAAAUAUAGCAGAAAAGAAAAAACUACUCAGAAAUAAAUAGAAGCAAAUUAACGAUCAUUGCACCUCUUUNNNNNNNNNNNNNNNNNNNNNNNNNNNNNNNNNNNNNNNNNNNNNNNNNNNNNNNNNNNNNNNNNNNNNNNNNNNNNNNNNNNNNNNNNNNNNNNNNNNNNNNNNNNNNNNNNNNNNNNNNNNNNNNNNNNNNNNNNNNNNNNNNNNNNNNNNNNNNNNNNNNNNNNNNNNNNNNNNNNNNNNNNNNNNNNNNNNNNNNNNNNNNNNNNNNNNNNNNNNNNNNNNNNNNNNNNNNNNNNNNNNNNNNNNNNNNNNNNNNNNNNNNNNNNNNNNNNNNNNNNNNNNNNNNNNNNNNNNNNNNNNNNNNNNNNNNNNNNNNNNNNNNNNNNNNNNNNNNNNNNNNNNNNNNNNNNNNNNNNNNNNNNNNNNNNNNNNNNNNNNNNNNNNNNNNNNNNNNNNNNNNNNNNNNNNNNNNNNNNNNNNNNNNNNNNNNNNNNNNNNNNNNNNNNNNNNNNNNNNNNNNNNNNNNNNNNNNNNNNNNNNNNNNNNNNNNNNNNNNNNNNNNNNNNNNNNNNNNNNNNNNNNNNNNNNNNNNNNNNNNNNNNNNNNNNNNNNNNNNNNNNNNNNNNNNNNNNNNNNNNNNNNNNNNNNNNNNNNNNNNNNNNNNNNNNNNNNNNNNNNNNNNNNNNNNNNNNNNNNNNNNNNNNNNNNNNNNNNNNNNNNNNNNNNNNNNNNNNNNNNNNNNNNNNNNNNNNNNNNNNNNNNNNNNNNNNNNNNNNNNNNNNNNNNNNNNNNNNNNNNNNNNNNNNNNNNNNNNNNACAAAAAACUACGCAGAAAUAAAUAGAAGAAAAUAAAGCAGAAAAGAAAAAAACUAUAUUUGCUAUUUUUCAAUCGUUCACAAAAUGACCGUGAAAUUGAAAAUCAUUACAAAAUGAACUCUGGAAAUGUUGAAUUUUGGCAAACUAAAUAAAUAAAACUACUCACAAAUAAAUAGAACAAAAUAAAUAUGACAGAAAAGUAAAAACUAUACAAAAAACUACGCAGAAAUAAAUAGAAGAAAAUAAAGCAGAAAAGAAAAAAACUAUAAAAAAAUUGGGGCGCUGGCCUGUGGGCCUGAUAGGCCAUAGGCGUGCAAUUACAGGCCUUAAAGGCCCAGCAGACUCACAGGGCAACGCGCAGAGUUUAGCCCACAAGCCUGCUAUAUAGAGGAGUUUGAAGAGGUAGCCGCGUCUGGGUUUAUAAACCAGUGCGGCUGCCCUUCGCCCGGCGAGGUGGGACUAAACUUUGGAGUGGCAGCGCGAGGCCUUUAUUACCGGUUGGUGGCUCCAACCGGUACUAAAGGCCCCCCUUUAGUACCGGUUAGUGGCUCCAACCGGUACUAAAGGCCUUCGUUUCCCACCGCUUGGCGUGGCGAAAAUAGGCCUUUAGUACCGGUUGGAGCCACCAACCGGUACUAAAGGCCCAUCCUAUAUAUAUAUAGCACUUACGAAAAUUUCAGUUACAUCUCCCCACUUCGUCUCCAACCUCUCGCGAGACAUCGCCGCGCGCCACUCGAUCCCGUCGUCGCCACCCGUCGCCCGUCGUCCGUCGUCGUCGUCGUUGUCCCCGCCGCCGCCCAUCGUCGUCGCCAUCUCGCGCCGCCGCCCCGAACGCCGCGCGCCGCUGUCCGUCGUCGUCUCGCCGUGGUUCCGUACGUCUCUUGAUCUCACGUAUACCCGCCGCGCCGUCGUCCGUCGUCGUCGCACCCGGCCCGUACGGUGGCGCCCCCGCCCGUACGUACGCCGCCGCCCCCGCUUGUACGUACAGGGCGGCGGCGUACGGGGCCACACACAUACACACAUACACACACAUAUAUACGUACACACUACACACACAUAUUUUUACUUAUUUUCUGUUUUUUAGAAAAGUUAAUUAGAUGACCGAAUGUUUGAUUAAUGUCGAAUGUUAGAUAGAUAGAAAAUUGUCGAACUAGAGAUUUGAACUAGUUGAAUAAUUAAUAUAACUAGUUUAUUUUUAGUAAGAAAAUUAUUGAACUAGUUUAUUUAGGUAUAUGAGAUUUGAACUAGUUCAAUAAUUAAUAUAACUAGUUUAUUUUUAGNNNNNNNNNNNNNNNNNNNNNNNNNNNNNNNNNNNNNNNNNNNNNNNNNNNNNNNNNNNNNNNNNNNNNNNNNNNNNNNNNNNNNNNNNNNNNNNNNNNNNNNNNNNNNNNNNNNNNNNNNNNNNNNNNNNNNNNNNNNNNNNNNNNNNNNNNNNNNNNNNNNNNNNNNNNNNNNNNNNNNNNNNNNNNNNNNNNNNNNNNNNNNNNNNNNNNNNNNNNNNNNNNNNNNNNNNNNNNNNNNNNNNNNNNNNNNNNNNNNNNNNNNNNNNNNNNNNNNNNNNNNUGUCGAACUAGUUUAUUUAGGUAUAUGAGAUUUGAACUAGUUCAAUAAUUAAUAUAACUAGUUUAUUUUUAGUUCAAUAAUUAUUAGGUAUAUGAGUUUUUCUGUUUAUUUAAUUUUUUAUAUAUUUUGAGUUUAUAUAAAUGUUAGAUUAAUGUCGGAUGUUAGAUGAAUUAGAUAGAAAAGUUAAAUAUAUAGUAAUGUCAAUUGUUAGAGAUGAAUAUAGUUAGAUAUAUUAAUGUCAAAUGUUAGAUGAAUAUAUAUUUGGCUAGAUAUUAAUUAAUGUUAGAUAGUAAUAGGUGUUUAAUAUUUCACCUAUAUGAACAUAGGAAAUGUCAUCUGACGACGAAAAAGAUUUCAUUAUGUGCGAACACUGUGAAGACCAGCGCGGCUUGUGCGACAGAAAUUUCCUUAUUGAUGGUAGGCGCUUCAGCAUCAAGCUGGAUGAGACAUUCGAAGUUGAUACAAUAAGUCACUUUGUCAAUUAUUAUUUGAAUGCAAAACUUAUGCUUCAUUUGCUUCAACUUAUAAUUUUAAAUUUUCACUAUUCUACUAGCGCAUCCCCUGCCAUGCAAAAAUUCUUGUCUUGGAUAACAUAGGUUUUAGUGCUAUAGAUGAUAUGGAGGUAAAGAGAGUUUACUUGAAGACGGAGCAUGGGUAUACUUUCAAUGUCAAAUUAUAUAAUGGAGACACAUACACCCAUUUUGAAUGCAAAACUUGGCAAGCACUAUGCAAGGCUUAUGCAUUUGAGCCUGAUAUGGUUGUCACCUUUGAUAUUCAUCCGGAAGAUGAUAUUGAAGGUAAUAUAGACAUCUGGGUCGAUGUGCAAACGCCUCCAGUUCUACCAUUAUGUGACUUUUUCUCAACCAUGCAUGCAUAUGUUUAUGUCUUUGAUACAGUUUAUUCAAAAAUAGUUGACAACUAAUUUGUAUUGUUAGCUUAUUUCGGUUCAAGCAAACAUGUCCGGCGCUUGGUAGACAGGACCUACUACUGCCCCGGGGCUCAACUAAACUGCGAGGAGAUAAGUCAUUAUGUUUUAUUGCUUGAGGAUCUUAAUACUGUCAAGACAAAAAAAAUUCCUGAACUUAGAAAUAUUAGUACUCAAAACGUGUGACCAAUGGUGAUCGUAUUGAACUACGGUCACAUUUAUAAUCGAAAGAUGGUAAGAUUUUAACUAUUUGUCCUUAAUUAGUGCAUCUUUUGCAUACAUUAUUUUUGAAGCUAAACUUUCAUUGCUUAGUAUAUUAAUUACUAUACGAUGUUCUUCAACAGGGACUUCUGAUGACGGUUGUGCCUCAGUGGAUCGAGACUAAAGGUGACAUGUCAAUGGUUAGCUUACGGCCAAGAUAUCCUACAUUGCACAUGAGUGCAUUCAGGAUUUCUGAAAGCGAAGAAUGCUUAAUAGUGAAAGAUUGGAGCAAAAUUGUUAACGAUCGCAGAGAAGUACUAGGGGGCAGCAAGCAGAAGCGCAACCCAAGAUUAGGAGACAGAUUCAUCUGCAUGCUCCAAUAUGAUGAAUCAGGAAAGCUACACAUGUUCUAUGCUAUUCUACCUGAGAGGGAGAAGCACUAGUUCAUGCUCUUAAUUAGUGUCUCAUGUCCGUGUCUGUACUUCGAUGUUGGUGAUGAUUAUGUUGAACUCGAUGAUAUCUUUGCUUCUAUUACAAAGUGAAUGUUUCCUCUUUAAGCUAGCCAGUGUUGGUGAUGAUUAGAUAGCUAGCGGUAAUGACUAUGAUGAUUAAAUAAUGGUAAUUAGACGACUACGAUGAUUUUUAGCUAGCUAGAGUUUAUUUAUUUAUUAAUAUACUUUGAUGAUGAUGAUGAUGAUGAUGAUGAUGACGACGACUACAACUCAUUAUAACGUAAAACAAUCCUAAAUUAAAUUGAUAACACAAAUUUAAUUAAAAAUACAAAAUAAAACAAAAACCCACAAACAUUUAGUACUGGUUGGUGUUACUGUUGGGGAACGUAGUAAUUUCAAAAAAAUUCCUACGCUCACGCAAGAUCAUAGUGAUGCAUAGCAACGAGAGGGGAGAGUAUGAUCUAUGUACCUUAUAGAUCGAUAACGGAAGCGUUUGGUUGAUGUAGUCGUACGUCUUCACGGCCCGAACGAUCAAGCACCGAAACUGCGGCACCUCCGAGUUCUAGCACACGUUCAGCUCGAUGACGAUCCCCGGACUCCGAUCCAGCAAAGUGUCGGGGAAGAGUUCCGUCAGCACGACGGCGUGGUGACGAUCUUGAUGUACUACUGCAGCAGGGCUUCGCCUAAACUCCGCGACAAUAUUAUCGAGGACUAUGGUGGAAGGGGGCACCGUACACGGCUAAGAAUAUGAUCACGUGGAUCAACUUGUGUGUUCAUGGGGUGCCCUUUGCCUCAGUAUAUAAAGGAUGGAGGAGGAGGAGGCCGGCCAAGGCUUGGCGCAGCCAGGAUGUGGAGUCCUACUAGGACUCCAAGUCCUAGUAGUAGGACUCCAAGUCCUAGUAGGAGUCCACCAAGAGGGGAGGAAGGGAGAAGGAAGUGGAGGAGAAGGAAAGGUGGCCGGCCCCCUUUUCCCUAGUCCAAUUCGGACUAGAGUGGAGGGGGGGCGCAGCUGCCCUUUGGCCCUUUCUCCUCUUCCCACUAAAGCCCAUCGAGGCCCAUUGCUUCUCCCGUAACUACCCGGUACUCGGAAAAAUACCCGAAUCACUCGGAACCUUUCCGAUGUCCGAAUAUAGUCGUCCAAUAUAUCAAUCUUUACGUCUCGACCAUUUCGAGACUCCUCGUCAUGUCCCCGAUCUCAUUCGGGACUCCGAACUCCUUCGGUACAUCAAAACUCAUAAACUCAUAAUAUAACUGUCAUCGAAACCUUAAGCAUGCGGAUAAUUUUGACCGCUGUCUAGUGAUCUACUCUUAGAUCACUAUUGUACUCCCUUGCUUAACACAGUGUAGGGUAUACAAUUGAUCUGGUACACAGCAUGGCAUACUUUAUAGAACCUAUGGCUGAGGCAUAGGGAAUGACUUUCAUUCUAUUUCUAUCUUCUGUCGUGGUCGGGCUUUGAGUCUUACUCAAUUUCACACUUUGCAACACAGGCAAGAACUCUUUCUUUGACUGUUCCAUUUUGAACUACUUCAAAAUCUUGUCAAGGUAUGUACUCAUUGAAAAAACUUAUCAAGCGUCUUGAUCUAUUUCUAUAGAUCUUGAUGCUCAAUAUGUAAGCAGCUUUACCGAGGUCUUUCUUUGAAAAAUUCCUUUCAAACACUCCCUUAUGCUUUGCAGAAUAAUUCUACAUUAUUUCCGAUCAACAAUAUGUCAUUCACAUAUACUUAUCAGAAAUGUUGUAGUUCUCCCACUCACUUUCUUGUAAAUACAGGCUUCAUCGCAAGUCUGUAUAAAACUAUAUGCUUUGAUCAACUUAUCAAAGCGUAUAUUCCAACUCCGAGAUGCUUGCACCAGUCCAUAGAUGGAUCGCUGGAGCUUGCAUAUUUUGUUAGCACCUUUAGGAUUGACAAAACCUUCUGGUUGUAUCAUAUACAGCUCUUCUUUAAUAAAUCUAUUAAGGAAUGCAGUUUUGUUUAUCCAUUUGCCAGAUUUCAUAAAAUGUGGCAAUUGCUAACAUGAUUCGGACAGACUUAAGCAUAGAUACGAGUGAGAAACUCUCAUCGUAGUCAACACCUUGAACUUGUCGAAAACCUUUUGCGACAAUUCUAGCUUUGUAGAUAGUAACACUACUAUCAGCGUCCAUCUUCCUCUUGAAGAUCCAUUUAUUCUCAAUUGCUUGCCGAUCAUCGGGCAAGUCAACCAAAGUCCAUACUUUGUUCUCAUACAUGGAUCCCAUCUCAGAUUUCAUGGCCUCAAGCCAUUUUGCCGAAUCUGGGCUCACCAUCGCUUCUUCAUAGUUCGCAAGUUCGUUAUGGUCUAGUACCAUGACUUCCAGAACAGGAUUACCGUACCACUCUGGUGCGGAUCUCACUCUGGUUUACCUACGAGAUUCGGUAGUAACUUGAUCUGAAGUUACAUGAUCAUCAUUAUUAGCUUCCUCACUAAUUGGUGUAGUAGUCACAAGAACAGAUUUCUGUGAUGAACUACUUUCCAAUAAGGGAGAUGGUACAAUUACCUUAUCAAGUUCUACUUUCCUCCCACUCACUUCUUUCGAGAGAAACUCCUUCUCUGGAAAGGAUCCAUUCUUAGCAACAAAUGUCUUGCCUUCGGAUCUGUGAUAAAAGGUGUACCCAAUAGUCUCCUUUGGGUAUCCUAUGAAGACAUAUUUCUCCGAUUAGGGUUGGAGCUUAUCAGGAUGAAACUUUUUCAUAUAAGCAUCACAAUCCCAAACUUUAAGAAACGACAACUUUGGUUUCUUGCCAAACCACAGUUCAGAUUGUGUCGUCUCAAUAGACUUAAUGGUGCCCUUUUAAACGUGAAUGCAGCUGUCUUUAAUGCAUAACCCCAAAACGAUAGUGGUAGAUCGGUAAGAGACAUCAUAGAUCGCACCACAUCUAAUAAAGUACGGUUAUGAUGUUCGAACACACCAUUAUGCUGUGGUGUUCCAGGUGGCAUGAGUAGUGAAACUAUUUCACAUUGUUUUAACUGAAGACCAAACUCGUAACUCAAAUAUUUGUCUCCGCGAUCAGAUCAUAGAAACUUUAUUUUCUUGUUACAAUGAUUCUCCACUUCACUCUGAAAUUCUUUGAGAUUUUAAAUAUUUCAGACUUGUGUUUCAUUAAGUAGAUAUACCCAUAUCUGCUCAAAUCAUCUGUGAAGGUCAGAAAAUAAUGAUACCCGCCACGAGCCUUAACACUCAUCGGAUCUCAUACAUCAGUAUGUAUUAUUUCCAAUAAGUCAGUUGCUUGCUCCAUAGUUCUGGAGAACGACGUUUUAGUCAUCUUGCCCAUGAGGCACGGUUCGCAAGCAUCAACUGAUUCAUAAUCAAGUGAUUCCAAAAAUCCAUUAGCAUGGAGUUUCUUCAUGCGCUUUAUACCAAUAUGACCUAAACGGCAGUGCCACAAAUAAGUUGCACUAUUAUUAUUAACUUUGCAUCUUUUGGUUUCAAUAUUAUGAUUAUGUGUAUCACUACGAUCGAGAUCCAAUGAACUAUUUUCAUUGGGUGUGUAACCAUAUAAGGUUUUAUUCAUGUAAACAGAACAACAAUUUAUUCUCUUACUUAAAUGAAUAACCGUAUUACAAUAAACAUGAUCAAAUCAUAUUCAUGCUCAACGCAAACACCAAAUAACACUUAUUCAGGUUCAACAGUAAUCCCGAAAGUAUAGGGAGUGUGCGAUGAUGAUCAUAUCAAUCUUGGAACCACUUCCAACACACAUCAUCACUUCACCCUUAACUAGUCUCUGUUUAUUCUGCAACUCCCGUUUCGAGUUACUAAUCUUAGCAACUGAACUAGUAUCAAAUACUGAGGGGUUGCUAUAAACACUAGUAAAGUACACAUCAAUAACAUGUAUAUCAAAUAUACUUAUGUUCACUUUGCCAUCCUUCUUAUCUGCCAAUCACUUGGGGUAGUUCCGCUUCCAGUGACCAGUCCCUUUGCAGUAGAAACACUUAGUCUCAGGCUUAGGACCAGACUUGGGCUUCUUCACUUGAGUAGCAACUUGCUUGUUCUUCUUCUUGAAGUUCCCCUUCUUCCCUCUGCCCUUUUCUUGAAACUAGUGGUCUUGUCUACCAUCAACACUUGAUGUUUUUCUCAAUUUCUACCUUCUUCAAUUUCCGCAUUACGAAGAGCUUGGGAAUCGUUUCCGUUAUCCCUUGCAUAUCAUAGUUCAUCACGAAGUUCUACUAACUUGGUGAUGGUGACUAGAGAAUUCUGUCAAUCACUAUCUUAUCUGGAAGAUUAACUCCCACUUGAUUCAAGCGAUUGUAGUACUCAGACAAUCUGGGCACAUGCUCACUAGUUGAGCGAUUCUCCUCCAUCUUUUAGCUAUAGAACUUGUUGGAGACUUCAUAUCUCUCAACUCGGGUAUUUACUUGAAAUAUUAACUUCAACUCCUGGAACAUCUCAUAUGCUCCAUGACAUUCAAAACGUCUUUGAAGUCCCGAUUCUAAGCCAUUAAGCAUGGUGCACUAAACUAUCAAGUAGUCAUCAUAUUGAGCUAGCCAAACGUUCAUAACGUCUGCAUCUGCUCCUGCAAUAGGUCAGUCACCUAGCGGUGCAUCAAGGACAUAAUUUUUCUGUGCAGCAAUGAGGAUAAACCUCAUAUCACGGAUCCAAUCCGCAUCAUUGCUACUAACAUCUUUCAACACAAUUUUCUCUAGGAACAUAUCAAAAUAAACACAGGGAAGCAACAACGCGAGCUAUUGAUCUACAACAUAAUUUGCAAAAUACUAUCAGGACUAAGUUCAUGAUAAAUUUAAGUUCAAUUAAUCAUAUUACUUAAGAAAUUCCACUUAGAUAGACAUCCCUCUAAUCCUCUAAGUGAUUACGUGAUCCAAAUCAACUAAACCAUGUCCGAUCAUCACGUAAGAUGGAGUAGUUUCAUUGGUGAACAUCGCUAUGUUGAUCAUAUCUGCUAUAUGAUUCACGCUCGACCUUUCGGUCUCCGUGUUCCGAGGCCAUAUCUGUAUAUGCUUGGCUCGUCAAGUAUAACCUGAGUUUUCCCCGUGUGCAACUGUUUUGCACCCGUUGUAUUUGAACGUAGAGCCUAUCACACCCGAUCAUCACAUGGUGUCUCAGCACGAAGAACUUUCGCAACGGUGCAUACUCAGGGAGAACACUUCUUGAUAAUUAGCGAGAGAUCAUCUUAAAAUGCUACCGUCAAUCAAAGCAAGAUAAGAUGCAUAAAAAAUAAACAUCACAUGCAAUCAAUAUAAGUGAUAUGAUAUGGCCAUCAUCAUCUUGUGCUUGUGAUCUCCAUCUCCGAAGCACCGUCGUGAUCACCAUCGUCACCGGCGUGACACCUUGAUCUCCAUCGUAGCAUCGUUGUCGUCUCGCCAAGCUUGUGCUUCCACGACUAUCGCUACCGUUUAGUGAUAAAGUAAAGCAUUACAGCGCGAUUGCAUUGCAUACAAUAAAGCAACAACCAUAUGGCUCCUGCCAGUCGCCGAUAACUCGGUUACAAAACAUGAUCAUCUCAUACAAUAAAAUUUAGCAUCAUGUCUUGACCAUAUCACAUCACAACAUGCCCUGCAAAAACAAGUUAGACGUCCUCUACUUUGUUGUUGCAAGUUUUACGUGGCUGCUACGGGCUUAAGCAAGAACCAAUCUUACCUACGCAUCAAAACCACAAUGAUAAUUUGUCAAGUUGGUGCUGUUUUAACCUUCGCAAGGACCGGGCGUAGCCACACUCGGUUCAACUAAAGUUGGAGAAACUGUCACCCGCAAGCCACCUAUGUGCAAAGCACGUCGGGAGAACCGGUCUCGCGUAAGCGUACGCAUAAUGUCGGUCCGGGCCGCUUCGUCCAACAAUACCGCCGAACCAAAGUAUGACAUGCUGGUAAGCAGUAUGACUUAUAUAGCCCACAACUCACUUGUGUUCUACUCGUGCAUAUAACAUCAACAUAUAAAACCUAGGCUCAGAUGCCACUGUUGGGGAACAUAGUAAUUUCAAAAAAAUUCCUACGCUCACGCAAGAUCAUAGUGAUGCAUAGCAACGAGAGGGGAGAGUAUGAUCUAUGUACCUUAUAGAUCGACAACGGAAGAGUUUGGUUGAUGUAGUCGUACGUCUUCACGGCCCGACCGAUCAAGCAUCGAAACUGCGGCACCUCCGAGUUCUAGCACACAUUCAGCUCGAUGACGAUCCCCGGACUCCGAUCCAGCAAAGUGUCGGGGAAGAGUUCCGUCAGCACGGCGGCGUGGUGACGAUCUUGAUGUACUACUGCAGCAGGGCUUCGCCUAAACUCCGCGACAAUAUUAUCGAGGACUAUGGUGGAAGGGGGCACCGUACACGGCUAAGAAUAUGAUCACGUGGAUCAACUUGUGUGUUCAUGGGGUGCCCUUUGCCUCAGUAUAUAAAGGAUGGAGGAGGAGGAGGCCGGCCAAGGCUUGGCGCAGCCAGGAUGUGGAGUCCUACUAGGACUCCAAGUCCUAGUAGGAGUCCACCAAGAGGGGGGGAAGGGAGAAGGAAGUGGAGGAGAAGGAAAGGUGGCCGGCCCCCUUUUCCCUAGUCCAAUUCGGACUAGAGGGGAGGGGGGCGCAGCUGCCCCUUGGCCCUUUCUCCUCUUCCCACUAAAGCCCAUCAAGGCCCAUUGCUUCUCCCGUAACUACCCGGUACUCCGAAAAAUACCCGAAUCACUCGGAACCUUUCCGAUGUCCGAAUAUAGUCGUCCAAUAUAUCAAUCUUUACAUCUCGACCAUUUCGAGACUCCUCGUCAUGUCCCCGAUAUCAUCCGGGACUCCUAACUCCUUCGGUACAUCAAAACUCAUAAACUCAUAAUAUAACUGUCAUCGAAACCUUAAGCGUGCGGACCCUACGGGUUCGAGAACAAUGUAGACAUGACCGAGACACGUCUCCGGUCAAUAACCAAUAGCGGGACCUGGAUGCCCAUAUUGGUUCCUACAUAUUCUACGAAGAUCUUUAUCGGUUAGACCGCAUAACAACAUACGUUGUUCCCUUUGUCAUUGGUAUGUUACUUGCCCGAGAUUCGAUCGUCGGUAUCUAAUACCUAGUUCAAUCUCGUUACCGGCAAGUCUCUUUACUCGUUCUGUAAUACAUCAUCCCGCAACUAACUCAUUAGUUGCAAUGCUUGCAAGGCUUAAGUGAUGUGCAUUACCGAGAGGGCCCAGAGAUACCUCUCCGACAAUCGAAGUGACAAAUCCUAAUCUCGAAAUACGCCAACCCAACAUGUACCUUUGGAGACACCUAUAGAGCUCCUUUAUAAUCACCCAGUUACGUUGUGACGUUUGGUAGCACACAAAGUGUUCCUACGGUAAACGGGAGUUGCAUAAUCUCAUAGUCAUAGGAACAUGUAUAAGUCAUGAAGAAAGCAAUAGCAACAUACUAAACGAUCGGGUGCUAAGCUAAUGGAAUGGGUCAUGUCAAUCACAUCAUUCUCCUAAUGAUGUGAUCCCGUUAAUCAAAUAACAACUCUUUUGUUUAUGGUUAGGAAACAUAACCAUCUUCGAUUAACGAGCUAGUCAAGUAGAGGCAUACUAGUGACACUUUGUUUGUCUAUGUAUUCACACAAGUAUUAUGUUUCCGGUUAAUACAAUUCUAGCAUGAAUAAUAAACAUUUAUCAUGAUAUAAAGAAAUAAAUAAUAACUUUAUUAUUGCCUCUAGGGCAUAUUUCCUUCAGUUACCAACCGGUACUAAAGGGCUCCCGGCCCCCGGAGCUGGCUCGUGCCACGUGGUUUCCCUUUAGCACCGGUUCGUGCUGAACCGGUACUAAAGGGGGGGGCUUUAGUGCCCACACUUUAGUGCCGAUUAUGGAACCGGCACUAAAAGGCCUUACGAACCGGUGCUAUUGCCCGGUUCUGCACUAGUGUAACCAAUGCCCAGAAACCGGUUUGGGCCCAUAGUUUAUAGACAUUAAUAACCAAAUAGUUUAAACCCAUAACCAACUAUACCCAAAUUGGUUUCUUCACAUACCCAAACCAAAACCAAACUAAAAAAGAUUCAACCCAAUAAAACCUGAACCAAUCAAACCCAAAGUAAAAACCGAACCGUUUCACCCAGUUUUUUAAUAACCAUUCUCAGAUUUAAUAGCAACAAAGACAAAAUGCUGCAUUUUCCUUUGUACUGUACUCCAACAAAAACUUGUGAUCCUUGACCCAAUCUUCAUUAAGACGACGUUGAACUCCACUGAAAUCUGUUUGAAGGAAAACAUGUCCUGUUGGUUGGAACGGGCCUCUCAGGAGGUAUGCUCUUCACACAUACUUUGGCACUGUACUGGAAAAUAGGUGUGCGAUUUGCAGGAUCUGGCGGAAGAUUAGAUGUAUCAACUUUCUCUUUUUCUUUAGCUGGGCGCGGCCUUGCAUUGCUAUUAACUAACACACGUUCCAAAGCGGCUCGAGCAUCAAUAGGAGUCUGUUCUUCCUCAUUUGCAGGUGAUUGCUGCUGUGUGGUAUUUGCAACAUUUGAGUUGGGCUACCACUUCUUCACAGAUUUAUCCAUUUAUCAAACCAAUGACCUGACAAAAUAAAUCUACUACUAAAAAAGGGAAAUAUGCAAUUCUUAUUCUUAAUAAAAAUAAUCUCCUACAUCCUUGAUCUUAAUAUUGCUAGUGCCUAGCCAGCGAAAAACUGGAAAAUAAUGAACUGUAAUAGUAGAAAAGUGGAGGGCCUUGCCUUGUGUAGUUGUGUUGGAUCAGAUACGGACUAGUACAGUAGUAUCGAUCAAUUGAUUCAGAGUUUCAUACGAACAAUUCGUGUGCAGCCUCGGGUGCGCCGCUCGCGGCUCGCUGGACGGCCCAACGUGGUCUUUCUCAUGUCAGACACCAGCCAAAGAUCACCGACACCGGGACAACAAGUCUGAAGGCGAUGCGGUGCGGCGGCCGGUCAUUGGAAAGACAUGCGUGAAGGAGCCAACGAGAUCACGUAAUUUGGGGAUCAACUUAGUUUUUUAACAUCAAUAUAGACACAAGCGCUCAUAUACAUACGCAUACACUUACCUCUAUGAACGCACACACGCACAUCCUACUCCUAUGAGCAUCUCCGAAAGACUGAGCCGUCAUAUCAUCUUGAGAUUUACGAAGUCGCCGCAGGCGCCUCGUCGUCGACGGGAACGUCUACUCCCACUGAAUGCGCAUCGCCAGAAAUCCUGAAAUAAAUCUAGGAAUAAAUGUGAGCACCAGGAUUUAAACCCUGGUGGACUAGGGACACCACAGUCCCUCUAACCAUCCAACCACGGGUUGCCCAGUAGUGCGAUCAGUUAAGGGAUUUCGGAUUUCUUCUUGGGAUAUGGCCCAAUAGUGGCCCAGCUAAUUGUUACACAAGCAGAAAAGUAAGAGAAUAGAUGGGCCUGUGUAGUUAAAUAUUGAUGGUUGCCUGGUUCAACGACGUGGUAUACAGACGUGGGGGUCGAUGUCGUAUGAAAGACUUAUGUAGUCAAUUGACUACACAGUUGUAGCGUGGCUUCGCCACUACGUUAAACACGUCGAACGCUCGUCAUUGGAGCAGUCUAGGUUGUUGGAUUGAUUUAGUUUGAUAGCUAAGAUCAGUUCUUUUAAGUCUUUUUAUAUUGAUAUAGAUAUAAAUUAUACGUGCAAGCACUUGUCUGAUUAUGUACAAUAAUGUACCCGUGUAUCUUCCCAGAGACUAGUUUUUGUACAACUUUGGUUCAAGUGACUUUUUUUUUCAUUUUUGGGAUUACCAUUUGGCAUGUGUCAUAUCAUUGCAAAAGACCGCCGCACUAGUUCGUUCUUUUGAUCCCCUUCUCCUCCCAUGUUCUAUUCCAGAAAUGCACGUUAAAUCUUGGACUCAACAAUAAACCUGAUGUCAGAUUUUUUACUAUAGCAAGUUAAAUGGUUUUUUGUCAAUUUAUGUUUACCAAUGAUGGCAAGUUUAGUCAAAAAAAUACGUCGCAAUUCAUUUUCUCCCAGGAAAUUGUCAUGCUUGCAAACCAAGUUUUCCAUGCUCACGCCAACAUAAAAUUUCUUUGAUUUGUCAUGUUUAAAAUCUGACGUCACAUUUUUAACAUUACCGUAAAUCUUUUGAUACGGUUUAAUGGAAUGGGUUGGAAAAUAAGAAUAUUUUUUUAAACAAAAUAAAGGUAGUUACUGCUAGGCAAACUAUUGUCAAGUCAAAAUAUUGUGACAAACAGACAAAUCCUAAAGAAAAAAAGCUUACCCGUUUUGGAACAAGCUUACUGUGCUAGUGUAGUCCCUGUGGGUAGGUGUUGUCGUGUUGAGGUGUUUGUCACAAGGGAUCGGGACACCUCGACAUUUUUCUUGGUGACGAGUCAGAUAAAUUAACAUGGGUAAAAUAUACAUUGAAAUUCCUAGAGUUGAGUUGGCCUCAAUUUAAGGUUGUAAACUCUGUUAAUUUUACAAUUUUGCUAAAGCACAUUUAAAUGUGCCAUUGCACAUCUAAGUCAUAUGUCAUUGAUCUUACAUUGAGAUUCAUGUGAAUAUUUUUUUUCUCUUUAUGCUUGAUUCACUUACUUAGAUGUGCAAUAAUUAGAGCAUAUCUAGAUGUGCCCUAGACACACCCUUUUAAAUUUUAUAGACCGGACAGUCAAAUAACAAAAUAGAAAAGGCACUCCCUUGUUGACCGUGACUUUCUUUUCUCUCUCGCAAGGUGACUAGGGAAUACUUUCGUCUCCUGAAUCUUCGAUGACGAGUAUGUGGAUUCUUCUUCCCUCUGCCUGCCGCUCCGGCAGCCGGUGGUGGCGAGGAAAAUCCUGGUGCUUCAACUUCGGCUAGUUGAUAGCUUAGGAUUUUAGUCCUCACAGAGAUGGCGCUCGGGCGGAUAGCCACGCUUCUUCUUCGAGUCAAUCUUCUAGGCUAUGAUCCUUCUCAUGUUUGCCCAUCUAAAUGGAUUAGACGAAACUUUGACGUAGAUUCCUGCGAGCUCCUUGGGGCGGCGAGAUUUGGAUUUCUUGCCGUGUGUACGUAUUGGCGAAAGUUUGGUGUCAGGUUAUUUAGAUAGAUUCAAGUGUUCAAUAGCAACAAUUGCGGUCCGUACGCUGGUCUUUAGGGGCAUGUGCACGAAGACUCCCAAAUGUCAUUAACAAGGUCAGGCCGACUCCGGUAUGGGAGCGGCAAAGCGGCACGUCAACGGCUCGUUCUGGCAGCCGCAGUUGUCGUUCGAAGGUCCAGAGGUCUCGAUGUAAAUUUUAUUAUGUUUAGGGUGCCUUGUAUCGGUGGUAAAAAUUUAUAAUACUAUAUGUGAAUACUUUUCACAAAACUAAUAAUGAUGAUGAAUAGGCAAAAUCUUGUUGAGCAAAUAUGAUAGUAAUUCACAGUCUCUAUGAUUGACUAGUUUUUUAACACAGUAUAGACAUAGAUGCUUAUACAUACGCACAUAUAUUCAUCCCAAUGAACACGCGCACACAUACUCUACCUCUAUGAGUAGAGACUGAGCCGGCGCGUAAUUUUGAGAUUGACGAAGUCACAAUAGAUACGUCAAUUUUUUUUGGUUGUUUUCAACUCCUAUCUUUUUUUUUGCGAGGAACCAUAGGGUAUUUUAUUCCAGAGUGAUAGAGUUACAAUCUUCAGCAACUAGCUUGCUAAUACAUGGGGGUGGUUGACCCAACCAACAGGUUGUGCUAUCCCCACAUCUACCAAAAUUAGCUAAACAAUGUGCAACCCUAUUCUGAUCCCGAAGAAUUUUAACAGGAAUAACUACCCUAUCGUUCAAGAACCUUUUGAUCUCCGCCACCAAGUGUCCAUAUGCCGACCUAUCCAAUGAACCAUCCCCAAGCAUCUUGAGAGCCACCGCACAAUCAGACUGAAGAACAAUAGUGGCCUGAGAAUGCUCUAUCGCCAGCUUCAACCCUUCCAUCACAGCUUGCAAUUCUGCCUCGAGAGCUUCAUUGUAGUGAGAUAGUUUGCGAUAGGAUGCGAAGAUAACAGUCCCGGUCAUGUCACGAAGAAUCAUUCCGGAGCCCGCUGACCCGUCCGUAGGGUCAAAAGAGCCAUCCACUGACAACGCCACCUGGUGCACCUGUGGAGGAGGCCAAGGUUUGCGAGGUGCAUAUCUUCCAGAUGGGGGUCUAUGUGUAGGUUCAUAAACCACCGGAGCUUUCCCUUUCAUAAUUUCCUCAACACUGAGCAAGAUUUGUUGGAAGGUGUUAUAGUAACUUGCCAAGAACAAGCAGGAAACCUCGAGUGGAGGGAUAGAUUUACCAUGAGUAAAUUCGUUCCGCAGAUGCCAUAUACGCCAUAGUACCAUAAUGAUUCUGCUCCUGAUCUGCUCGUUUGAUUCCGAUAGGAGGUGGAGCAGCCACUCUGAGCCCGUACACAGGAUAUCUGUUCUGGGGGGAAGUGGCCAGACUAGCCGCAUAGAAUCCCAGAGCAUAGCAGCAUUAGGGCAUACAAGUAACGCAUGAAAUGAGGACUCCUCCUCCCUUUGACAGAGGUUGCAGCAGGCGGAUGUACCAAUGUGUCGACAAAACUUCUCCACAUUUGUUGGAAGUGAUCCCGAAAUGACUUGCCAAGCAAAGUGUUGUUGGGGAACGUAGCAGAAAUUCAAAAUUUUCUACGCAUCACCAAGAUCAAUCUAUGGAGUAAUCUAGCAAUGAGGGGAAGGAGAGUGCAUCUACAUACCCUUGUAGAUCGCUAAGCGGAAGCGUUCAAGUGAACGGGGUUGAUGGAGUCGUACUCGUCGUGAUCCAAAUCACCGAUGAUCCUAGUGCCGAACGGACGGCACCUCCGUGUUCAACACACGUACAGCCCGAUGACGUCUCCUACGCCUUGAUCCAGCAAGGGGAGAAGGAGAGGUUUGGGAAGACUCCAUCUAGCAGCAGCACGACGGCGUGGUGGUGGUGAAGAAGCGCGGGACUCCAGCAGGGCUUCGCCAAGCACUACGAGAGACGAGGAGGGAGAGGGGUAGGGCUGCGCCAACAGGGAGAGCAAAUCACAUGUGUUGGGCAUCCCCAAACCUCAAGUAUAUAUAGGGGAAGGGGAGGGGCUGCGCCUCCACCUAGGGUUCCCUCCCUAGGGGUGGCGGCAGCCCCCAGAUCCCAUCUGGGAGGCGGCCAAGGGGGAGAGAGUGGGGGGCGCACCUAGGGCGGGCCUUAGGGCUCAUCUGCGCCUAGGGUUUGCCCCCUCUCCUCUUGAGGACGCCUUGGGCCUUGGUGGGAGGCGCCCCAGCCCACAUAGGGGCUGGUCCCUUCCCACUAUUGGCCCAUGUAGGCCUCCGGGGCUGGUGGCCCCACCUGGUGGACCCCCGGACCCUCCGGUGGUCCCGGUACACUACCGGUGAUGCCCGGAACACUUCCGGUGGCCAAAACCAUACUUCCUAUAUAUCAAUCUUUACCUCCGGACCAUUCCGGAACUCCUCGUGACAUCCGGGAUCUCAUUCGGGACUCCGAACAACAUUCGGUAACCACGUACAUACUUUCCCUAUAACCCUAGCGUCAUCGAACCUUAAGUGUGUAGACCCUACGGGUUCGGGAAACAUGCAGACAUGACCGAGACACCUCUCCGGUCAAUAACCAACAGCGGUAUCUGGAUACCCAUGUUGGCUCCUACAUGCGCCACGAUGAUCUCAUCGGAUGAACCACGAUGUCAAGGACUUAAUCAAUCCCGUAUACAAUUCCCUUUGUCUAGCGGUACGAUACUUGCCUGAGAUUCGAUCGUCGGUAUCCCGAUACCUUGUUCAAUCUCGUUACCGGCAAGUCUCUUUACUCGUUCCGUAACACAUCAUCCCGUGAUUAACUCCUUGAUCAAAUUGUGCACAUUAUGAUGAUGUCCUACCGAGUGGGCCCAGAGAUACCUCUCCGUUUACACGGAGUGACAAAUCCCAGUCUCGAUUCGUGCCAACCCAACAGACACUUUUGGAGAUACCUGUAGUGUACCUUUAUAGCCACCCAGUUAUGUUGUGACGUUUGGCACACCCAAAGCACUCCUACGGUAUCCGGGAGUUGCACAAUCUCAUGGUCUAAGGAAAUGAUACUUGACAUUAGAAAAGCUUUAGCAUACGAACUACAUGAUCUUGCGCUAGGCUUAGGAUUGGGUCUUGUCCAUCACAUCAUUCUCCUAAUGUUGUGAUCCCGUUAUCAAUGACAUCCAAUGUCCAUGGUCAGGAAACCGUAACCAUCUAUUGAUCAACGAGCUAGUCAACUAGAGGCUUACUAGGGACAUGGUGUUGUCUAUGUAUCCACACAUGUUUCUGAGUUUCCUAUCAAUACAAUUCUAGCAUGGAUAAUAAACUAUUAUCAUGAACAAGGAAAUAUAAUAAUAACCAAUUUAUUAUUGCCUCUAGGGCAUAUUUCCAACAGUCUCCCAAUUGCACUAGAGUCAAUAAUCCAGUUCACAUCGAUAUGUGAUUAACACUCAAGGUCACAUCCCCAUGUGACUAACACCCAAAGAGUUCUGGGUUUGAUCAUGUUAUGCUUGUGAGAGAGGUUUCAGUCAACGGGUCUGCAGCAUUCAGAUCCGUAUGUACUUCGCAAAUUUCUAUGUCAUCUUGUAGAUGCAACUACUACGCUACAUUUGGAGCCAUUUCAAAUAAUUGUUCUACUUGGAGCUAUUCUAAAUUGUUGCUCCAUUAUACCUAUCCGGUAUCUCUACUCAGAGCUAUCCGGAUAGGUGUUAAGCUUGCAUCGACGUAACUCUUUACGUCGAACUCUUUAUCACCUCCAUAACCGAGAAACAUAUCCUUAUUCCUCUAAGGAUAAUUUAGACCGCUAUCUGGUGAUCUACUCGUAGAUCACCUUUGUACCCUCUUGCCAAAUAUGUGGCAAGGCACACAUCAGGUGUGGUACUCAGCAUGGCAUACCGUAUGGAGCCUAUGACAAAAGCAUAGGGGACGACCUUCGUCCUUCCUCUUUCUUCUGCCGUGGACGAGCUUUAAGUCUUAACUUCAUACCUUACAACUCAGGCAAGAACUCCUUCUUUGACUGAUCCAUCUUGAACACCUUCAAGAUCAUGUCAAGGUAUGUGCUCAUUUGAAAGUACCAUUAAGCGUUUUGAUCUAUCCUUAUAGAUCUUGAUGCUCAAUCUUCAAGUAGCUUAAUCCAGGCUUUCCAUCGAAAACACUUUCCAAAUAACCCUAUAUGCUUUCCAGAAAUUCUACGUCAUUUCUGAUCAACAAUAUGUCAACAACAUAUACUCAUCAGAAAUUCUAUAGUGCUCCCACUCACUUCUUUGGAAAUACAAGUUUCUAAUAAACUUUGUAUACACCCAAAAACUUUGAGCAUCUCAUCAAAGCAUACAUUCCAACUCCGAGAUGCUUACUCUAGUCCUUAGAAGGAUUGCUGGAGCUUUGCAUACUUGUUAGCAUCUUUCAGGAUUGACAAAACCUUCCGGUUGUAUCACAUACAACCUUUCCUCAAGAAAAUCGUCGAGGAAACAAUGUUUUGACAUCCUAUCUGCAAGAUUUCAUAAAUAAUGCAGUAAUCGCUAAUAUAAUUCCAACAGACUCUUAGCAUCUCUACGAGUGAGAAAGUCUCAUCGUAGUCAACUCCUUGAACUUGUCGGAAAACAUCUUAACGACAAGUGGAGCUUUCUUAAUGGUGAUACUUAUCAUCAUUGUCCGUCUUCCUUUUAAAAUCCAUAUGUACCUAUCAGCCUUACGACCAUCAAGUAGUUCUUCCAAAGUCUACACUUUGUUUUCAUAUAUGGAUCCUCUCUCGGAUUAUAUGGCCUCGAGCCAUUUUGGAAUCCAGGCCCACCAUCGCUUCUCCAUAGCUCGUAGGUUCAUUGUUGUCUAGCAACAUGACUUCCAAGACAGGAUUAUAUACCAUUCUGAAGUUGUACGCAUCCUUGUAAUCCCACGAGGUUUGGUAGUGACUUGAUCUGAAGUUUCAUGAUCACUAUCAUAAGCUUCCACUUCAAUUGGUGUAGGUGCCGCAGGAACAACUCCCUGUGCCCUGCCACACACUAGUUGAAGAGACGGUUCAAUAACCUCAUCAAGUCUCCACCAUCCUCCCACUCAAUUCUUUCGAGAGAAACUUUUCCUCGGAAAAGGACCCGAUUCUAGAAACAAUCCCUUAUUGCUUUCGGAUCUGAGACAGGAGGUACACCCAACUGUUUUGGGUGUCCUAUGAAGAUGCAUUUAUCCGCUUUGGGUUCGAGCUUGUCAGCCUGAAACUUUUCACAUAAGCGUCGCAGCCCCAAACCUUUUAACAAAUGACAGCUUGGGUUUCUCUAAACCAUAGUUCAUACGGUGUCAUCUCAUCGGAAUUACGUGGUGCCCUAUUUAAAGUGAAUGUGGUUGUCUCUAAUGCCUAACCCAUAAACUAUCGUGGUAAUUCGAUAAGAGACAUCAUGGUAUGCAUCAUAUCCAAUAGGGUGCAGUUAUGAUGUUUGGACACACCAUCAUACUAUGGUGUUUCAGGCUGUAUUAGUUGUGAAACAAUUUCCACAAUGUCUUAAUUCUGCGCCAAACUCGUAAUUCAGAUAUUCAUCUCUAUGAUCAUAUCAUAGAUAUUUUAUCCUCUUGUCACGACGAUCUCUCACCUUCACCCUGAAAUUACUUGAACCUUUCAAUAAUUCAGACUCAUGAUUCAUCAAGUAAAUAUACUCAACAUCUACUCAAAUCAUCUGUGAAGUAAGAACAUAACGAUAUCCACUACACGCCUCAGCACUCAUUGGACUGCACACAUCAAAAUGUAUUACUUCCAACAAGUUGCUUUCUAGUUCCAUUUUACUGAAAACGAGGCUUUCAGUCAUCUUGCCCAUGUGGUAUGAUUUGCAUGUCUCAAGUGAUUCAAAAUCAAGCGAGUCCAAACGGUCCAUUUGCAUGGAAUUUCUUCAUGCAUAUACACCAAUAGACAUGGUUCGCAUGUCUCAAACUUUUCAAAAACGAGUGAGCCCAAAGAUCCAUCAACAUGGAGCUUCUUCAUGCGUUUUAUACCGAUAUGACUUACGUGGCAGUGCCACAAGUAGGUGGUACUAUCAUUACUAACUUAUAUCUUUUGGCAUGAACAUGUGUAUCACUACGAUCGAGAUUCAAUAAACCAUUCAUUUUAGGUGCAAGACCAUUGAAGGUAUUAUUCAAAUAAACAGAGUAACCAUUAUUCUCCUUAAAUGAAUAACCGUAUUGCGAUAGACAUAAUCCAAUCAUGUCUAUGCUCAAUGCAAACACCAAUCUCGAUGGUAGAGGGAGCGUGCGAUGCUUGAUCACAUCAAGCUUUGGAAAAACUUCCAACACAUAUCGCUAGCUCACCUUUAGCUAGUCUCCGUUUACUCCGCAGCCUUUUAUUUCGAGUUUACUAACACUUAGCAACCGAACCGGUAUCCAAUACCAUGGUGCUACUAGGAGUACUAGUAAAGUACACAUUAACACAAUGUAUAUCCAAUAUACUUCUAUCGACCUUGCCAGCCUUCUCAUCUACCAAGUAUCUAGGGUAAUUCUGCUCCAGUGGCUGUUCCCCUUAUUACAGAAGCACUUAGUCUCGGGUUUGGGUUCAACCUUGGGUUUCUUCACUAAAGCAGCAGCUGAAUUUGCCGUUUCAUGAAGUAUCCCUUCUUGCCCUUGCCCUUCUUGAAACUAGUGGUUUAACCAUCAACAAUUGAUGCUCCUUCUUGAUUUCUACUUUUGUGGUGUCAAACAUCGCGAAUAUCUCAAGGAUCAUCAUAUAUGUCCCUGAUAUAUUAUAGUUCAUCACGAAGCCCUAGCAGCUUGGUGGUAAUGAGUUCGGAGAAACAUCACUAUCUCAUCUGGAAGAUCAACUCCCACUUGAUUCAAAUGAUUGUUGUACUCAGACAAUCUGAGCACAAGCUCAACAAUUGAGCUUUUCUCCCUUAGUUUGCAAGCUAAGAAAAUCGUGGAGGUCUUAUACCUCUUGACGUGGGCACGAGCCUGAAAUCCCAAUUUCAGCCCUCGAAACAUCUCAUAUGUUUCGCGACAUUUGAAAACGUCUUCGGUGCCUCAACUCUAAACCGUUUAACUGAACUAUCACGUAGUUAUCAAAAUGUGUAUGUCAGAUGUUCGCAACAUCCACAGACGACGUUCGAGGUUCAGCACACUGAGCGGUGCAUUAAGGACACAAGCCUUCUAUGAAGCAAUGAGGACAAUCCUCAGUUUACGGACCUAGUCCGCAUAAUUGCUACUAUCAACUUUCAACUAAAUUUUCUCCAGGAACAUAUCUAAACAGCAGAACUGAAGCGCGAGCCACGACAUAAUUUGCGAAGACCUUUUGACUAUAUUCAGGAUAAUUAAGUUCAUCUUAUGAACUCCCACUUAGAUAGACAUCCCUCUAGUCAUCUAAGUGAUUACAUGAUCCGAGUCAACUAGGCCGUGUCCAAUCAUCACGUGAGACAGACUAGUCAACAUUGGUGAACAUCUUCAUGUUGAUCGUAUCUUCUAUACGACUCAUGUUCGACCUUUCGGUCUUCUGUGUUCCGAGGCCAUGUCUGUACAUGCUAGGCUCGUCAAGUCAACCUAAGUGUUUGCAUGUGUAAAUCUGUCUUACACCCGUUGUAUGUGAACGUUGGAAUCUAUCACACCCAAUCAUCAUGUGGUGCUUCGAAACAACGAACUGUCACAACGGUGCACAGUUAGGGGGAACACUUUCUUGAAAUUAUUAUGAGGGAUCAUCUUAUUUACUACCGUCAUUCUAAGUAAACAAGAUGCAAAAACAUGAUAAACAUCACAUGUAAUCAAAUAAUAGUGACAUGAUAUGGCCAAUAUCAUAUAGCUCCUUUGAUCUCCAUCUUGGGGCUCCAUGAUCAUCUUAUUACCGGCAUGACACCAUGAUCUCCAUCAUCAUGAUCUCCAUCAUCGUGUCUCCAUGAAGUUGCUCGCCAACUAUUACUUCUACUACUAUGGCUAACACGUUUAGCAAUAAAGUAAAGUAAUUUACAUGGCAUUUCUCAAUGACACGCAGGUCAUACAAAAAAAUAAAGACAACUCCUAUGGCUCCUGCCGGUUGUCAUACUCAUCGACAUGCAAGUCGUGAUUCCUAUUACAAGAACAUGAUCUCAUACAUCACAUAUAUAUCAUUCAUCACAUCCUUUGGCCAUAUCACAUAACACUUGCUGCAAAAACAAGUUAGACGUCCUCUAAUUGUUGUUGCAAGUUUUUACGUGGCUGCUAUAGGUUUCUAGCAAGAACGUUUCUUACCUACGCCAAAACCACAACGUGAAUUGCCAAUUUCUAUUUACCCUUCAUAAGGACCCUGUUCAUCGAAUCCGAUCCAACUAAAGUGGGAGAGACAAACACCCGCCAGCCACCUUAUGCAACUAGUGCAUGUCAGUCGGUGGAACCGGUCUCACGUAAGCGUACGUGUAAGGUUGGUCCGGGCCGCUUCAUCCCACGAUGCCGCCAAAUCAAGAUAAGACUAGUAACGGCAAGAUAAUUGACAAUAUCGACGCCCACAACUACUUUCUGUUCUACUCGUGCAUAGUAACUACGCAUAGAACUAGCUCAUGAUGCCACUGUUGGGGAACAUAGCAGAAAUUCAAAAUUUUCUAUGCAUCACCAAGAUAAAUCUAUGGAGUAAUCUAGCAACGAGGGGAAGGAGAAUGCAUCUACAUACCCUUGUAGAUCGCUAAGCGGAAGCGUUCAAGUGAACGGGGUUGAUGGAGUCGUACUCGUCAUGAUCCAAAUCACCGAUGAUCCUAGUGCCGAACGGACGGCACCUCCGUGUUCAACACACGUACAGCCCGGUGACGUCUCCUACGCCUUGAUCCAGCAAGGGGAGAAGGAGAGGUUGGGGAAGACUCCAUCCAGCAGCAGCACGACAGCAUGGUGGUGGUGAAGGAGCGCGGGACUCCAGCAGGGCUUCACCAAGCACUACGAGAGACGAGGAGGGAGAGGGGUAGGGCUGCGCCAACAGGGAGAGCAAAUCACAUGUGUUGGGCAGACCCAAACCUCAAGUAUAUAUAGGGGAAGGGGAGGGGCUGCGCCCCCACCUAGGGUUCCCUCCCUAGGGGUGGCGGCAGCCCCCAGAUCCCAUCUGGGAGGCGGCCAAGGGGGAGAGAGAGGGGGGCGCACCUAGGGUGGGCCUUAGAGCCCAUCUGCGCCUAGGGUUUGCCCCCUCUCCUCUUGAGGACGCCUUGGGCCUUGGUGGGAGGUGCCCCAGCCCACAUAGGGGCUGGUCCCUUCCCACUAUUGGCCCAUGUAGGCCUCCGGGGCUGGUGGCCCCACCUGGUGGACCCCCGGACCCCUCCGGUGGUCCCGGUACACUACCGGUGAUGCCCGGAACACUUCCGGUGGCCAAAACCAUACUUCCUAUAUAUCAAUCUUUACCUCCGGACCAUUCCGGAACUCCUCGUGAUAUCCGGGAUCUCAUCCGGGACUCUGAACAACAUUCGGUAACCGCAUACAUACUUUCCCUAUAACCCUAGCGUCAUCGAACCUUAAGUGUGUAGACCCUACGGGUUCGGGAAACAUGCAGACAUGACCGAGACACCUCUCCGGUCAAUAACCAACAGCGGUAUCUGGAUACCCAUGUUGGCUCCCACAUGCUCCAUGAUGAUCUCAUCGGAUGAACCACGAUGUCAAGGACUUAAUCAAUCCCGUAUACAAUUCCCUUUGUCUAGCGGUACGAUACUUGCCCGAGAUUCGAUCGUCGGUAUCCCGAUACCUUGUUCAAUCUCGUUACCGGCAAGUCUCUUUACUCAUUCCGUAACACAUCAUCCCGUGAUCAACUCCUUGAUCACAUUGUGCACAUUAUGAUGAUGUCCUACCGAGUGGGCCCAGAGAUACCUCUCUGUUUACACGGAGUGACAAAUCCCAGUCUCGAUUCGUGCCAACCCAACAGACACUUUCGGAGAUACCUGUAGUGUACCUUUAUAGCCACCCAGUUAUGUUGUGACGUUUGGCACACCCAAAGCACUCCUACAGUAUCCGGGAGUUGCACAAUCUCAUGGUCUAAGGAAAUGAUACUUGAAAUUAGAAAAGCUUUAUCAUACGAACUACAUGAUCUUGUGCUAGGCUUAGGAUUGGGUCUUGUCCAUCACAUCAUUCUCCUAAUGAUGUGAUCCCGUUAUCAACGACAUCCAAUGUCCAUGGUCAGGAAACCGUAACCAUCUAUUGAUCAACGAGCUAGUCAACUAGAGGCUUACUAGGGACAUGGUGUUGUCUAUGUAUCCACACAUGUAUCUGAGUUUCCUAUCAAUACAAUUCUAGCAUGGAUAAUAAACGAUUAUCAUGAAUAAGGAAAUAUAAUAAUAACCAAUUUAUUAUUGCCUCUAGGGCAUAUUUCCAACAAGUGUCCCAUCUUGGGGGGGCAUCCGCAGACCAGACAAGCUUCCACAACGGUCGGUCACCAUUAGGGUUAGAGCUCGACGCACCCGGACUGAGAUGAUCUGUUAUUGAAGACAUUGCAAAGUGGUAGGCACUCUUGACAGUAAACUGCCCCAAUCUGUCCCAAGGCCACGAUACAAAGUCCUCCUGUUGGCGCGGGGAAGUGCGGAUCAUCAGUAUUGCAUCUACAUCAGCCUAGCAGAAGAACUGUUGUAGCAAGUUUAACUUCCAGUUGCCGCGAUCAUCAAGAAAAUCCUGGACUCUAUUGAGGCGACAAUUGCCUCUUGGCAAGAUAGGAGUAAAUGGGGGACCCCUAGGGAUCCACGGGUCCCUCCACGUUCUGAUGCUAGCCCCAUUGCCCACUCGCUAGAGUAUUCCUUUCUUCACCAAUUCUGGUCCAUGCUCAAUGCCCUUCCACACCGCCGAGGAGUUCGACGGAAAAACUGUAUCCACCAAGUUCCCGUUAGGGUAAUACUUGGCUCGGAGUAGUCGGGCACAUAACGAUUCUGGAUUAGUGAGAAGCCUCCAGGCUUGUUUAGCCAGAAGAGCCUGAUUGUAAGCGCGCAUAUUCCUAAAACCAACGCCUCCUUGAGAUUUAGGGAGAGUCAAACGCUCCCAAGCAACCCAUGCCAUCUUUUUCUUUCCGUUUUCCACCCCCACUAGUAUUGCCUCAUCAUCUUUGUUAACUCAUCACAAACCGACAUGGGAAGUUUGAAUAUACUCAUAACAUAAACUGGGAUGGCUUGGGCCACCGCUUUUAUAAGCACCUCCUUACUUGCAAAAGACGAGUAUCGUUCACUCCAAUUCACCAAGCACUUACUCAAUUUAGACUGCAAAGAUUCAAAACGUCCGUUAUGCAUGCGCCCCUCUGGAACCGGGAGCCCCAAAUACUUUGGUUCAAACUCCUGUUGAGUAACAUUCAGAAUUUGUUUCACUUCCACCACAACUUGAUUUGGACAAUUGUCAGCAAAUAGGAUGGAGCACUUUGAGGGAUUGAUAAUUUGACCCGUAGCUGAAGCAUAAGUACUCAAAACAUCCUUGACAAUCAUCGCCAAAUCCGUAGUAGCACGGAAGAAUAGAAGGGAAUCGUCUGCAAACAAUAAGUGUGAUAUAGCAGGGGCUCUCCUACUAAUUUUGAUAGCCUCAAGUCCUCUAUCUUGGACUGCCUCAUGUAAUAAGGAAGACAAGGAGUCAGCCACAAAGAGGAACAGGAAGGGUGAUAUGGGGUCACCUUGACGUAAACCACACGAAGGAGAGAACUGCUCCAGUAGCCGGCCAUUAAACUUGACAGAAUACUUGACCGAUCUGACACACUCCAUUACUAGAUCAACCCACCGUGGGGAGAAGCCCCACUUCAAAAGAGCACGCUCCAGGUAGUCCCAAUCAACACGGUCAUAAGCCUUCGACAGGUCCAGCUUAUACGCACAAAAAUCAUUAUUUCCUGAAGAAGUUUGGAUAUGGUGGAUACACUCAAAAGCAAUCAUCGAAUUAUCUGAGAUUAAGCGUCCCGGGAUGAACACGCUUUGAUUUUCUGAAAUGAGAUCCACAAGGCACGGUCUGAGCCUAUUCACCAUACAUUUUGAGACUAUCUUGUAAAUCACAUUGCACAGAGAAAUAGGACGGAAAUCCUUCAAUGUCACCGGGUGUUGAACUUUGGGGAUCAGUACAAUACACAUAUCAUUGACCCCUUCUGGCAUAUGGCCUGUGACAAAAAACAGUCGAACCGCGGCUAUGAUUUCCUCUUUCAAGCAACCCCAGUUCCUCUGAUAAAACCGGGACGGGAACCCAUCCGGACCCGGCGCCUUUAAGGGUCCGAUUUGGAACAAAGCAUCAGAUAUUUCAUCAUCAUAAAAAGGCACGAGGAGACGGUCAUUCAUCUCAUUCGUAACCCUCGGCACAAGAACAUCUAGAACAACAUCCGGAGUUACAGUAGGAUCUUUCGUAUAUACCUCCUUGAAGUACGAGGCGGCCAUACGCUCCAUCUCCGAGGGGGAGUUACACCACGAGCCGUCACGUUUCAUUAGCCUCCUUAUGUUAUUCCUCCUAGCACGCCAAACUGCCUGCCGGUGAAAGUAGUUUGUAUUGCAGUCCCCCUCCUUCAACCAAACAAUACGACUCCUUUGCAGCCACAUCAUCUCCUCCCGGUAAAGUAGCUCAUCCAACUUUUCCAUUUUUUGUUUGAUCAAGAGACGGUCCGAAUUGUUUAGCUGUAAGUUUUCCAGUUCCUUCCGAAGAUCCUCAAUUUGUUUCACCACUUGGCCAAAAUUUUCUUUACUCCACUUCCAAAGAUCAGCCAUAACAGACUUCAGGGAUGUAGCCAUGUUCCCCAAGUCGCCCACAGGCCGAGACCGAUCCCAUGCCUUUGAAAUUAUCUCUGGCAGUUUUUUAUCACGUUCCCACAUGAUCUCAUAUUUAGGCAACCCCUUCCGGCGGCGAUCUUCAGUAUCAUCUAGGCAAAGUAUAAUGGGACAAUGGUCCGACCGAGGGGAAACCAGGUGCUGCCCCCUCGAGAACGGAAACAACUCCCUCCAAUCAUCAGACGCACUUGCUCGAUCUAACCGAACUCGAACGUUGCCAUGUCCAAGCUGGCCGUUAUCAUAUGUAUAUGGAGCUCCUGAGAACCCCAAGUCAAUCAAUUCGCACACAAAGAGAGUGUCUCUAAAUGCCUCCAUCUGGCUCUCUCCUCUACUGGUUCUCGAGAAGUGUUCAUGUUGCCAAAGAGCUUCAUUAAAAUCACCACAAACAACCCAAGGUAGGUCUGAGACCCCUUUCAAUCUGACUAGGUGAUCCCACAUGCGCUGCCGAUGUUCCACACGUGGUUCCCCAUAGACAAAGGUGGACCUCCAAGUUUUCCCGGAACCUUGAUCCUCAACAUUCACAUCGAUGUAUCUUUUACAGGAAUCCAGCACUGUCACCCAGAGGGAUUCAUCCCAAAACAGCUCUAGUCCACCGCCUCGGCCCUCACAAUCCACCCCGCAGAAUCCUUUGAGACCUAAUUUCCACUUCAUUCUUUCAACUUUAACACUUGUCUGUCUUGUUUCAGCGAGAAAGACCAAGCUUGGGGAAUGGGCUUUUACAAGAGCCCCAACUUCACGAACUGUCCGGCGGUUCCCCGCCCCCGGCAGUUCCAAAAGAGGUGACUCAUUGGGACUGGCGGCGCUCCUCCUGGGAGCCCGCCAAAAUUUUCUCUGAGUUUGAGGUCUCACCAUCUCGUUUUGCAUGUUUACUACCGGAACUAUUAGUAGGCGAUUCCGGUUCACCAUCAUCUUUCCCGUCUGUAAGCAACAGUACUUCCCUGUGCGCAGCAGAGGGUGUAGUUGUCCCAAGUGUUUCUGUACCUCCAUCCAUGUUGAGGCGCUUACGAGAAGACCUAUCCAAUUCCAUAUCACGAGACAGGGAAGUUUUUAUAGGGCUAGAUGCCGUAUCCUUCAGCUCUCCAUCCAUCCUGACUUCUCCCUUGCCUACAGCAGACUUAGGAACCGGUGGUUCAGUGUACAUCUUCUUCUCUCCCCUCCUUGCUUCCCAGUCCGAGCGAGCUUGUGCCGGGGGGUCAGCAUAGAGGUAAUCACCAAACUUGAGAUCCUUCUCAGCAAACACACCAUUACCACACUCCUUAUGCCCAUGGCCAAUGAUACCACACGCGCUACAGAAUCUUGCCAGCUUUUCAUAUCUUACUGCAUAAACCUUACGUGCUUCUCCCUUGACAAUGCUCACAAAUUUGGUGAGCGGCUUCCUGAUGUCAUGUUUCACUCUGACCCGAACGUAAUCCCCUCUGGAGUUACCAUUAAGCCUGGUUUCAAGGACCUCACCCGCAGAACGGAGCAACUUGGUAAUCAGAUCAUGUCUGCAAUACCCAUCUGGUAGCUUAUGGAUCUGGAGCCAGAUAGGCAUGUAAUCUAUUGGCACCUCUUCAGUGUUUGUGAACCCAUCAUAUGGCACUAACAGAACCGCCAUGUUGCGGAACAGCCACGGUCCUUGUCCCAUGAUGCGAUCCCAAUCACCAAGACAAUAAACUUGAACCACAAACAGAUUAGGGCCAAUUGGCCGGAAGCGAACCAACUGGGAACAAUUCCACGCCGCCCGCAUGUCUUUGUAGAAGGCCGAUUGGCUGAAAUUUUUCAUGGUCUGAACCCUAGCUAGGGCAACCCAACGAAUCUCCUCCAGCAGCUCUGGAGCUUCCUCUUCAACUACAACGUCAUCAAACUCCUCCUCAUGGAGAUCCAACUUGUCGAAGAAGUCACCGAGAUCAUCAUCUCUCCCUUGGGACCCGAGGUUCGUUGAAAACGCAUCUGAUGUCGCCGCCAUGGUGCCUCUUAGUAUAUAGUUAUUGUCUAAAUUUUGAGGACAUGUUUUGAUCGAUGAAUAUACGAUUUUAACCAAAAGUCACUUCACUACCAUGUGCCCGAAAAACAAACUUGAAGAAGAAGCUCCGCCAUCUGUGCGAGCGCUCCACUUGUGAGGACUAAAAAAUCGGAACUACACUACUAACCGGAGCAGAGGCACUGGGAUUCCCCUUCCCGCCACCAACCACCAGCAACAGGCCGAGGAGAGGUGAAUCCACGGACUCGUUGAUGAAAUCUGGAGGGAAGAGUUUACCGUAGCCCUCUAGGAUUAAGAAAGGAAACCAAGAGAACUAACAUUGUGCUUAUUUUGGCAAGUGGUGUUGUGGCGAAUGGUCGAUGGACUCCCUACCAUAGUUUUGGAUAACCUGCGUGCCCUGCCUUUUGGUGUGUGGAUUCCCGUGGCCUCCCCUGCCUCGUCCACCAACACAUUUCGGCACUCCAAGUCCGAGCGAGUGAGCAGAGCAGAGCACCCACCGUUUGGAUCCCAAAACCGUGCGUGGCCGACACCUUUUUGCUCGCUAUAAAUACAUGGCUAGCUCCUCGUCCCGGAAGCAUCAAGCAACAGCCAGCCAGCCAGCCCAUCUCAUCUCAUCUCGCUCCAUCGCACUCUUUCUACUGAGCUGUAUCUGUCGAAGAAGAUCACGGCGAAGAUUGUUGGAUCCAGACCCUGAAACACAACUCGAUCAGGUGGAAAAUUGGUGGAAAUCCCUCUCUGUAAUCUCCAGCAGAGUCCCUGACGAACAAGUUCAGAGAACAGAAGAAAACAGAAAACGGGAGACAGUAGUUUGCGACGCCUCAACCUCGCGUCCUUUUCGCUUCUAUCCUUUUAUUCCUUAGUAACAAACUGGAAGCCCACGAUCCGUUAUACCCGCGCCAUCCCACGGCCAGUUUGUGGUCAUCACUCUACCGAUUACAGAGGAGAAGAUAACUGAAUAAAACUAACACCUGAAGCUAUUAAGCCGCAGCACGAACAGAGCGCACUUCUGGCUAUUAUUCAGCAUAUUCAGAAAACUGAAAAAACAUCUACGUGACUACUUCCAGUACACCGAGAUUACUUCUAACAUUUUACCCCCUUAAACUUGGUGCACUGGCUUCAAAUCCUGCAUGCCAAUGUUCUUCUUCAUUUCCUGAAAGAGAGACUUUGGGAGAGGUUUAGUCAGGAUGUCUGCAUGCUGUUCUUCAGACCACAGAAAAUACACAAAAAAUGGACAAAAGAAGAAAGGGCCACGUCCCCAAACGACGACAUAAAUGGACCCAUGUGAAAAGAAACACGAGAACAAACUGACACAAAAUAAAACGGGACAAUAGGGCGCGGGAGAAAAAAUAACGAGCUGACACAGGUGAGACAUCACUACAUCUCAUCUAAAUGAUAUUUAGCAAAUCCGCAAGAAAAGAAAAUCUAGUUACACUAUCCUCUGGCUACACACAGCCAAUCAAAAUAAACAAAAAAUAAGGAAUAAAAAGACAUGUGGCCUUCCAUAAAAUGUUGCAACCCAAAAAAUUUACCCAAUACAUAAAAAUUAGAAAUGCCCCACUAAAAAAAGCCAUAUUGGGCCUCACUGCUUCACAGGAGACAGACAAAUAACAGGACACAAUGACAGCGAGCACCACGACUCAGAAGCACAUAUAGCUAACAACAUAUGAGUUAUACGAGACAUUGUUAACUCUCCUCAAGAUGAGACCUAGCAAAAGCAAUCCGAAACGAAAACACCCAGAUCGCGCAUUGCAAACGCCCGAACAAAAGACGCUCAUCGCGAUAGAGUACACAUGCGACAAAACAACCCAUGAUUAAAAUUUGCACGACAUUUAAAGCAAACAGAUGACGUAGUGAAAAGGUUCAAGAAUUUAAAAUAACUAAAUAAAGUAAAUAAUAAAUAAAUGAGAAAACAGAAAAUAUAAAUAAAAGAACAGAAAUCAGGAAUUUAAAAUAGUUCAUAAUUUGAAACAAAUGAUGAAAUAAUAAAGAGACAAAAUAAAAGGAACGAAGCUGCAACAUAUAGAAACACGAAAAGACAACAGCCCAUGAGAAGACGUGAGAAGAAAAACAGCCCAUACGAGCCUGGCGUACGUUUUUUUUAACACAGUAUAGACGCAAGUGCUCAUAUAAACGCGCAUACACUCAUCCCUAUGAACGCACACACGCACACCCUACCCCUAUGAGUACCUCCGAGAGACUGAGCCGGCAUAUCAUCUUGAGAUUUUACGAAGUCACCGUAGGCGCCUCGAAGUCGACGGAAACGUCUCCUCCCACUGAAAGCGUAUCGCCGGAAUUCCUGAAAUAAAUCCAGGAUAAAUGCGAGCAUCAGGAUUUGAACCCUGGUGGGUUGAGGAUACCACUGUCUACCUAAUCAUUUUAACCAGAGGUUGGUUCGCCUGGCGUAGGUAUUUUUGACCACCGAGGGACAUACCGUGAAGCGAAGGACAAGAACGAGCGGGAGCUGCCCAGGUAGAUUUUUUUUUACGGGAGCUGAACACGAAUCGUGAUGCUUUUCAUCGAACGGCUUAAAAGUUGGAUGUGAGACAAUAAUUCACAUUUAGAUGUGAAAUAGCAAAUCUGGUAAUUAAAAUAUAUUUUUGACCAACCAAACCACGCGGAACAUAUCCGGACAGUUGGGAUAUAUUUUGCUGCACGAAGUGGCCGUAGACUAGGCUGGCAAACGAGUAAUAAGUUCAUCAAGCCCGCAAAAAAAAGGCUGUGCAUCGAACUAUGUCAAAAACAAAGUUUACCAUCAAACCGACAAGUGGGCCCCAGACCAGCAAAUCCAUGGAGAAAUGCCCUACGCUUUGUGUAUAGAAUCAGACGGAGAAGGGCUAGUCCAGCGGGGACACAGUGAUGCCGCCGGUUUCACCCGCAAACUGGGAGGGCCGCUCAAAAUCUAGGGGUUGUUUGGUUGGAGACUCAAAUUGCCACACCUAAGGUUAGUCACUAGCCACAAGUGUGGCUUGCCAUAAUGUGUGGCAAAAUCAGAUUGUUUGGUUGGUAGCCAUGCCUUAGGUUAGGUGUGGCAGACAUUGGUGGAAAAAGGGCCUUUGGUCGCGGUUCGCAACUGCCAUUAGUCGCGGUUGCGCAACCGCGACCAAAUAGGCGCGAUUAAAGGCCCCCCCCCCUUUAGUCGCGGUUGCUUAAGAACCGCGACUAAAGGCCCGUCCACGUGGGCGCCAGGCGGCCGUCGGGGCGGAGGACCUUUAGUCGCGGUUCUUCCGGCCAACCGCGACUAAAAGCCGCCGCAGGUUUAGNNNNNNNNNNNNNNNNNNNNNNNNNNNNNNNNNNNNNNNNNNNNNNNNNNNNNNNNNNNNNNNNNNNNNNNNNNNNNNNNNNNNNNNNNNNNNNNNNNNNNNNNNNNNNNNNNNNNNNNNNNNNNNNNNNNNNNNNNNNNNNNNNNNNNNNNNNNNNNNNNNNNNNNNNNNNNNNNNNNNNNNNNNNNNNNNNNNNNNNNNNNNNNNNNNNNNNNNNNNNNNNNNNNNNNNNNNNNNNNNNNNNNNNNNNNNNNNNNNNNNNNNNNNNNNNNNNNNNNNNNNNNNUGUUUUCUGUUUAAUUUGUAUUGUUUUAUUUCUUUUGUGCUUUAUUUUAAUUUUGAAGGAGUUUCACAUAUUCUACGGUACUACAUACAUGCAUAUGAAUGUACAAUUUCAAACAAAUUUGAAAUUAGAACCAAAAAGAAUUCAAGAGGAAUAUACAAUAUAUAUUCAAUAUCAUCGGAUGACCAUAUACAAUUUUGAACAAGUUUCCAUACAUAAUUUAAUGCAUAUAAAGUUCUACGUCCUCGUAAUGGUGUUCUCCUUUAGGAUGGAGGACUUCCCUCCUGAACCAUCCAGCUAGUUCCUCUUGAAGUGGUCGGAAGCGAGCUUCUGGACUAAGCAUCAUCCGGAGGUUAUUCCUCUGAGCAUUGGUAUCACUCGGAACCCGCCGCUCAGAGGUGUAUCUCCGGAUCAUCUCACAGACAUAGUAUUCACAUAGAUUGGUCCCCGCUGGCUGAAUAUCCCCACCAUUCUUAGCCUUUGACCUUUUAAAUUCUAGCUCUUUUUUGAAUUCACCGACCUUUGUAUCUACGAACCGUCUCCAAACCCUACGAGGCAAAGAAAAUUAAAUGAACAAGAGAGUUAUUAGUUACUUGAUAUUAGGAAAUGAACGAAAUAGGCCGAUCGAUAUAGAGCGCAAAUGAAUGAAAAUAAUUACUUCUGCAGCAUUCUUCUCAUGCCGCCCCAAAGCUUUGGAUCCAUAUUCAGAGAGUCGUGGACGAGACAUUCUGAGGUGUCAACUUUAAUUACUAGCAGAAUCCAGUGGAACCUGCGGACACGAUACAUGCACAGUACGUCAUGCAUAACUCAUCGAUUAGCCGGCCACAUACCAUGCAUGGAGUAAACAAAAGAGAAUGUGCUCAAGACAGAUCUGCCUCCAUGUCGGCGGGGUGAUGAUCCAACACAUAUCCAUUAACGAUGUGUGGGUCAAUGAACCCAACAUCAUGGAUGUUCCUUACUCUGCAUUCCUUAAUCUUCAUUCUGCAUGUAUAAUAGCGGACACAACAAUAUAGUUAGGACAUAUAUAUAGUGCAGGCAAUAUGAACGAGAUGGGGUAGAAAUAAAUCACUUACAGAACGUAGCAACUGAUGAUAGAUUUGUCGAGCUCGCGCAGAUUGAAAAGCUGGAACAAUUCACUCAGAUGAAUUUGUACAUAGUAAUGUUUGAAGUGAUGCUCAUAUCUAACUUCCGCAUAAAUAUAUUCUUUGGCAUUUUUAUUUUUUAUGUAACCCUUGUACCAUUUCAGCAGACCUUUCAUUUGUGGAGGUAGAUCCUCUUCCUGCGCAGGCUCGACGAGAGGCCCAUUCUUCACAUAUGUAAUUACUACCUCCUUCACUGGCGCCUCAUCAAGGCCUAACAGUUCACGAAGAGUAAUACCUAAGUUGGCCGCUUGUUCUCUGGCACUCGUUACAGUCAAUCCAUGUGCUGUCGCAGCUGCUAUGAUAUCGGGGUCAUCCGGACCGGCGGCUUUCACUAUAAGCAGGGCAAUCGAUUGUUUACUUUGUUCCCCGAGCUGGGCAACUCGUUGUUGGAAAUAUGCCCUAGAGGCAAUAAUAAAUUGAUUAUUAUUAUAUUUCCUUGUUCAUGAUAAUCGUUUAUUAUCCAUGCUAGAAUUGUAUUGAUAGGAAACUCAGAUACAUGUGUGGAUACAUAGACAACACCAUGUCCCUAGUAAGCCUCUAGUUGACUAGCUCGUUAAUCAAUAGAUGGUUACGGUUUCCUGACCAUGGACAUUGGAUGUCGUUGUUAACGGGAUCACAUCAUUAGGAGAAUGAUGUGAUGGACAAAGACCCAAUCCUAAGCCUAGCACAAGAUCAUGUAGUUCGUAUGCUAAAGCUUUUCUAAUGUCAAGUAUCAUUUCCUUAGACCAUGAGAUUGUGCAACUCCCGGAUGCCGUAGGAGUGCUUUGGGUGUGCCAAACGUCACAACGUAACUGGGUGGCUAUAAAGGUACACUACGGGUAUCUCUGAAAGUGUCUGUUGGGUUGGCACGAAUCGAGAUUGGGAUUUUGUCACUCCGUGUAAACGGAGAGGUAUCUCUGGGCCCACUCGGUAGGACAUCAUCAUAAUGUGCACAAUGUGACCAAGGGGUUGAUCACGGGAUGAUGUGUUACGUAACGAGUAAAGAGACUUGCCGGUAACGAGAUUGAACAAGGUAUCGGUAUACCGACGAUCGAAUCUCGGGCAAGUACCAUACCGCUAGACAAAGGGAAUUGUAUACGGGAUCGAUUGAGUCCUUGACAUCGUGGUUCAUCCGAUGAGAUCAUCGUGGAACAUGUGGGAGCCAACAUGGGUAUCCAGAUCCCGCUGUUGGUUAUUGACCGGAGAACAUCUCGGUCAUGUCUGCAUGUCUCCCGAACCCGUAGGGUCUACACACUUAAGGUUCGAUGACGCUAGGGUUAUAAAGGAAGCUUGUAUGUGGUUACCGAAUGUUGUUCGGAGUCCCGGAUGAGAUCCCGGACGUCACGAGGAGUUCCGGAAUGGUCCGGAGGUAAAGAUUUAUAUAUAGGAAGUCCUGUUUCGGCCAUCGGGACAAGUUUCGGGGUCAUCGGUAUUGUACCGGGACCACCGGAAGGGUCCCGGGGGCCCACCGGGUGGGGCCACCUGCCCCGGGGGGCCACAUGGGCUGUAGGGGGUGCGCCUAGAGGCCCAUGCGCCAAGAUAUAGGAAAAAGGGGAGAGUCCUAAAGGGGGAAGGCACCUCCGAGGUGCCUUGGGGAGGAUGGACUCCUCCCCCCCUCUUGGCCGCACCCCUUUCUUGGAGUAGGGGGCAAGGCUGCGCCUUUCCCCUCUCCCCUGCCCCUAUAUAUAGUGGAGGGGAGGGAGGGCAUCCAUACCUGAGCCCUUGGCGCCUCCCUCCCUCCCGUAACACCUCCUCCUCUCCCGUAGGUGCUUGGCGAAGCCCUGCAGGAUUGCCACGCUCCUCCAUCACCACCACGCCGUUGUGCUGCUGCUGGAUGGAGUCUUCCUCAACCUCUCCCUCUCUCCUUGCUGGAUCAAGGCAUGGGAGACAUCGUCGAGCUGUACGUGUGUUGAACGCGGAGGUGCCGUCCGUUCGGCACUAGGAUCAUCGGUGAUCUGAAUCACGACGAGUACGACUCCAUCAACCUCGUUCACUUGAACGCUUCCGCUUAGCGAUCUACAAGGGUAUGUAGAUGCACUCUCCUUUCCCCUCGUUGCUAGUUUCUCCAUAGAUAGAUCUUGGUGAUACGUAGGAAAAUUUUGAAUUUCUGCUACGUUCCCCAACAGUGGCAUCAUGAGCUAGGUCUAUUGCGUAGAUUCUUUGCACGAGUAGAAUACAAAGUAGUUGUGGGCGUCGAUAUUGUUCAAUAUGCUUGCCGUUACUAGUCUUAUCUUGAUUCGGCGGCAUCGUGGGAUGAAGCGGCCCGGACCAACCUUACACGUACGCUUACGUGAGACCGGUUCCACCGACAAACAUGCACUAGUUGCAUAAGGUGGCUGGCGGGUGUCUGUCUCUCCCACUUUAGUCGGAUCGGAUUCGAUGAAAAGGGUCCUUAUGAAGGGUAAAUAGCAAUUGGCAUAUCACGUUGUGGUUCAUGCGUAGGUAAGAAACGUUCUUGCUAGAAACCCAUAGCAGCCACGUAAAACAUGCAAACAACAAUUAGAGGACGUCUAACUUGUUUUUGCAGGGUAUGCUAUGUGAUGUGAUAUGGCCAAAAAGGAUGUGAUGAAUGAUAUAUGUGAUGUAUGAGAUUGAUCAUGUUCUUGUAAUAGGAAUCACGACUUGCAUGUCAAUGAGUAUGACAACCGGCAGGAGCCAUAGGAGUUGUCUUUAUUUAUUUGUGACCUGCGUGUCAACUUAAACGUCAUGUAAUUACUUUACUUUAUUGCUAACCGUUAGCCAUAGUAGUAGAAGUAAUAGUUGGCGAGGCAACUUCAUGAAGACACGAUGAUGGAGAUCAUGAUGAUGGAGAUCAUGGUGUCAUGCCGGUGACGAUGAUGAUCAUGGAGCCCCGAAGAUGGAGAUCAAAAGGAGCAAAGUGAUGAUGGCCAUAUCAUGUCACUAUUUGAUUGCAUGUGAUGUUUAUCAUGUUUAUACAUCUUACUUGCUUAGAACGACGGUAGUAAAUAAGAUGAUCCCUUACAACAAUUUCAAGAAGUGUUCUCCCCUAACUGUGCACCGUUGCGACAGUUCGCUGUUUCAAAACAUCACGUGAUGAUCGGGUGUUUUAUUCAGACGUUCAAAUACAACGGGUGUUGACGAGCCUAGCAUGUACAGACAUGGCCUCGGAACACAUGCAAAACACUUAGGGUUAACUUGACGAGCCUAGCAUGUACAGACAUGGCCUCGGAACACGGAGACCGAAAGGUCGAACAUGAGUCGUAUAGAAGAUACGAUCAACAUGAAGAUGUUCACCGAUGAUGACUAGUCCGUCUCAUGUGAUGAUCGGACACGGCCUAGUUUGACUCGGAUCAUGUAAUCACUUAGAUGACUAGAGGGAUGUCUAUCUGAGUGGGAGUUCAUAAGAUGAACUUAAUUAUCCUGAACAUAGUCAAAAGGUUUUUGCAAAUUAUGUCGUAGCUCACGCUAUAGUUCUACUGUUUAGAUAUGUUCCUAGAGAAAAAUUAGUUGAAAGUUGAUAGUAGCAAUUAUGCGGACUAGGUCCGUAAACUGAGGAUUGUCCUCAUUGCUUCAUAGAAAGCUUAUGUCCUUAAUGCACCGCUCAGUGUGCUGAACCCCAAACGUCGUUUGUACAUGUUUUGAUAACUACGUGAUAGUUCAGUGAAACGGUUUAGAGUUGAGGCACCAAAGACAUUUUUCGAAAUGUCGCGGAACAUACGAGAUGUUUCGAGGGCUGAAAUUGGGAUUUCAGGCUCGUGCCCACGUCAAGAGGUAUGAGACCUCCGACGAUUUUCUUAACCUGCAAACUAAGGAGAAAAGCUCAAUUGUUGAGCUUGUGCUCAGAUUGUCUGAGUACAACAAUCAUUUGAAUCGAGUGGGAGUUGAUCUUCCAGAUAAGACAGUGAUGGUUCUCCAAAGUCAUUGCCACCAAGUUGUUAGAGCUUCGUGAUGAACUAUAACAUAUCAGGGAUAGAUAUGAUGAUCCUUGAGGUAUUCGCGAUGUUUGACACCGCGAAAGUAGAAAUCAAGAAGGAGCAUCAAUUGUUGAUGGUUGGUGAAACCACUAGUUUCAAGAAGGGCAAGGGCAAGAAGGGAUACUUCAUGAAACGGCAAAUCAGCUGCUGCUCUAGUGAAGAAACCCAAGGUAAAACCCAAACCCGAGACUAAGUGCUUCUGUAAUAAGGGGAACAACCACUAGAGCAGAAUUACCCUAGAUACUUGGUAGAUAAGAAGGCUGGCAAGGUCGAUAGAAGUAUAUUGGAUAUACAUUGUGUUAAUGUGUACUUUGCUAGUACUCCUAGUAGCACCAGGGUAUUAGAUACCGGUUCGGUUGCUAAGUGUUAGUAACUCGAAACAAAAGGCUACAGAAUAAACGGAGACUAGCUAAAGGUGAGCUGACGAUAUGUGUUGGAAGUUUUUCCAAGCUUGAUAUGAUCAAGCAUCGCACGCUCCCUCUACCAAAGAGAUUGGUGUUAAACCUAAAUAAUUGUUAUUUGGUGUUUGCGUUGAGCAUAGACAUGAUUGGAUUACGUCUAUCGCAAUACGGUUAUUCAUUUAAGGAGAAUAAUGGUUACUCUAUUUAUUUGAAUAAUACCUUCAAUGGUCUUACACCUAAAAUGAAUGGUUUAUUAAAUCUCGAUCGUAGUGAUACACAUGUUCAUGCCAAAAGAUAGUAAUGAUAGUACCACCUACUUGUGGCACUGCCACGUAAGUCAUAUCAGUAUAAAACGCAUGAAGAAGCUCCAUGUUGAUGGAUCUUUGGACUCACUCGUUUUUGAAAAGUUUGAGACAUGCGAACCAUGUCUAUUGGUGUAUAUGCAUGAAGAAACUCCAUGCAAAUGGAUCAUUCGGACUCACUUGAUUUUGGAUCACUUGAGAUAUGCAAAUCAUACCACAUAGGCAAGAUGACUGAAAAGCCUCGGUUUCAGUAAAAUGGAACAAGAUAGCAACUUGUUGGAAGCAACACAUUUUGAUGUGUGCAGUCCAAUGAGUGCUGAGGCAUGCAGUGAAUAUCGUUAUGUUCUUACUUCACAGAUGAUUCGAGUAGAUGUUGAGUAUAUUUACUUGAUGAAUCACGAGUCUGAAUUAUUGAAAGGUUCAAGUAAUUUCAGUGUGAAGUUGAAAGAUCAUCGUGACAAGAGGAUAAAAGAUCUAUGAGAUGAUCAUAGAGAUGAAUAUCUGAAUUAUGAGUUUUGGCACACAAUUAAGACAUUGUGGAAAUUGUUUCACAAUUAAUACCGCCUGGAACACCAUAGUGUGAUGGUGUGUCCAAACGUCAUAGUUGCACCCUAUUGGAUAUGGUGCAUACCAUGAUGUCUCUUGUCGAGUUACCACUAUCGUUCAUGGGUUAGGCAUUAGAGACAACCACAUUCACUUUAAAUAGGGCACCACAUAAUUCCGUUGAGACGACGCCGUUUGGAGAAACCUAAGUUGUCGUUUCUUAAAGGUUUGGGGCUGUGACGCUUAUGUGAAAAAGUUUCAGGAUUGAUAAGCUCGAACCCAAAGCGGAUAAAAUACAUCUUCAUAGGACACCCAAAACAGUUGGGUAUACCUCCUAAUUCAGAUCCGAAAGCAAUAUGAAUUGUUUCUAGAAUCGGGUCCUUUCUCGAGGAAAGGUUCUCUCGAAAGAGUUGAGUGGGUGGAUGGUGGAGACUUGAUGAGGUUAUUGAACCAUCACUUCAACCAGUGUGUAGCAGGGCACAGGAAGUUGUUCCCGUGGCACCUACACCAAUUGAAGUGGAAGCUUAUGAUAUUGAUCAUGAAGUUUCGGAUCAAAUCACUGCCGUACCUCGUAGGGUGACAAGGAUACGUACUACUUCAGAGUGGUACGGUAAUCCUGUCUUGGAAGUCAUGUUGCUAGACAACAAUGAACCUACGAGCUAUGGAGAAGCGAUGGUGGGCCCGGAUUCCGAUAAAUGGCUCAAGGCCAUAAAACCCGAGAGAGGAUCCAUGUAUGAAAACAAAGUGUAGACUUUGGAAGAACUACUUGAUGGUCGUAAGGCUGUUAGGUACAUAUGGAUUUUGAAAGGAAGACAGACAAUGAUGGUAAGUGUCACCAUUGAGAAAGCUCGACUUGUCGUUAAGAUGUUUUUCGACAAGUUCAAGGAGUUGAUUGCGAUGAGACUUUCUCACUCGUAGCGAUGCUAAGAGUCUGUUGGAAUUAUAUUAGCAAUUACUGCAUUAUUUAUGAAAUCUUGCAGAUAGGAUGUCAAAAUAUUGUUUCCUCGACGAUUCUUGAGGAAAGGUUGUAUGUGAUACAACCGGAAGGUUUUGUCUAUCCUGAAAUAUGCUAAUAAGUAUGCAAAGCUCCAGCAAUCCUUCUAAGGACUGGAGUGAGCAUCUCGGAGUUGGAAUGUAUGCUUUGAUGAUGAUCAAAGAUUUUGGGUGUAUACAAAGUUUAUGAGAAACUUGUAUUUCCAAAGAAGUGAGUGGGAGCACUAUAGAAUUUCUGAUGAGUAUAUGUUGUUGACAUAUUAAUGAUCAGAAAUGACGUAGAAUUUCUGGAAAGCAUAUAGGGUUAUUUGGAAAGUGUUUUCAAUGGAAAACCUGGAUUAAGCUACUUGAACAUUGAGCAUCAAGAUCUAUAAGGAUAGAUCAAAACGCUUAAUAGUACUUUCAAAUGAGCACAUGCCUUGACGUGAUCUUGAAGGUGUUCAAGAUGGAUAAGUCAAAGAAGGAGUUCUUGCCUGAGUUGUAAGGUAUGAAGUUAAGACUUAAAGCUCGACCAUGGCAGAAUAGAGAGAAAGGAACGAAGGUCGUCCCCUAUGCUUAAGACAUAGGCUCUACAGUAUGAUAUGCUGUGUACCGCACCUGAAGUGUGCUUUACCAUGAGUCAGUCAAGGGGUACAAGAGUGAUCCAAGAAUGGAUCACGGGACAGCGGUCAAAGUUAUCCUUAGUAACUAGUGGACUAAGGAAUUUUCUCGAUUAUGGAGGUGGUAAAGGGGUUCGUCGUAAACGGUUACGUCGAUGCAAGCUUAACACCUAUCCGGAUAGCUCUGAGUAGAGAUACCGGAUACGUAUAAUGGAGCAACAAUUUAGAAUAUCUCCAAGUAGAACAGUUAUUUGGAAUAGCUCUAAAUAGAACGUGGUAGCUGCAUCUAGGAGAUGACAUAGAGAUUUGUAAAGCACACACGGAUCUGAAAGGUUCAGACCCGUUGACUAUAACCUCUCUCACAAGCAUAACAUGAUCAAACCCAGAACUCAUCGAGUGUUAAUCACAUGGUAAAUGUGAACUAGAUUAUUGACUCUAGUAAAUUCUUUGGGUGUUAGUCACAUAGGGAUGUGACCUUGAGUGUUAAUCACAUAUCGAUGUGAACUAGAUUAUUGACUCUAGUGCAAGUGGGAGACUGUUGGAAAUAUGCCCUAGAGGCAAUAAUAAAUUGAUUAUUAUUAUAUUUCCUUGUUCAUGAUAAUCGUUUAUUAUCCAUGCUAGAAUUGUAUUGAUAGGAAACUCAGAUACAUGUGUGGAUACAUAGACAACACCAUGUCCCUAGUAAGCCUCUAGUUGACUAGCUCGUUAAUCAAUAGAUGGUUACGGUUUCCUGACCAUGGACAUUGGAUGUCGUUGUUAACGGGAUCACAUCAUUAGGAGAAUGAUGUGAUGGACAAAGACCCAAUCCUAAGCCUAGCACAAGAUCAUGUAGUUCGUAUGCUAAAGCUUUUCUAAUGUCAAGUAUCAUUUCCUUAGACCAUGAGAUUGUGCAACUCCCGGAUGCCGUAGGAGUGCUUUGGGUGUGCCAAACGUCACAACGUAACUGGGUGGCUAUAAAGGUACACUACGGGUAUCUCUGAAAGUGUCUGUUGGGUUGGCACGAAUCGAGAUUGGGAUUUUGUCACUCCGUGUAAACGGAGAGGUAUCUCUGGGCCCACUCGGUAGGACAUCAUCAUAAUGUGCACAAUGUGACCAAGGGGUUGAUCACGGGAUGAUGUGUUACGUAACGAGUAAAGAGACUUGCCGGUAACGAGAUUGAACAAGGUAUCGGUAUACCGACGAUCGAAUCUCGGGCAAGUACCAUACCGCUAGACAAAGGGAAUUGUAUACGGGAUCGAUUGAGUCCUUGACAUCGUGGUUCAUCCGAUGAGAUCAUCGUGGAACAUGUGGGAGCCAACAUGGGUAUCCAGAUCCCGCUGUUGGUUAUUGACCGGAGAACAUCUCGGUCAUGUCUGCAUGUCUCCCGAACCCGUAGGGUCUACACACUUAAGGUUCGAUGACGCUAGGGUUAUAAAGGAAGCUUGUAUGUGGUUACCGAAUGUUGUUAGGAGUCCCGGAUGAGAUCCCGGACGUCACGAGGAGUUCCGGAAUGGUCCGGAGGUAAAGAUUUAUAUAUAGGAAGUCCUGUUUCGGCCAUCGGGACAAGUUUCGGGGUCAUCGGUAUUGUACCGGGACCACCGGAAGGGUCCCGGGGGCCCACCGGGUGGGGCCACCUGCCCCGGGGGGCCACAUGGGCUGUAGGUGGUGCGCCUUGGCCUACAUGGGCCAAGGGCACCAGCCCCUAGAGGCCCAUGCGCCAAGAUAUAGGAAAAAGGGGAGAGUCCUAAAGGGGGAAGGCACCUCCGAGGUGCCUUGGGGAGGAUGGACUCCUCCCCCCCUCUUGGCCGCACCCCUUUCUUGGAGUAGGGGGCAAGGCUGCGCCUUUCCCCUCUCCCCUGCCCCUAUAUAUAGUGGAGGGGAGGGAGGGCAUCCAUACCUGAGCCCUUGGCGCCUCCCUCCCUCCCGUAACACCUCCUCCUCUCCCGUAGGUGCUUGGCGAAGCCCUGCAGGAUUGCCACGCUCCUCCAUCACCACCACGCCGUUGUGCUACUGCUGGAUGGAGUCUUCCUCAACCUCUCCCUCUCUCCUUGCUGGAUCAAGGCGUGGGAGACAUCGUCGAGCUGUACGUGUGUUGAACGCGGAGGUGCCGUCCGUUCGGCACUAGGAUCAUCGGUGAUCUGAAUCACGACGAGUACGACUCCAUCAACCUCGUUCACUUGAACGCUUCCGCUUAGCGAUCUACAAGGGUAUGUAGAUGCACUCUCCUUUCCCCUCGUUGCUAGUUUCUCCAUAGAUAGAUAUUGGUGAUACGUAGGAAAAUUUUGAAUUUCUGCUACGUCCCCCAACACUCGUUUCCCGCUUUUUUUACUUUCUAAUUCCGUUUUCUCGGCCUCCUCCAAGGCUUUGUUCUCCUGGUUCUCCGCCCGCUCUUUCUUCUCCUUCAACAUGAGUGCCUGCCUACGAAGUUCACGUGCAUAGUCGUCAGGCAGAUUCUUCGCGGCUUGGGACGGUGUGCUCAAAAAUGACUUAGCCCACUUCUUUUGAUCAUCAGAAAAUACUGGCUUGGGCUCGGGCUCUCUUUUCUUCUUGCAGUCCGCCUUCCAUUUCUCAUGAUCAGCAGCCGCGGCCGCGGCAGUUUCCUCGGCACUACGUUCCCAAGGCCUUGUGGGGAGAGGCUUCAGUGAUGGCUCCGGUACCUUUGUGGUCUUAGGUACAUAAGGGUCCGGGUUAAUAAUCCAGGACUGCUUCUGCUUCUUUGCCGGAGGUGGAUUGGGGGGCGGCGUCUGAUCACCCGCCGGACGAGGACUGGGGGGCGGCGUCUGAUCACCCGCCUGACGUUGUGGACUGGGGGGCGUCAGCUGGCGUGACGGAGGUGUAGGUGAACCGCCACCACCACCACCACCACCACCACCGCCACCGCCACCACCACCACCGUAGGGGGGUGGACUUGUUGUCCUUGGCGCCUCGCCUGGAAACUUGAUAAACUUCUUUUGCCAUAGAAUGAAAUGGCGCUUGACAUCUCCAAGUCUUUUCUCCCCUUCAGGUGUAGCAAUGUCAAUCUUCAGGUCCUCAAACCCUUGGACUAUGUCCUCCACCGUGACACGAGCAUAGCCAUCUUGAAUGGGGUUGUUGUGGUGGAGUGCUCCAGGUAACACAUGGUAAAGCACUGCCGAUGGCUACCUUCAUGGACAUGUUCCCGAUAGGAUAAUACAAAUGACAUUCUUUCAUCUCCUUUAUAUCGUCCACGGGGUAGCGAGGAGGCUCCGGUGCAGUAAUUUCGACCACCAGAGGCUUCGGUGCAGUAAUUUCGAUCGUCGGUGCAUCUGCACCAGCCGGUGGGGCCUUCGUGGAAGCCACGCUGCUUCUCCGUUGCUGGCUUCCGAGAUCCGCUGGAUGAUCUUCAUGCUGCGCCCGAGCUGCAUCUCUUUCGGCUACUAGUACACUCACGGUUUUCUUCAUCACAUCCAUUUCCGAUGCCAACCGUGCCACAACAUCUGCUUGCUGAUCCAUCUUUCUCUUCCAGCUUCUGUAACCGUACGGGUCAUCGUUCUGGGUGAACCCUAUUUUCCACGGAAUGUGCCCCAUGCCUCGUACACGUCCUCCGUGUUCAGGAUUCCCGAGGGGUUUUGUCAGCGCGUCGUUCUCUCUGUUGAACUUGAUCUUCCCCUCUUGAGCAUCCCUCAUUGCGUCAAUAAGGGCUUGGGUGGGUUUAAUUAUUUUGCCCCGGUAAACACACUCCCCUGUCUCCGGGUUCAGCGUUCCCCCAUGCCCGUACCACCAGCUUUUGGCCCUUGGGUCCCAUCCCUCCGUACCUGGACGGAUUCCUCGCGCCCUCAGCUCGUUCUCCAUCUUCUCCCACCUAGGCUCCCAAAGGCGAUACCCUCCUGGCCCCAUAAUAUGAUUGUACUCCUUCUUAGCCGCAUUUUCCUUAUUUUUUUCGAUAUUUGAAUGAACUGCUCCGAUUUCUUUUGCUUCACAAAUUCUGGCCAAUCAUGUUUCAGUUUCUCAUAUUGUCCUUUGAAAUCCGGAGUCUUGUUCUGCUUGAAAAAGUCAUGGGCUAGAUUUUGCUUGAAUUUCCGGAAUGCGUCGGCCAUCUUAUGAAGAGUGAACUGUUUGACUAGCCUCCUCCUCUCCUUGUUUUCCUCAAUCUUGUUACCCUCCUCAUCGAAUUUGUUGUAUUCCGGAGGUAGAACGAAAUGUUCCAUAAGCUUCUUGAAGCAAUCUUUUUUUGUUCUCUUAUCGACAAAAGUGAAACCAGCAAUUCGUGCCUUCUUUGGCUUAUUCCACUCCUGGACGGUGAUCGAGACGUUGUCUCUAACAACGGCUCCGCAUUGGUUGACAAACUUGGUGGCGUUCUUGCGGGGCUCCAGCGGCCUGUCGGUUGCACUGUCGACAACCUCGAUGGUGCAUGUUUCUCCUUGUUUCAUCGUCUUGGUUGCGCCACGCUUUGACGACGUACUCGAUUGUUUCGACGAUCCGGCCGAGGGCUAAAAUAAGAAAGAGAGUCGCGCGCGUUAGUACACACAUAUUUAUUCAAAUCAGUUAGUUUGUAUCACCAGAGGCUCAAUGUAUAUAUAUACCUCGGCGCCGGAGGUGGUUGCUACUUCCAUUUGAAGAUCGUCGUUUAUCGACGUUUGUUCGGCAUCAUCUUGCUGACGGCGCCCUUCAUCUUCACCGUCAAGGUUCAGAUAAGAAGAGAUAUCAUCUUCUUCUUGUCCGGUCGGCACAUAUAGAAUAUCGCCGUUUAUGAUGCUGAACAUAUGUGCUUCACCGUCCGGAUCAUAGUUGUCCAUAAUCGGGUCAGCUCUAUCGUCCACCAUUAUGUCAGUCCUGAAAACAUGUAGUAAAAACAAAUUAAUUAAGUGAAGAAGGGGGGCGGUGGCGGUGGCGGUGGCGAAAGGGCGGUGGCAAAAGGAGGGGGCGAGGAAGGGGUGGGAGAGGGUGUCGCGGUAGAGCGCGAGACGGGGCGGCAGACGACGGCGUCACGGAGAGGGAGGCGAGGACAACACACAUGUAUAACCCUCGCCGCCCCCUCUCGAUCCCAACAAAAAAACACCGCGGGCAUCGCCGCCCCCCUCGCCGCCCCCUCUCCGUAUAUGCGCGGGGUCGUGUACAUUUUUUUAAAGCGGGAUCGUUGUACAUUGACGCGCGGGGUCGUUGUAUAUAUUGAUUAUCAAGUUUUACUUUUUUUGUUGUUAAUUAUCAAGUUUUAUAUACGUUUUUUUUGUUAAUUAUCAAAUUUUACGGUUUUUUUUGUUAAUUAUCAAGUUUUAAGUUAUUUUACCGUUUUUGUUAAACUAAUUAACUAGUUAAAAUUAAAAAGAACAAAAAAAAGAAAAAAAAGAAAAAAAUCCGGUGGCUCGCGGCGCCCCUCUCUCUCUCCACGAUCUCGCUCUCUGUCUGAGAGAGGCGCGCGCAUGCGCGCACGGCAGUAUCGAGGCCGGCCGGCGGCGUUNNNNNNNNNNNNNNNNNNNNNNNNNNNNNNNNNNNNNNNNNNNNNNNNNNNNNNNNNNNNNNNNNNNNNNNNNNNNNNNNNNNNNNNNNNNNNNNNNNNNNNNNNNNNNNNNNNNNNNNNNNNNNNNNNNNNNNNNNNNNNNNNNNNNNNNNNNNNNNNNNNNNNNNNNNNNNNNNNNNNNNNNNNNNNNNNNNNNNNNNNNNNNNNNNNNNNNNNNNNNNNNNNNNNNNNNNNNNNNNNNNNNNNNNNNNNNNNNNNNNNNNNNNNNNNNNNNNNNNNNNNNNNNNNNNNNNNNNNNNNNNNNNNNNNNNNNNNNNNNNNNNNNNNNNNNNNNNNNNNNNNNNNNNNNNNNNNNNNNNNNNNNNNNNNNNNNNNNNNNNNNNNNNNNNNNNNNNNNNNNNNNNNNNNNNNNNNNNNNNNNNNNNNNNNNNNNNNNNNNNNNNNNNNNNNNNNNNNNNNNNNNNNNNNNNNNNNNNNNNNNNNNNNNNNNNNNNNNNNNNNNNNNNNNNNNNNNNNNNNNNNNNNNNNNNNNNNNNNNNNNNNNNNNNNNNNNNNNNNNNNNNNNNNNNNNNNNNNNNNNNNNNNNNNNNNNNNNNNNNNNNNNNNNNNNNNNNNNNNNNNNNNNNNNNNNNNNNNNNNNNNNNNNNNNNNNNNNNNNNNNNNNNNNNNNNNNNNNNNNNNNNNNNNNNNNNNNNNNNNNNNNNNNNNNNNNNNNNNNNNNNNNNNNNNNNNNNNNNNNNNNNNNNNNNNNNNNNNNNNNNNNNNNNNNNNNNNNNNNNNNNNNNNNNNNNNNNNNNNNNNNNNCAGCGCGGCGGGCGACGGCGGGCGGCGUCGAGGGCGAGGGCGACGGCGGCAGGCCUUCGGCGCGGCAGAGAAUCGGAGAAGACGAGAAAUGGAGGCGAUGGUUCGGGCCCUUGUAUUUAUAGCCCCCCCCUUUAGUCGCGGUUGGGGAGGCGACCCGCGACUAAAGGGUAACCUUUAGUCGCGGUUGGCCAGACCAACCGCGACUAAAGGGUUUUUUGGCGGGUUUUUGCAUUCCCGCGCGCAACGACCUUUAGUCGCGGUUGGCCAGGCCAACCGCGACUAAAGGUAUUUUUCAAAAUACUUUUUCUUUUUCAAAAUCUUAAAAAUACAAAUAAUAUAUCAAAAAAUUCAGAAAAAUAAAACUAAUUCAAUUCAAUAUGUUAAAAACACAAAUAUUAUAUCAAAAAAUUCAGAAAAAUAAGACUAAUUCAAUUCAAAAUUCUAAAAAUACAAAUAAUAUAUCAAAAAAUUAAGAAAAAUAAAACUAAUUCAAUUCGAAAUGUUAAAAAUACAAAUAAUAUAUCAAAAAAUUCAGAAAAAUAAAACUAAGUCAAUUCAAAAUUUUAUACGCCUAGGCAGGAGUACGACAGCGACGACAGCAGCGACGACGACGGCGGCAACUUAGAAGGCGACGACUACCAGUAUAACGGCGGCGGCUAUGAAGACUACGAGUAUGCAUAUUAUACGCCUAGGCAGGAGUAUGACUAAAUCACUCCAAAUUUCAUGUAUCAUCAGUGGUAUCUCGAAUCAUUCGAAAAUGGACACCAAACACAUCACAGGUAAUAUAAUUCACAUGAUCCAUUCAACAAAGUUUGGUACAAUAAAUUAUUACACAUCAUUUCUUCCCUUGUGUCCCUGCUUGCUUACGAUUGUGCCGUAUCCAUGGAGCAUCCUCAUCAUUUAACUUAAUGCUUGGGUCGGUGUUCACUUUGAAGGGCGGAAUUUCAGCAAACAUAUUAUAAUCUUCUGACAUGUCUGUCUUGUCCUCCACUCCCACGAUGUUUCUUUUCCCUGAAAGAACAAUGUGGCGCUUUGGAUCAUCGCAUGAUGUACUGAUCGUUUUCUUAUCUUUCCGUUUCCUCGGUUUGCUACUCAUGUCCUUCACAUAGAAAACCUGAGCGACAUCUUUCGCUAGGACGAAUGGUUCGUCAAGGUAACCAAGAUUGUUGAAAUCCACCAUUGUCAUUCCGUAUUGCUGGUCCACCUUUACCCCACCUCCUGUUAGCUUGAACCAUUUGCACCGGAACAAAGGGACCUUAAAGGAGGGUCCAUAGUCAAGUUCCCAUAUCUCCUCUAUGUAACCAUAAUAUGUGACCUUUUGCCCAUUCUCGGUUGCUGCAUCAAAGCGGACACCACUGUUUUUGUUGGUGCUCUUUUUAUCUUGGGCGAUCGUGUAAAAUGUAUUCCCAUUUAUCUCGUACCCUUGGAAAGUCGUUAUAGUCGAAGAUGGUGUCUUGGCCAACAUGUACAGCUGAUCUACAACAUCAUUGUCAUUCAUUAAAUGUUUUCUCAACCAACUGCCGAAAGUCUCCAUGUGGGCCUUCCUAAUCCAGGAUUCAGGCUUCCCCGGGUUGUCCGAGCGUAAAAUAUUCUUGUGUUUCUCAAAGUACGGAGCCACCAAGCUAGAAUUGGUCAGUACAGUGUGGUGUGCUUCAGUCAGAGAAUGGCCGUCCAUACAUAUCGUUGAUUUCCUUCCGAUCGUGCCUUUUCCACUUAGUCUCCCCUCGUGCCGCGAUCGAGGAAGACCAAUCGGCUUAAGGUCAGGAACAAAGUCAACACAAAACUCAAUUACCUCCUCAUUUCCAUAGCCCUUGGCGAUGCUUCCUUCUGGCCUAGGAUGGUUACGAACAUAUUUCUUUAAUACUCCCAUGAACCUCUCGAAGGGGAACAUAUUGUGUAGAAAUACAGGAUCGAGAAUGAAAAUCUCUUCGACUAGGUGAACCAAGAGGUGCGUCAUAAUAUUGAAGAAGGAUGGAGGGAACACCAACUCGAAACUGACAAGACAUUGGAUCACAUCGUUCUGUAACCGUGGUAGAACUUCUGGAUUGAUUACCUUCUGAGAGAUUGCAUUGAGGAAUAUACAUAGCUUCACAAUGGCUACUCGAACAUUUUCCGGCAGGAGCCCCCUCAAAGCAAUCGGAAGCAAUUGCGUCAUAAUCACGUGGCAGUCGUGAGACUUCAGGUUUUGGAACUUUUUCUCCGCCAUGUUCAUUAUUCCCUUUAUAUUGGACGAGAAUCCAGACGGGACCUUCAUACUGCUCAGGCAUUCAAAAAAGAUGACCUUCUCUUCUUUGGUCAGAGCGUAGCUGACAUGACCUUGAAACCAUUCCGGAUGCCGGUCAUCAGGGUCUUUCAAACGUUGCUGGUCCUGCCGUGCUUCCUUUGUAUCAUUUGUCUUCCCAUACACGCCCAAGAAGCUUAGGAGGUUCACGCAAAUAUUCUUCGUAACGUGCAUCACGUCGAUUGCAGAGCGGACUUCUAGGACUUUCCAAUAUUCUAGCUCCCAGAAUAUAGAUUUCUUCUUCCACAUGGCUGCGUGCCCGUCAGCUCCCUUCGGAACUGAUUGUCCGCCAGGACCCUUUCCAAAGAUGACUUUCAAAUCCUUGACCAUAUCAAAUACCUCAGCACCAGUGCGUUCUGCAGGCUUCGGCCGGUGAUCUGCCUUGCCGUUGUAAUGCUUGCCUUUCUUUCUUACUGGAUGAAUUUUCGGAAGAAAUCGACGAUGCCCAAGGUACACGUUCUUCUUACAAUUUGGCAAAUGUACACUUUCAGUCUCAUGUAAGCAGUGCGUGCAUGCAUUGUAUCCCUUAUUUGACAGUCCCGAAAGGUUACUAAGAGCAGGCCAAUCGUUGAUGGUUACGAAAAGCAACGCUCGUAGGUCAAAUUCUUCUUCUUUGUGCUCAUCCCACACACGGACACCAGGUCUGCCCCACAGCUGUAAAAGUUCAUCAACUAAUGGCCUUAGGUACACAUCGAUGUCGUUGCCGGGUUGCUUCAGACCUUGGAUGAGCACUGGCAUCAUAAUGAACUUCCGCUUCAUGCACAACCAAGGAGGAAGGUUGUAGAUGCAUAGAGUCACGGGCCAGGUGCUAUGCACUACUAGGAAAAGGGCUAUAGAUGGAAAUGACACUAAUGGCGCACCAGACAUGUGGUGCGCCAUUAGUAUAUACUAAUGGCGCACCACCUUCUGAUGCGCCAUUAGUGUUAAAACUACUAAUGGCGCACCCUGCCUACGGUGCGCCAUUAGUAUCACCAUUAUUUUUUUUGAACUAGUGCGCCUGUCCAAACGUACUAAUGGCGCACCGUGGGUGUGGUGCGCCAUUACUAGUUAAACUAGUAAUGGCGCACCAUGCCACGNNNNNNNNNNNNNNNNNNNNNNNNNNNNNNNNNNNNNNNNNNNNNNNNNNNNNNNNNNNNNNNNNNNNNNNNNNNNNNNNNNNNNNNNNNNNNNNNNNNNNNNNNNNNNNNNNNNNNNNNNNNNNNGGAUCGCCUUUUCAGUUUAAAAAAAAUAAAGCAAAAUGAUAAAAAUGUCAAAAAAAUAAAAGAAAAUAAGUUUCGCAUGUGAUAUGUGGCCUAGUUGUUGGGAAAAUUUGCAAAUAUGAAUUUUGACUUCAUUUGCAAAAUCUCGCGAGAAUUUGUAAAAAUGGGCAUAACUUUUGCAUACUAACUCGGAUGAAAAAGUUUUUUAUAUGGAAAAUCAUCUACUCGAAAAGUUACAUCCAAAAUCCUCAAAAACCUAACAGAAAAAAAGAUACGGGGCUUUUAAGAUCUAGAGAGGCAAAAAAAAUCAAAAAAAUUCAAACUUACUAAUGGCGCACCUGCCCAUGGUGCGCCAUUAGUAUCUUCCCGCCUUCAAAAUUCAAAAUAAAUCAAAAAAAUAAAAAAUUUUACUAAUGGCGCACCUGACCAUGGUGCGCCAUUAGUAUCUUCCCGCCUUCAAAAUUCAAAAUAAAUCAAAAAAAUAAAAAAAAAUUACUAAUGGCGCACCUGCCCGUGGUGCGCCAUUAGUAUCUUCCCGCCUUCAAAAUUUAAAAUAAAUCAAAAAAAAUAAAAAAAAAUUACUAAUGGCGCACCUGCCGGCGGUGCGCCAUUAGUAUGCCGUAUAUAUGGCUGGUCCUCUCCUCCUCUCUUCAUUUCAUCUUCCCUUCUCUCCUCCACCAUACUUCUCCUCUCCGGUGACCUCCUCCUCCUCUCCNNNNNNNNNNNNNNNNNNNNNNNNNNNNNNNNNNNNNNNNNNNNNNNNNNNNNNNNNNNNNNNNNNNNNNNNNNNNNNNNNNNNNNNNNNNNNNNNNNNNNNNNNNNNNNNNNNNNNNNNNNNNNNNNNNNNNNNNNNNNNNNNNNNNNNNNNNNNNNNNNNNNNNNNNNNNNNNNNNNNNNNNNNNNNNNNNNNNNNNNNNNNNNNNNNNNNNNNNNNNNNNNNNNNNNNNNNNNNNNNNNNNNNNNNNNNNNNNNNNNNNNNNNNNNNNNNNNNNNNNNNNNNNNNNNNNNNNNNNNNNNNNNNNNNNNNNNNNNNNNNNNNNNNNNNNNNNNNNNNNNNNNNNNNNNNNNNNNNNNNNNNNNNNNNNNNNNNNNNNNNNNNNNNNNNNNNNNNNNNNNNNNNNNNNNNNNNNNNNNNNNNNNNNNNNNNNNNNNNNNNNNNNNNNNNNNNNNNNNNNNNNNNNNNNNNNNNNNNNNNNNNNNNNNNNNNNNNNNNNNNNNNNNNNNNNNNNNNNNNNNNNNNNNNNNNNNNNNNNNNNNNNNNNNNNNNNNNNNNNNNNNNNNNNNNNNNNNNNNNNNNNNNNNNNNNNCUCCUCCUCCUCCUCUCCGGUGAGCUCCUCUCCGGCAAAAGACCAUGGCAACAAGAUCCAAAAACAGGAACAAAAUUUGAGAAUAUUGUCGUGCCAAGAAACAAGCAAAAAAAAACGAGCAAAAAAUGGGCAAAAAAUCACGAUCCAGAUCUAGAUUCAAAAUGGCGCAUCACAGGAAAGUGCGCCAUUAGUAUGCCGCGGUUACUAAUGGCGCAUCCAGUUGUGGUGCGCCAUUAGUAUCCAAAGCACCUGGCCCCUGGGAGGCAUACUAAUGGCGCACCGUGGCCUAUACUAAUGGCGCACCACUGGUGCGCCAUUAGUAAAAAUUACUAAUGGCGUGCUGUUAGUGGCGCACCACAGAUGCGCCAUUAAUGGCCAUAUUAGGUGCGCCAUUAGUAGGUGUUUUUCUAGUAGUGAUGGCUGGAGCUCUGCUCGCCAAAAGGAUUCAUGCCAUCUGUACUUAGACCAAAUCUUAUGUUCCUUGCGUCAGCUGCAAAAUCUUUGAACUCUCUGUCGAUCUUUCUCCAUUGCGUUCCAUCUGCGGUGUGUCUCAACUCCCCGUCCGACUUACGGUCCUCUUUGUGCCAUCGCAACAACUUGGCAUGCUCUUUGUUCCUGAACAGACGUUUCAACCGUGGUAUUGUAGGAGCAUACCACAUCACCUUGGCGGGAACCCUCUUCCUGGGUUUCUCGCCCCCAACAUCGUCACCAGGGUCAUCGCCUCUGAUCUUAUAACGCAAUGCAGUGCAUACCGUGCAUUCAUUCAAAUUCUCGUAUUCACCGCGGUAGAGGAUGCAGUCGUUGAUGCAUGCAUGUAUCUUCAGAACCUCUAAACCUAGAGGGCAGACAACCUUCUUUGCUUCGUACGUACUGGCGGGCAACUCGUUAUUCUUUGGAAACAUAUUCUUCAACAUUUUCAGCAAGUUUUCAAAUGCCGAGUCAGCUACACCUGCCUGUGCCUUCCAUUUCAGCAAAUCCAGUGUGCAGCCCAGCUUUUUCAGACCAUCAUCGCAUCCGGGGUACAACGACUUUCUGAAAUCCUAUAACAUGCGAUCCAAAUUCUCCCUCUCCUUUUCAGUUUCGCAGCGUCUCCGUGCAUCAGCAAUGGUCCGACCAAGAUCAUCAACGGUCUCAUCACGUGCCUCUUCUUCACCUUCACCUUCCCCUUCACCUUCCCCUUCACCUUCAGCAUCCUCCAUGAAAGUAUCACCGAAAUGAGCAAGAUAGCUUUCAUCGAUGAAAUCAUCCCCUUCUUCAUCUUCUUCCAUUAUAACCCCUCUUUCUCCAUGCUUGGUCCAACAAUUAUAGCUUGGCAUGAAACCGUGCCGAAGCAGGUGCAGGUGAACUUCUCUUGAGGAAGAGUAACCCUUCUGAUUCUUACAGUCAACACAUGGACAGAUAACAAAACCCUUCUGCUUGUUCGCAUUAGCCACUACGAGGAAAUCUUUCAAACUCGUAGUGAACUCGCGGGAGAGUCGGUUACCGUACAUCCAUUGCCGAUUCAUCUGCAUUAUUAUAAUAUAAAAUAUAUAAUUAACCAUCAUGCAUUUGUUAAACUAACUAGCUAUAAACAAUAGAAAUUAAACAAUGAACAACACACAUGCAUAUUUUAUCAAUGACACACAUGCAUGAAAGGUUCAAGUUGCUAACCGCGAUCGAGGAGGAAAAAAAAUGAGGAACCUCAAGUGUGGCUCCAACACUUCAUAUCAUGUUUGUUUCACGCUCUUGGGGCAUUUCAUCAAACACCUUGUGUGCAUAAGAGGAACCAAAAGCAAACCUACACCCCCUUGUGAAGCUUGUGAAGAGAAGUGGCACCAAAUGGCUAAGUGAGUGUGCUGAACUGGUAUAUAUAGGGGAGGAGCUUUAGUCGCGGUUGGCCUGGCCAACCGCGACUAAAGGCCUUUGGGCACCUUUAGUCGCGGUUGGCCUGGCCAACCGCGACUAAAGCCCCUCACGUGCACCAGCUGGCCACCGAGCGCCCUGGGCCCAGGCCUUUGGUCGCGGUUCGUCUGCCGAACCGCGACUAAAGACUUCAUUAGUCAUGGUUCCUACAGUUUCGCGACUAAUGGGGCUGGACGGAAGCCUCUUUUUCUACCAGUGAGAUUUUGUGUCAUGUGUAUUUGGAUUGCUUCCACACAUGUUUGGCAAAAAAAACUGUGGCUUAUGUUUGGUUUCUUGCCACAUCUGGUUAGAAUCACCUUAGUGCUAGAGUGGUGAGAUUAUGCCAUUUUUGUUACAAACCAAUCAGAUUACAACAUGCUCUAGUAAAUGUAAGAAGAUUUUGUACAUUACUAAUAGCCACAAAAAAUAACAUGGAUCAUUUUCCGUUAAAUACCAUCUGUGCAAAAUAAGUCACAGCCACAAUUUAGUAUCAAGAUACAAAAUAAGAUAGAUGCAUGCAAGUUCCAGCCAUCAUUCAUAAAGUCAUGAAGUAACAGUCCUAACCAUAGCACAAGUUCCAGCCACCUUACAUUAAAGUGUUUCGCUACACAUCAACAGAUCAAUAGGUGUAGCACAAGUUCAACUCCCAAAAGCAGCGAGCAGACACAUCACAAUCUCCUAAAUACCAAAAGUUGCCAUCUUCUAAACAUCACACGUGAGCAACUAGCAAACCACACAGGUUGCUAUCUCCUAAACAUCAUCUUUGUCAAAGAACUUCCAAACCCAAGUUUCAAAAGUUUUGUCACUUGCACAACAUAACCAACCACGCAAACCUUCAUUGUUCUUGCUAGACAAGUGCAUACCAAUAGUAAUUCUUUGAUCCAUGGUAAUUGGGAGUACCUCCAACCUGUGCCAUAAACUAGCAUAUGGGUCAAUAACUUGGGGCAUUUGAGGAGCAGGGGCAGCAAGAGAUUGCUGGAGUGACUUCAAUGUAGAGUUGAUUUCUUCAGCGGACUCCGCGAAAGACUCUUGAUUUUUUGUCGCUUCUUACUAGGCGACCUGCUACCUCUUGGGCGCUUCGUACCAACUCGGCUACUGCUAGAUGAGGAAUUAUCAGCACGUACAUGAACUGGAGGUCUUUUAAGACCAUAUGUUGUUGGCAAAGUGUCAGAAUCCUCCUCAAGAGGGCCCUCAUAUAGUCAUAUUGUGGAUAGCAAUUAAGGUCAUACAACCCUUCAUCAUUAUCCGAGUCAUGAGAAUCAAUUGUGCAUGUAUGCUGGUCCAUGGCUAAAGAACCAUCAGCACUAGUGCCUGUGAAUAGCUCUUGCAUCUCGUAGAUGCAAGAGAGGCAAAACCAAGCAGCUGCUAGACUAGGAAAUCCUGCAGAUCACGGAAGAAGGCUGCUAUUUUUCUCUUGAAAAAACAAGAACGCCCAGAUCUGCAUGUUUGAGAUGAAUAGUAGGUGAUGAGAUAGACGAGAUGGCGGAGAUUACUAUUGCGGUGGUGAGGAUUUUUACCAGGGAAGAGAAGGUCAAUUGUAGCGGCGAGCUCCUCCUCAGUUGGAUCGGUCAGGAGAGAGAAGGGCUCUCAUCCAUGGCGGUCAAGAUUGUGUGAAGCAGAGUUUCGGGGGAGGAAACAGGGAAGCGAUGACUUUAUUAAUCAGGCCCGCGGGGAUUUUCACGGCUUCUUUGGCGCGCCACGGCGAGUAUGGCGGGCAAAUCGAGCGCCACACAUUUGGCGAAUUUUUCUGCGGCAAAGGCCCUGUGGCGCUGUGGCGAGUCUAACCUUGAUGGAGAACCAAACGCCUGCCUACGAAGUCGUGGCACGCCUCACCUUAGGCGUGGAGAGCUGAGGCUCUGAACCAAACAGCCUCCUAAUCUUCCCGCGGACCGACGCGCCGACGACAACGAGUGAAACCGGCGGCGCUUGUGAUCAAAUCAGCACCGUUGUGCCUAACUUUAGAUCGACCGAGAUCUCCUUUUUCUUGCUAGCUAGCUUUGGCACGCAAAAAAGGACGAGGGAGGACCGGAGGAUACCUCCAACAAACAACAUCAAAUCCUGUGGUCUGUGGAUUUCCAACCAUAGUUUUGGAUAACCUGCCGCUCCCGGAAAGAAAGCGUGCAGUGGCACCCCCUGCCUUUCCCACCAACUCAGUUCACCACUCCAAUCCAAGUCCAAACGAGUCAGCAGAGUACCCACGGUUUGCACCCAAAACCGUGCGUGGCCGCCACCUUUUUGCUCCCUAUAAAUACAUGGCUAGCUCCUCGUCCUCGAAGCAUCAAGCAACAGCCAGCCAGCCAGCCCAUCUCUUCUCACUCGAUCAUCGCACUCUUUGUGCUGAGCCGUUUCUGUACAGGAUCACGGCGAAGAUGUCGACGACGGCCACCGUCGCCCGCGCCCACCUUGAGAACAAGCUCGCCCUCGCCAAACGCUGCUCCAGAGGUACGUAGGAAUCAGGAUCCACUUCUUCAGAGUUCAGUUCAGUUCAGCCAAGUUGUGUGCUGAUAGUCUGACACUAGCAAUGCAUUUCUCUUUUUAAAAUCUUCCCCAGAGGCGACGCUCGCCGGAGCCAAGGCGGCGGCCGUCGCCGCGGUCGCGUCUGCGGUGCCAACGGUGAGCUCAUCCGUCCAACGGUAGUUGCUGAUUUUCAUGCACGUUGGACUCUGAUUUUCGUGACUGUUAUACUCAUGCAGCCGGCGAGCGUGCGGAUGCUGCCGUGGGCCAAGGCGAACCUGAACCCCACCGGCCAGGCGCUCAUCGUCUGCACCGUCGCCGGGAUGGCCUACUUCAUCGCCGCCGACAAGGCCAUCCUCUCGCUGGCGAGGAGGCACUCGUACGAGAGCGCCCCCGACCACCUCAAGGACACCUCCUUCCAUGGUGGUGCCGCCGCAGCUCGUCCCCGUCCGCCGGCAUUCUUCAGGCCUUGAGCUAGUAUUAUCCUGCUUGUGCCGUUGCGCGUAUUCUAGAAAAAAUGUAUGCAUCAUUGUCAGUGUCCCAAGAAACCGCUGCCGCAUGAAUAUCUGACGCCGAAAUGUAUGUAUAUCCGUGUACUGAAUGAAACAGAGGGCUCGAUCCUGGUUUCAUAUAUGCUGUGUACGACAGACUUCAGAAGUUCAGAUAUCGACGAAGAAGAUGGGAUCAUAUAAUAUAAGCUGUGUAUUCCCAUCCAUUGCAGCUUAUGCGACUGCUGAAACUUGAUCUUGAUUAACAUUCCUACGUCGAUCCCAAACUGCAGAGGCCGCCAUGGCGGGAGCCAAGGCCGCGGUCGUCGCCACCGUCGCUGCCGCAGUCUCCAUAGUUUUUUUUUAAGAUCCAGCAAAUUGCUGACUUCAAUUAGAUUAAGCAGAAAACAGCAGAAAAACAACAUGAAAAGGAUCCAAAGAUCAAAGAGAAAAGAAAAACGGCAAUCCUAUUGGCCGCCGAACAACACUACCCUUACAAGACGGAACGCCAUCCACUCACAGCAGGACAACGCAGCUCAGACUCUGGCGGAGAACUACAAAAAGCAAAGAAAUAUUGGCAUCACGGAAGAUCACCGAACGGACCACUUGUCGCUCGUCAUUGUACACCACCGGUGCCCCGCACCGCAGCUUCGACUUCACAUCAACAAGCAGCCGAGGUAGUCUCAAGGAUACGCCGGAGAAGAGCCGACUACCACGACCAAUGCCACGCCUCCGACAAUGCUCACCACCGUUAUCGUUGCCACAGAAGCCAAACCGCCCCAUUGCCGGACGGACACGACCGAGCAGCACAAACAACCUCCCCCACCUAUCACUGGUCCCUCUGGCCGGUAAGGAGCUCCUGGAACGAUGCCCCAAGAGGUGCGAUGCACGUCGCCGUCAUCGUCCGGUUCUAGGGGAUCAAGGGUUUCCCUCGAGCAUCCUUGCGUAGUGGAGCGAGCAGGAACGCCUCAGCGACGCCUUCAAAAAGGAAACGGCGCCCGCAGGCGUCGCAGUCGCUUGCCCCAGCCCAAGGGCCGGCAGCAAAGUCUUCACCCGGCGCUGCACCUCCAACCACCAAACCCGAGCCAGACCAUCACCACAGACACACGGUCGGCGGCCGCCGGCCCCACGCGCCCAACGUCCGCCGCAACCACCUUCAAAACUGGACGCCGGGGCCUAGGUCUUCAUCGCUGCCGCCGGUCCACGCCAGAUAGAGCCGCCGGCCCCAUGCACCCGACGGUCGUCACGGCCUCCUCGCAGAACAGGACGCCGAGGCCCGAUCUGCUUCGCACCGCCAUGGAGCCCAACUAGCCGACGGCCGCCGGUGCACAGAGCCGUCUACAGCCCACGCGGCGCCGAGAAGCUGGCUCCCGCCUGACCCAUCUCCUCUGCCGCAGCAUCGAGCAAGAGCCCGUCCGACGGCAGCCCUCUUCAGAUCCAGCAGGGGCUCGCCCGCGACCCGCGCGACCACCACAUGCCCCAGACCGCAGCCAUCCCCGCCUCGCCGCUCCAUUAGUAUAUCUCACGGUGCGCCAUUACUAACAAUUUUUUUCAUUUUUUUUAGAAUUUUUUUUCAUUUUUUUUUCAAUUUUUUUUUGUUUUUUUCUUAAUCUCGAGUCAAUCUUAAUCUCAGGUCAAAUCGCACUCUAUGGUCAAACUUCCCGAAAGGUCACCCAUCGUCACACUACUCCAGCCCGAGCACGCUUAACUUUGCAGUUCUAUCCAACCCCAGCACCAGCUCACUUCACGAGCACUUGUUGAUACAUAUAUCAUAUCAAUCCUAUUAAACCGUGUUGAUGUCUAGGACUUUGUUCAUGUUCAUGAGUGUGAUGAAAUUUUGAAAAAAUAUUUCAAACUUCCGGUCAUAUUACGUAUCAUAUUUUGAAAAAAAUUCCAAUAUUUUUUUGAAACCAAUUUUUUUCUGUUACUAGUGGCGCACCUAGCAAAUGGUGCGCCACUAGUAAGUUUGAAUGUUCUUUCAUUUUCCCCCCCUCUAGAUCUUAAAAGCCCCGUAUCUUUCAUUCUGUCAGGGUUUGGGGGAUUUUGAAGAUGUUGAAAGGGGUUCCCCAGUUCAAUUCGUAUGUAACUUUUCGAGUAGAUGAUUUUUUAUAUAAAAAACUUUUUAAUCUGAGUUCGUAUGCAAAAGUUAUGCCCAUUUUACUAAUUUUCCCAACAACUAGACCACAUAUCACAUGGGAAAAUUAUUUUCUUUUUUUACAUUUCCAGCAUUUUCUUUUAUUUUUUAAAAAAUUGAAAAGACGGUCCAUGGGGGGGUGCAUUUAGCACCAGGGUUACUAAUGGCGCACCUGAUGUGUGGUGCGCCAAUAGUAAUUUUGAAAAAAAGAUGUUAGUAAUGGCGCAACAGUGGAUGAUGACCCACAAGUAUAGGGGUUCUAUCAUAGUCCUUUCGAUAAGUAAGAGUGUCGAACCCAAUGAGGAGCAGAAGGAAAUGAUAAGCGGUUUCCAGCAAGGUAUUCUCUGCAAGUACUGAAAUAAGUGCUAACAGAUAGUUUUGUGAUAGGAUAAUUUGUAAAGAGCAACAAGUAACAAAAGUAAAUAAAGUGCAGUAAGAUGGCCCUAUCCUUUUUGUAGCAAAGGACAGGUCUGGACAAACUCUUAUAUGAUGUAAAGCGCUCCCGAGGACACAUGAGAAUAUCGUCGAGCUAGUUUUCAUCACGUUCAUAUGAUUCGCGUUCGGUACUUUGAUAAUUUGGUAUGUGGGUGGACCGGUGCUUGGGUACUGCCCUUACUUGGACAAGUAUCCCACUUAUGAUUAACCUCUAUUGCAAGCAUCCGCAACUAUAACAAAAGUAUUAAGGUAAACCUAACCAUAGCAUGAAACAUAUGGAUCCAAAUCAGCCCCUUACGAAGUAACACAUAAACUAGGGUUUAAACUUCUGUCACUCUAGCAACUCAUCAUCUACUUAUUACUUCCCAAUGCCUUCCUCUAGGCCCAAAUAAUGGUGAAGUGUCAUGUAGUCAACGUUCACAUAACACCACUAGAGGAGAGAUAACAUACAUCUCAUGAAAAUAUCGAACGAAUACCAAAUUCACAUGACUACUAAUAGCAAGACUUCUCCCAUGUCCUCAGGAACAAAAGUAACUACUCACAAAGCAUAAACAUGUUCAUAAUCAGAGGGGUAUUAAUAUGCAUAUAGGAUCUGAACAUAUGAUCUUCCACCAAUUAAACAAACUAGCAUCAACUACAAAGAGUAAUUAACACUACUAGCAACCUACUAGCACCAAUCCCGGACUUGGAGACAAGAAUUGGAUACAAGAGAUGAACUAGGGUUUUGAGAGGAGAUAGUGCUGAUGAAGAUGUUGAUGGAGAUUGCCCUCUCCCGAUGAGAGGAGCGUUGGUGAUGACGAUGGCGAUGAUUUCCCCCCUCCGGGAGGGAAGUCUCCCCGGCAGAACAACUCCGCCAGAGCCCUAGAUUGGUUCUGCCAAGGUUCCGUCUCGUGGCGGCGGAGUUUCGUCCGAGAAGAUGGCUUAUGAUUUUUUUUCCCAUCGAAAGACUCCAUAUAGCAGAAGAUGGCCACCGGAGGGCCACCAGGGGGCCCACGAGGUAGGGGGCGCGCCUAGGGGGGUAGGGCGCGCCCCCACCCUCGUGGGCAGGGUGUGGCCCCCCUGGUGAGGUUCUUGCUUUCAGUAUUUUUUAUAUAUUUAGAAAACGUAUUCCGUGAAGUUUCAGGACUUUUGGAGUUGUGCAGAAUAUGUCUCUAAUAUUUGCUCCUUUUCCAGCCCAGAAUCCCAGCUGCCGGCAUUCUCCCUCUUUAUGUAAACCUUGUAAAAUAAGAGAGAAUAGACAUAAGUAUUGUGACAUAAUGUGUAAUAACAGCCCAUAAUGCAAUAAAUAUCGAUAUAAAAGCAUGAUGCAAAAUGGACGUAUCAACUCCCCCAAGCUUAGACCUCGCUUGUCCUCGGAAAAUAUGUCCACAUGUUUAGAGAUAGAGGUGUCGAUAAAAAUAAAAUACGGACAUGAGGGCAUCAUGAUCAUUCUUAGAACAACAACUUAUAUAAUUCUUGUCAUAUAAUCUCUUAUGCUAGAGUAAUAAUUCAAUCACAAUAUCAAGUAUGAAUCGUAAACUUCAUUGAAAACUAACAAACUACAAUCUCAGUCAUUGAAGCAAUUGCAAUUUAUCAUAACAUAGGAAAGAGUCAAUGUAUAAGAGCUUUUCAGCAAGUCGACAUACUCAACUAUCAUAUAGUCUUUCACAAUUGCUGGCACUCAUGCAAUACUUAUGGGUAUGGAGUUUUAAUCGGACACAGAGAAAGAUAGGGGCUGAUAGUUUUGCCUCCCAACAUUUUAACUCAAGGGUAGUGUCAACAGUAAUAGUUCAUGAAAAUUCACAUCCAAUUAGCCAUAUAUACCAGGAUCUUUCCAACAUAUGGUGCUUGCCAAAGGAUAAAAUGUAAAAAGGAAGGGUGAAGAUCACCAUGACUCUUAUGCAAUGUAGGAGAUAAAAGUAAAAGAUAGGCCCUUCGCAGAGGGAAGCAGAGGUUGUCAUGCGCUUUUAUGGUUAGAUGCACAAAAUCUUAAUGCGAAAGAACAUCACUUUAUAUUGCCACUUGUGAUAUGGACCUUUAUUAUGCAGUCUGUCGCUUUUAUUACUUCCAUAUCACACGAUCAUAUAAAGCUUAUUUCCUCCACACCAAUCAAUCAUACAUAUUUAGAGAGCAAUUUUUAUUGCUUUGCACCGAUGACAACUUACUUAAAGAAUCUUAUUCAAUCCAUAGGUAGAUAUGGUGGACUCUUAUGGCAAGACUGGUUUAAGGGUAUUUGGAAGCACAAGUAGUAUCUCUACUUGGUGCAAUGAAUUUGGCUAGUAUGAGGGGGAAAAGCAAGCUCAUCAUGUUGGAAGAUCCAAGACAAUAUAAUUCAUCUCAGAUGUAAGACAACAUAACCCAUUACGUUGUCUUCCUUGUCCAAUGUCAACUCUUUAGCAUGUCAUAUUUUAACGAGUGCUCACAAUCAUAAAAGAUGUCCAAGUAGUAUAUCUAUAUGUGAAGACCUCUCUUUCAUUAUUACUUCCUAUUAAUUGCAACGAUGACCAAAAGUGUGUUUGUCAACCCUCAACAACUUUUAUUCAUCAUACUCUUUCUAUGUGAUCUCAUUACUCUCCAUAAGACUCACAUGAUCUCUUCGUUUCUUUUUAUUUCUUUCUCUUUUCUUUUAUUCACUUAAGAUCAUGGUAAAAUAAUCAAGCCCUUGACUCAACACUAAUCUUUAUUAUAUAGCUCACGGACUCGAUUACAUAGAAGGAUAAUAAAGCAAAACUCACAACUAGAUCAUACUAAGAACUUUUAUUCUACUAGAUCAAGAUAUUACCAAAAGGAUCGAACUAAGAAAAAAACGGUAAAGAUAAAAGUGAUGGUGAUACGAUAUCAUGGCACUCCCCCAAGCUUGGCAGUUGCCAAGUGGAGUGCCCACACUAGAUAAUCAAUUCUUCUUUGUUGGUGAAGAAGGUGAGGAUGUUGAUGACGGAUAGUCGCACAUUGAGCGCAUGAGGUCUUCUAACUUGCGGAUAAUGCCUUUGAGUGCGAUGAUGUGCUCCUUCAAGAAAACAUUUUCACGUGUGAGAUACUUAUUUUGUAUACGAGCUAACUCAAUCAUCUUGAAAGCUUCGCUUUUUGUUGGGGUAAGAAGAUUGUGAUUCAGUUGAAGGGUGCCUUCUGUUGCCGGAACUUGGUCCUCCAUGGCCUUAUUGAUCCCUUCAUCCUUGUUGAUCUCCAUGGGUUCUUCUCUCUUCAGCUCUAUCUUCAUUAGCCAAGCAUCGUUGCCCUCAUGGUUGGAGGAGGAGGGAGAUGAUAUAGUGCCUGGCCUUGACAACCCUGACAAAAAACAGCUCGAAACAAAGACAGGAGAUUUUUGCGUGAUACAGGAGUCAAAACCUCCGGGAGAUUAUAUAAUGAAUUUUCACCGACCAAAAUACGUGUCAUGUACGAAAACAGAGUCCGGAGAGCACACGAGGUGCCCACGAGGUAGGGGGCGCGCCCAGUAGGGUAGGGUGCGCCCUCCACCCUCGUGGAGCCCUCGUGUCCUUCCCGGACUGCUGCUUAUUUUUCUAUUUUUCUAAACAUUCCAAAACGGAGAAAUAUUGCCUUAAAACUGUUUUGGAGUCGGUUUACUUACCGUACCACAUACCUAUUCCUUUUCGGAGUCUGAAAUGUUCCGGAAAGUGUCCCUUAUGUAUUCCUCCGGGGUUAUGGUUUCAAUAACAUUGGUUUCAACAUUUAUGGGAUUACCUGAGAUAUAAUGUUUGAUUCUUUGACCGUUCACCACCUUUGGAUUUGUGCCUUCGAAGUUGUUGAUUUUCAUGGCACCGGAACGGUAGACCUCCUCGAUAACGUAAGGGCCUUCCCAGUUAGAGAGAAGUUUUCCUGCAAAAAAUCUUAAACAAGAGUUGUAUAUCAAUACAUAAUCACUGAUACGUCUCCAACGUAUCUAUAAUUUUUGAUUGCUCCAUGCUAUAUUAUCUACUGUAUUGGACGUUAUUGGGCUUUAUUAUCCAAUUUUAUAUUAUUUUUGGGACUAACCUAUUAACCGGAGGCCCAGCCCAGAAUUGCUGUUUUUUUGCCUGUUUUAGGGUUUCGAAGAAAAGGAAUAUCAAACGGAGUCCAAACGGAAUGAAACCUUCGGGAACGUGAUUUUCUCACCGAAUACAACUCAGGAGACUUGGACCCUACGUCAAGGCACGUAACAGGAGGCCACGAGGUAGGGGCGCGCGCCCUACCCUACCAGGCGCGCCCCCACCCUCGUGGGCCCCCUGUUGCUCCACCGACGUACUUCUUCCUCCUAUAUAUACCCACGUACCCCCAAACGAUCAGAUACGGAGCCAAAACCCUAAUUCCAUCACCGCAACUUUCUGUAUCCACGAGAUCCCAUCUUGGGGCCUAUUCCGGAGCUCCGCCGGAGGGGGAAUCGAUCACGGAGGGCUUCUACAUCAACACCAUAGCCUCUCCGAUGAAGUGUGAGUAGUUUACUUCAGACCUACGGGUCUAUAGUUAGUAGCUAGAUGGCUUCUUCUCUCUUUUUGGAUCUCAAUACAAUGUUCUCCCCCUCUCUUGUGGAGAUCUAUUCGAUGUAAUCUUCUUUUGCGGUGUGUUUGUUGAGAUCGAUGAAUUGUGGGUUUACGAUCAAGUCUAUCUAUGAAUAAUAUUUGAAUCUUCUCUGAAUUCUUUUAUGUAUGAUUGGUUAUCUUUGCAAGUCUCUUCGAAUUAUCAGUUUGGUUUGGCCUACUAGAUUGAUCUUUCUUGCAAUGGGAGAAGUGCUUAGCUUUGCCUUCAAUCUUGCGGUGUCCUUUCCGGUGACAAUAAGGGCAGCAAGGCACGUAUUGUAUUGUUGCCAUCGAAGAUAACAGGAUGGGGUUUUCUUCAUAUUGCAUGAGUCUAUCCCUCUACAUCGUGUCAUCUUGCUUAAGGCGUUACUCUGUUUUUACUUAAUACUCUAGAUGCAUGCUGGAUAGCGGUCGAUGAGUGGAGUAAUAGUAGUAGAUGCAGGCAGGAGUCAGUCUACUUGUCUCGGACGUGAUGCCUAUAUACAUGAUCAUACCUAGAUAUUCUCAUAACUAUGCUCAAUUAUGUCAAUUGCUCAACAGUAAUUUGUUCACCCACCGUAGAAUACUUAUGCUCUCGAGAGAAUCCACUAGUGAAACCUAUGGCCCCCGGGUCUAUCUUUAUCAUAUCAAUCUCCUACUACUUAGUUAUUUACUUUGCUAUUUACUUUGCCUUUAUUUUACUUUGCAUCUUUAUCAUAAAAAAUACCAAAAAUAUUAUCUUAUCAUAUCUAUCAGAUCUCACUCUCGUAAGUGGCCCUAUAGGGAUUGACAACCCCUAUUUGCGUUGGUUGCGAGGAUUUAUUUGUUUUGUGCAUGUACGAGGGACUUGCGCGUAGCCUCCUACUAUAUUGAUACCUUGGUUCUCAAAAACUGAGGGAAAUACUUACGCUACUUUGCUGCAUCAUCCCUUCCUCUUCGGGGAAAACCAACGCAGUGCUAAAAGAGGUAGCAAGAAGGAUUUCUGGCGUCGUUGCCGGGGAGGUCUACGCAAGAGUCAACAUACCAAGUACCCAUCACAUACCCUUAUCUCCCGCAUUACAUUAUUUGCCAUUUGCCUCUCGUUUUCCUCUCCCCCCACUUCACCCUUGCCAUUUUAUUCGCCCUCUCUCUAUCCUCCCUCUCUAUUUGCCUUCUUUUGCCCGCUUGCUUUCUGUUUGCUUGUGUGUUAGUUUGCUUGCUUGUUGCGAUGGCUCUACCUAAAUUUGGUGACCUUCAGCUUAAAAGGUUAGAAGAAAUCGAAAAUAAUGUUAGGAGUUUCAUGGUUUUGCAAUUUGAACAUAAUAGUUUCUUCAGAAACGAGCUUAAAGAACAGAAAAGUUUUAUGAAUAAAGAGCUCGAUGAUAUGUCUAAGAAUUCGAUGGUUUAAGAUCCCAACUUGCUCAUCUUGAGAAAUUAACUACUGAAAUUUCGGAUAAACAGGCUACCCUAGUUAAUAAGAUGGCCGCUAAACCAAGUUUCUAUGAAAAUAAUGAUGAAGAUCUAAAAGUUCUUGAUGUGUCCCCUAUUAAAUCUUUGUUUUGCAAUAUGAAUCUUGAUAAUGAUGGGACUGAAUAUGAUCCACCUUUACCUAGUAGGCGUUCCAAGAAUUCUGAAUCUUUUGAUCUUGAUGCUAAAUUUGAUAAAAGGUGAAAAUUGCUCUUUGAUUGAUUGUAUUUCCUUGUUACAAUCCGUGCUAAAUGCUCCUCACGCUUAUAGUCAAAAUAAAGCGUUUACUAAACAUAUCGUUGAUGCCUUGAUGCAAUCUUAUGAAGAAAAACUUGAAUUGGAAAUUUCUAUCCCUAGAAAACUUUAUGAUGAGUGGAAUCAACUAUUAAAAUUAAAAUUGAAGAUCAUGAAUGCUAUGCUUUAUGUGAUUUGGGUGCUAGUGUUUUCACGAUUCCAAAGACUUUGUGUGAUUUGUUAGGUUUCCGUGAUUUUGAUGAUUGCUCUUUAAACUUGCACCUUGUGGAUUCCACUAUCAAGAAACCUAUGGGAAGAAUUAAUGAUGUUCUUAUUGUUGCAAAUAGGAAUUAUGUGCCCAUAAAUUUUAUUGUUCUUGACAUAGAUUGUAAUCCUUCAUGUCCUAUUAUUCUUGGUAGACCUUUCCUUAGAACAAUUGGUGCAAUUGUUGAUAUGAAGGAAGGAAAUAUUAGAUUCCAAUUUUCAUUAAGGAAAGGCAUGGAACACUUUCCUAGAAAGAAAAUUAAAUUACCUUUUGAAUCUAUUAUGAGAGUCACUUAUGGAAUGCCUACCAAAGAUGGCAAUACCUAGAUCUAUUCUUGCUUGUUAUGCUUAGCUAGGGGCGUUAAACGAUAGCGCUUGUUGGGAGGAAACCCAAUUUUAUUUUUAUUCCUUGCUUUUUUUCCUAUUUAGUAAUAAAUAAAUUAUCUAGCCUCUGUUUUGGUUGUAUUUUUUGUGUUUAAUUAGUGUUUGUGCCAAGGAGAACCAUUGGGAAGACUUGGGGAAAGUCUUGUUGAACUUGCUGUAAAAAACAGAAACUUUACCACUCACUAGAAUUGCUGUCAUUUUUAUUUGGAGAGUGAUAUUUAGUUAAUUAUUUUUGCAGAUGAUUAAUAGAUAAAUUCCUCACGUCCAGCAAUUUAUUUUAGAAUUUUUGGGGGUUCCAGAUCUUGCGCUAGCUACAGAUUACUACAGACUAUUCUGUUUUUGACAGAUUCUGUUUUUCGUAUGUUUGUUUGCUUAUUUUGAUGAAUCUAUGGCUAGUAAAAUAGUUUAUAAAUCAUAGAGAAGUUGGAAUACAGUAGGUAUAACACCAAUAUAAAUAAAGAAUGAGUUCUUUACAGUACCUUGAAGUGGUCUUUUGUUUUCUUUCGCUAACGGAACUCACGAGAUUUUCUACUUUAAGUUUUGUGUUGUGAAGUUUUCAAGUUUUGGGUAAAGAUUUGAUGGAUUAUGGAACAAGGAGUGGCAAAGCCUAAGCUUGGGGAUGCCCAUGGCACCCCCAAGAUAAUCUAAGGACACCUAAAAGCCAAAGCUUGGGGAUGCCCCGGAAGGCAUCCCCUCUUUCGUCUACUUCUAUCGGUAACUUUACUUGGAGCUAUAUUUUUAUUUACCACAUGCUAUGUGUUUUGCUUGGAGCGUCUUGUAUUAUUUGAGUAUUUAUUUGUUUGUUUACCAAAUCAUCCUUGCUGUAAACACCUUUUGAGAGAGCCAUACAUGAUUUGGAAUUUGUUAGAAUACUCUAUGUUCUUCGCUUAUAUCUUUUGAGUUAUAUAAUUUUGCUCUAGUGCUUCACUUAUAUCUUUUAGAGCACGGUGGUGGAUUUGUUUUAUAGAAACUAUUGAUCUCUCAUGCUCCACUCAGAUUAUUUUGAGAGUCUUAAAUAGCAUGGUAAUUUUCUUAAAAGCCUAAUAUGCUUGGUAUGCAAGAUUAAUAAUAAAAUUUUCUUAUGAGUGUGUUGAAUACUAUGAUAAGUUUGAUACUUGAUAAUUGUUUUGAGAUAUGGAGAUGGUGAUACUAAAGUCAUGCUAGUUGAGUAGUUGUGAAUUUGAGAAAUACUUGUGUUGAAGUUUGUGAUUCCCGUAGCAUGCACGUAUGGUGAACCAUUAUGUGAUGAAGUCGGAGCAUGAUUUAUUUAUUGAUUGUCUUCCUUAUGAGUGGCGGUCGGGGACGAGCGAUGGUCUUUUCCUACCAAUCUAUCCCCCUAGGAGCAUGUGCGUAAUACUUUGCUUUGAUAACUUGUAGAUUUUUGAAAUAAGUAUAUGAGUUCUUUAUGGAUAAUGUUGAGUCCAUGGAUUAUAUGCACUCUCACCCUUCCACCUUUGCUAGCCUCUCUAAUACCGUGCACCUUUCGCCGGUAUCAUACACCCACCAUAUACCUUCCUCCAAACAGCCACCAUACCUACCUAUUAUGGCAUUUCCAUAGCCAUUCCAAGAUAUAUUGCCAUGCAACUUUCCACCGUUAUGUUUAUUAUGACACACUCCAUCAUUGUCAUAUUGCUUAGCAUGAUCAUGUAGUUGACAUAGUAUUUGUGGCAAAGCCACCAUUCAUAAUUCUUUCAUACUUGUCACUCAUGCAUCAUUGCAUAUCCUGGUACACCACCGGAUGCAUUCACAUAGAGUCAUAUUUUGUUCUAAGUAUCGAGUUGUAAGAAAAAUAAAAGUGUGAUGAUCAUCAUUAUUAGAGCAUUGUCCCAGUGAGGAAAGGAUGAUGGAGACUAUGAUUCCCCCACAAGUCGGGAUGAGACUCCAUACAAAAAAAGGAGAAAGAAAAGAGGCCAUGAAAAAAACAGAAAAGGCCCAAAUAAAAAAAUGAGAGAAAAAGAGAGAAGGGACAAUGUUACUAUCCUUUUACCACACUUGUGCUUCAAAGUAGCACCAUGAUCUUCAUAGUAGAGAGUAUCUCAUGUUAUCACUUUCAUAUACUAGUGGGAAUCUUUCAUUAUAGAACUUGGCUUGUAUAUUCCAAUGAUGGGCUUCCUCAAAUUGCCCUAGGUCUUCAUGAGCAAGCAAGUUGGAUGCACACCCACUCAGUUUCUUUUUGAGCUUUCAUAUACUUAUAGCUCUAGUGCAUCCGUUGCAUGGCAACCCCUACUCACUCACAUUGAUAUCUAUUGAUGGGCAUCUCCAUAGCCCUUUGAUACGCCUAGUUGAUGUGAGACUAUCUUCUCCUUUUUGUCUUCUCCACAACCACCACUCUAUUCCACCUAUAGUGCUAUAUCCAUGGCUCACGCUCAUGUAUUGCGUGAAAAUUGAAAAAGUUUUGAGAAUGUCAAAAGUAUGAAACAAUUGUUUGGCUUGUCAUCGAGGUUGUGCAUGAUUUAAAUAUUUUGUGUGGUGAAGAUAGAGCAUAGCCAGACUAUAUGAUUUUGUAGGGAUAACUUUCUUUAGCCAUGUUAUUUUGAGAAGACAUAAUUGCUUUGUUAGUAUGCUUGAAGUAUUAUUAUUUUCUAUGUCAAUAUGAACUUUUGUCUUGAAUCUUUCGGAUCUGAAUAUGCAUACCACAAUUAAGAAGAAUUACAUUAAAAUCAUGCCAAGUAGCACUCCGCAUCAAAAAUUCUGUUUUUAUCAUUUACCUACUCGAGGACGAGCAGGAAUUAAGGUUGGGGAUGGUUGAUAUGUCUCCAACGUAUCUAUAAUUUUUGAUUGCUCCAUGCUAUAUUAUCUACUGUUUUGGACAUUAUUGGGCUUUAUUAUCCACUUUUAUAUUAUUUUUGAGACUAACCUAUUAACCGGAGGCCGAGCCCAAAAUUGUUGUUUUUUGCCUGUUUUAGGGUUUCGAAGAAAAGGAAUAUCAAACAGAGUCCAAACAGAAUGAAACCUUCGGGAACGUGAUUUUCUCACCGAAUACAACUCAGGAGACUUGGACCCUACGUCAAGGCAUGUAACAGGAGGCCACGAGGUAGGGGGCGCGCCCUACCCUACCAGGCGCGCCCCCACCCUCGUGGGCCCCCUGUUGCUCCACCGACGUACUUCUUCCUCCUAUAUAUACCCACGUACCCCCAAACGAUCAGAUACGGAGCCAAAACCCUAAGUCCACCACCGCAACUUUCUGUAUCCACGAGAUCCCAUCUUGGGGCCUGUUCUGGAGCUCCGUCGGAGGGGGCAUCGAUCACGGAGGGCUUCUACAUCAACACCAUAGCCUCUCCGAUGAAGUGUGAGUAGUUUACUUCAAACCUACGGGUCCAUAGUUAGUAUCUAGAUGGCUUUUUCUCUCUUUUUGGAUCUCAAUACAAUGUUCUCCCCUCUCUUGUGGAGAUCUAUUCGAUGUAAUCUUCUUUUUGCGGUGUGUUUGUUGAGACCGAUGAAUUGUGGGUUUAUGAUCAAGUCUAUCUAUGAAUAAUAUUUGAAUCUUCUCUAAAUUCUUUUAUGUAUGAUUGGUUAUCUUUGCAAGUCUCUUCGAAUUAUCAGUUUGGUUUUGCCUACUAGAUUGAUCUUUCUUGCAAUGGGAGAAGUGUUUAGCUUUGGUUCAAUCUUGCGGUGUCCUUUCCCGGUGACAGUAAGGGCAGCAAGGCACGUAUUGUAUUGUUGCCAUCGAGGAUAACAAGAUGGGGUUUUCUUCAUAUUGCAUGAUUCUAUCCCUCUACAUCAUGUCAUCUUGCUUAAGGCGUUACUCUAUUUUUACUUAAUACUCUAGAUGCAUGCUGGAUAGCGGUCGACGAGUGGAGUAAUAGUAGUAGAUGCAGGCAGGAGUUGGUCUACUUGUCUCGGACGUGAUGCCUAUAUACAUGAUCAUACCUAGAUAUUCUCAUAACUAUGCUCAAUUCUGUCAAUUGCUCAAUAGUAAUUUGUUCACCCACCGUAGAAUACUUAUGCUCUCGAGAGAAGCCACUAGUGAAACUUAUGGCCCCCGCGUCUAUCUUUCUCAUAUCAAUCUCCUGCUACUUAGUUAUUUACUUUGCCUUUAUUUUACUUUGCAUCUUUAUCAUAAAAAAGACCAAAAAUAUUAUCUUAUCAUAUCUAUCAUAUCUCACUCUCGUAAGUGGCCCUAUAGGGAUUGACAACCCCUAUUUGCAUUGGUUGCGAGGAUUUAUUUGUUUUGUGCAGGUACGAUGGACUUGCGCAUAGCCUCCUAUUGGAUUGAUACCUUGGUUCUCAAAAACCGAGGGAAAUACCUACGCUACUUUGUUGCAUCAUCCCUUCCUCUUUGGGGAAUACCAACACAGUGCUAAAAGAGGUAGCAAUCACCUACAUUAAACUCACGCUUUUGUAUCCUUUUGUCGUGCCAUCUUUUAAGUUUUUCUUUAAACAACUUGGCAUUUUCGUAGGCUUGUGUUCUCCAUUCAUCAAGUGAGCUAAUAUCAAAUAAUCUCUUCUCACCGGCAAGUUUAAAAUCAUAAUUAAGUUCUUUAAUAUCCCAAUAAGCCUUAUGUUCUAGUUCGAGAGGUAAGUGGCAUGCUUUUCCAUAGACCAUUUUAUACGGAGACAUACCCAUAGGAUUUUUAUAUGCAGUUCUAUAGGCCCAUAAUGCAUCAUCAAGUUUCUUGGACCAAUUCUUUCUAGACCUAUUAACAGUCUUUUGCAAAAUUAAUUUGAGUUCUCUAUUACUCAAUUCUACUUGACCACUAGACUGAGGGUGAUAAGGAGAUGCAAUUCUAUGAUUAACAUCAUAUUUAGCAAGCAUUUUACGGAAAGCGCCAUGAAUAAAAUGUGAACCACCAUCAGUCAUUAAAUAUCUAGGGACUCCAAAUCUUGGAAAAAUAACUUCUUUAAGCAUUUUAAUAGAAGAAUUAUGAUCAGCACUACUAGUUGGAAUAGCUUCUACCCACUUAGUAACGUAAUCAAUAGCAACUAAAAUAUGUGUAUAACCAUUAGAGGAAGGAAAAGGUCCCAUAUAGUCAAAGCCCCAAACAUCAAAUGGUUCAAUAACAAGUGAAUAGUUCAUAGGCAUUUCUUGACAUUCAUCACAAGAUAAGACAAACUUAUGGGCAUCCUUGAAGAGAGUAGGCCAAUAAAAACCAGAUUGUAGUACCUUAUGUGCAGUUCUAUCUCCAGCAUGGUGUCCUCCAUAAGCUUCGGAGUGACACUUGCAUAGGAUCUGUUCCUGCUCAUGCUCAGGUACACAACGUCUAAUAACACCAUCUACUCCUUCUUUAUAAAGAUGUGGGUCAUCCCAAAACUAAUGUCUCAAAUCAUAGAAGAACUUUUUCUUUUUCUGGUAUGUGAAACUAGGUGGUAUAAACUUAGCAACAAUGUAAUUAGCAUAAUUAGCAUACCAUGGAGCAGUAUGAGAAGCAUUUAUGACAUUUAGUUGCUCAUCAGGAAAGCUAUCAUCAAUAGGAAGUGGGUCAUCAAGCACAUCUUCUAACCUAGACAAGUUGUCUGCAACAGGGUUCUCAGCUCCUUUUCUAUCAACAAUAUGUAAAUCAAAUUCUUGUAGCAAGAGAACCCAUCUAAUAAGUCUAGGUUUAGCAUCUUUCUUUUCCAUGAGAUAUUUAAUAGCAGCAUGAUCAGUGUGAAUAGUUACUUUAGAAUCAACAAUAUAAGGUCUGAACUUAAUUAUCACAAGCAAAUACAACUGCUAAGAAUUCUUUUUUAGUGGUACAUAAUUUCUUUGAGCAUUGUCAACGGUUUUACUAGCAUAUUGAAUAACAUUUAGUUUCUUAUCAACUCUUUGUCCUAGAACAUCACCUACAGCAUAAUCACUAGCAUCACACAUAAUUUCAAAGGGUAAAUUCCAAUCAGGUGGCUGAACAAUAGGUGUAGAAAUCAAUGCUUUCUUAAGUAUUUCAAAUGCUUCUACACAAUCAUCAUCAAAGACAAAUGGUAUAUCUUUUUGUAAUAAAUUAGUCAGAGGCCGAGAAAUUUUUGAGAAGUCCUUAAUGAACCUCCUAUAAAAACCGGCAUGACCAAGGAAACUUCUUAUACCUUUGAUGUCCUUGGGACAUGGCAUCUUUUGAAUAGCAUCAACCUUGGCUUUAUCAACUUCAAUACCUCUUUCAGAAACUUUAUGACCCAAGACAAUACCUUCGUUCACCAUAAAGUGGCACUUUUCCCAAUUCAAGACAAGAUUAGUUUCUUCACAUGUCUACAAAACUCGAUCAAGGUUGCUCAAGCAAUCAUCAAAAGAAGAUCCAUAGACCGAAAAGUCGUCCAUGAAAACCUCACAAAUCUUUUCACAAAAGUCAGAGAAUAUAGCCAUCAUGCAUCUUUGAAAGGUAGUAGGUGCAUUACAUAAACCAAAAGGCAUACGUCUAUAAGCAAAAGUACCAAAAGGGCAUGUAAAAGUAGUCUUUGAUUGAUCUUUGGCCGACACAGGUAUUUGAGAGAAACCAAAAUAACCAUCCAGAAAGCAAAAAUGUGUAUGUUUGGACAAUCUUUCUAGCAUUUGAUCGACAAAAGGUAAGGGGUAAUGAUCCUUUUUAGUAGCCUUAUUUAAUUUGCAGAAAUCAAUUACCAUCCUAUAACCUGUAAUAAUUCUUUGAGGAAUCAAUUCAUCUUUAUCAUUAGGAACAACAGUAAUACCUCCCUUCUUAGGGACACAAUGGACAGGGCUUACCCACUAACUAUCAGCAACGGGAUAAAUUAUACCUGCCUCAAGGAGCUUUAGUAUCUCCUUUCUUACCACUUCUUUCAUUUUAGGAUUUAGCCGGCGUUGAUGAUCAUGAACUGGUUUAGCAUCUUCUUCCAAAUUAAUUUUAUGUUGACAUACAGUGGGACUAAUGCCCUUAAGAUCAUCAAGAGUAUACCCAAUAGCAGCAUGGUGCUUCUUCAGAGUUUUCAAUAAUCUCUCUUCUUCAUGCUCUGAAAGGUUAUCACUAAUAAUAAUAGGAUAUAUCUUUUGCUCAUCAAGAUAAGCAUAUUUAAGAGUAUCAGGUAACGGUUAAAGCUCAAAUACGGGAUCACCCUUGGGUGGAGGAGGAUCCUCUAGGAUUUCAACAGGUAAAUUGUUUUUCAAAAUAGGUUCCUGUUUAAAGAAUACUUCAUAUAAUUCCCUUCUUUCAUUCAUAAACAUAUGAUUUUCAUGGUCUAGCAAAUAUUGUUCUAAAGGAUUAGUAGGAGGUAAGGCAAUAGAAGCAAGACCAAUAAUUUCAUCCUUACUAGGUAAUUCUUCUUCACGGUGUUGUCUACUAAAUUUAGAAAAAUUAAAUUCAUUAUCCAUAUCAUCUAAACCGAUAGUAACAACAUCUCUUUUGCAAUCUAUGGUAGCAUUAAUGGUAUUGAAGAAGGGUCUACCAAAUAUAAUGGGACAAAAGCUAUCUUGUGGGGAACCAAGAACAAGAAAAUCAGCAGGAUAUUUAGUUUUCCCACACAAGACUUCAACAUCUCUAACAAUUCCCAUUGGUGAAAUAGUAUCUCUAUUGGCAAGUUUAAUUGUGACAUCAAUAUCUUCUAUUUCAGCAGGUGCAAUCUCAUGCAUAACUUCUUGGUAUAAGGAAUAAGGUAUUGCGCUAGCACUGGCACCCAUAUCACAUAAGCCAUGAUAACAAUGAUCUCCUAUUUUAACAGAAAUAACAGGCAUGCCUACCAUAGGUAUAGGUUUAUCUUUAUCACGGGGUUUAGCAAUUCUAGCAGUUUCAUCACAGAAAUAAAUAACAUGCCCAUCAAUAUUAUCAGACAAGAGAUCUUUAACGAUAGCAAUAUUAGGCUCAACUUUAACUUGCUCAGGAGGUGUAUAUGUUUUAAUAUUGCUUUUAUGAACUACAGUUGAAUCUUUAGCAUGAUCCUUUAUCCUAAUAGGGAAAGGUGGUUUCUCAACAUAAGAAGUAGGAACAAUAGGAUCAUUAUAAGUGAUAGUCUUUUCUUCAACUUUAAUAGGUGCAACUACUUUUACUUCUAUGGGAGGAUGACAUUUAAACCACUUCUCCUUGGGGAGAUCAACAUAGGCAGCAAAAGAUUCACAGAGAGAAGCUACUAUCUCAGAAUCAAGUCCAUAUUUAGUGCUAAAUUUACGAAAAAUAUCGGUAUCCAUAAAAGAUUUAACACAAUCAAAAGUAGGUGUCAUACCUGACUCCUUACCAUUGUUGAGGUCCCAAUCUUCAGAGAUGCGUUUAAUUCUUUCCAAUAAAUCUCAUUUGAAUUCAAUAGUCUUCAUCAUAAAAGAGCCAGCACAAGAAGUAUCAAGCAUGGUGCGAUUGUUACCAGAAAGUUGAGCAUAAUUUUUUUGAAUAAUCACUUCUCUUGAGAGCUCAUGAUUGGGGCAUGAAUAUAACAUUGAUUUAAGCCUCCCCCAAGCUUGAGCGAUGCUUUCUCCUUCGCAAGGCCAAAAAUUAUAUAUAUAAUUGCGAUCACGAUGAACAAGAUGCAUAGGAUAAAACUUCUGAUGAAAUUCCAAUUUCAAUCGUUUGUAAUUCCAAGACCUCAUAUCAUCACAUAGCCUAUACCAUGUUGAUGCAUCUCCCCUCAAAGAUAAAGGGAAUACCUUAUUCUUAACAACAUCUUCGGGUAUACCUGCAAGCUUAAAUAAUCCACAAACUUCAUCCACAUAUAUGAGAUGUUCAUCAGGAUGUUUUGUUCCAUCUCCUAAAAAAGGAUUAGCUAGCAGCUUUUCUAUCAUACCUGCAGGAACUUCAAAGCAAGCAUUUUCAUUUUCAUUUUCAUUUUCAGUAGGUUCAGUAGGUUGAGGAGCAACUAUUUGCUCUACUGGUCGGGGUAAGGUACCCCGAACAAGCCCCUCAGAGGAUUACGUUCCAUGGUGACAAGUGAUAGUAAAUUUCAGCACACUAUAUAAAUUUUUCCUUACCAAAUUCCACCUACCAAAGGCGCUUCACUCCCCGGCAACGGCGCCAGAAAAGAGUCUUGAUGACCCACAAGUAUAGGGGAUCUAUCAUAGUCCUUUCGAUAAGUAAGAGUGUCGAACCCAACGAGGAGCAGAAGGAAAUGAUAAGCGGUUUCCAGCAAGGUAUUCUCUGCAAGUACUGAAAUAAGUGGUAACAGAUAGUUUUGUGAUAGGAUAAUUUGUAAAGAGCAACAAGUAACAAAAGUAAAUAAAGUGCAGCAAGGUGGCCCAAUCCUUUUUGUAGCAAAGGACAAGUCUGUACAAACUCUUAUAUGAUGUAAAGCGCUCCCGAGGACACAUGGGAAUAUCGUCGAGCUAGUUUUCAUCACGUUCAUAUGAUUCGCGUUCGGUACUUUUAUAAUUUGGUAUGUGGGUGGACCGGUGCUUGGGUACUGCCCUUACUUGGACAAGUAUCCUACUUAUGAUUAACCUCUAUUGCAAGCAUCCGCAACUACAACAAAAGUAUUAAGGUAAACCUAACCAUAGCAUGAAACAUAUGGAUCCAAAUCGGCCCCUUACGAAGCAACGCAUAAACUAGGGUUUAAGCUUCUGUCACUCUAGCAACCCAUCAUCUACUUAUUACUUCCCAAUGCCUUUCUCUAGGCCCAAAUAAUGGUGAAGUGUCAUGUAGUCAAUGUUCACAUAACACCACUAGAGGAGAGACAACAUACAUCUCAUCAAAAUAUCGAACAAAUACCAAAUUCACAUGACUACUAAUAGCAAGACUUCUCCCAUGUCCUCAGGAACAAAAGUAACUACUCACAAAGCAUAAACAUGUUCAUAAUCAGAGGGGUAUUAAUAUGCAUAUAGGAUCUGAACAUAUGAUCUUCCACCAAUUAAACCAACUAGCAUCAACUACAAGGAGUAACUAACACUACUAGCAACCUACUAGCACCAAUCCCGGACUUGGAGACAAGAAUUGGAUACAAGAGAUGAACUAGAAUUUUGAGAGGGGAUGGUGCUGAUGAAGAUGUUGAUGGAGAUUGCCCUCUCCCGAUGAGAGGAGCGUUGGUGAUGACGAUGGCGAUGAUUUCCCCCUCCGGGAGGGAAGUCUCCCCGGCAGAACAGCUCCACCAGAGCCCUAGGUUGGUUCCGCCUCGUGGCGGCGGAUUUUCGUCCGAGAAGAUGGUUUAUGAUUUUUUUUUUCUCAUCUAAAUACUCCAUAUAGCAGAAGAUGGCCACCGGAGGGCCACCAGGGGGCCCACGAGGUAGGGGGCGCGCCCAGGGGGGUAGGGCACGCCACCCACCCUCGUGGGCAGGGUGUGGCCCCCUGGUGAAGUUCUUGCUCUCAGUAUUUUUUAUAUAUUUGGAAAAUAUCUUCCGUGAAGUUUCAUGACUUUUGGAGUUGUGUAGAAUAGGUCUCUAAUAUUUACUCCUUUUCCAGCCCAGAAUCCCAGCUGUCGGCAUUCUCCCUCUUUAUGUAAACCUUGUAAAAUAAGAGAGAAUGGGCAUAAGUAUUGUGACAUAAUGUGUAAUAACAGCCCAUAAUGCAAUAAAUAUCGAUACAAAAGCAUGAUGCAAAAUGGACGUAUCAGUGGACAGUGCGCCAUUACUAGUUUUAACUAGUAAUGGCGUACUAUCCCAUGGUGCGCCAUUACUAACAAUUGUUUUUUAUUUUUAUUUUCAAAACUACUAAUGGCGCACGGUGGGUGUGGAGCGCCAUUACUAUGUCAACUAGUAAUGGUGCACUAUCCCAUGGUGCGUCAUUACUAACAAUUUUUUUCAAAACUACUAAUGGCGCACCACACACCAGGUGCGCCAUCAGUAAUAUGUCAAUAAUGGCGCACCUGUAUCUGGUGUGCCACUCCUAUAUAGCAGUGGCGCACCACAUACAUGGUGCGCCAUUAAUGUCCAUAUCAUCUAUAGCCAUUUUCCUAGUAGUGAGAGGAGCUCUCCCAUCGCGCCCAACUCACCAGAUCUGCAGCCUCUCCGACACAGCCAAGCUACGCCGUCCUACGCGCGCCUCCCCGCGCUCGAAUGCGGCUGCCCCAGCCCGUGCACGCACCAGCGCGGGAGCAGCGCCCUGGAUCCCGCCGAGAUGGGCAGCCCGCGCUGCUGGAGCUCAGAUGGGAGGAGGAAGUGCCCCGCCGCCGCCGAGCCGCGCGGGUUUGCCCAGCGACAUCUGCCAGCGGCGGCGAGGGGAAGAUGACCGAUGGAUCUACGCAAGCGGCGGCUAGGUUUUCGCCUCCCUGGCCGCCCACGGGAGCGACCCAGGAGCGUUUCCUGAAAUAUAGUCCACUCCCUUGAAUUACUAAGCCAAUUUUCCCAUAGUCUCCAUACUAAGUAGCCAUGCAGUUCUUCGACGAAAUCCUUCCACGGUUCAUAGCACAUAACCCCACCGGGCAGGCGCUCAUCAUCUCCACCGUCGUCGACCAUCCUCUCCAUGGCCAGGAAGCACUCCUUCCAGGACGUGCCAGAGCACCUCAACAACACCUCCUUCCACUAAGAUCAUCUCCAGCCGUGCCCCCAACAGGCCCUCCCGAGGCGUUUAUGCUGCGCCGGCGCCCAAAAUUCGGCCCACUCGCGCCCCUAGUAGCCCGUUUUUCGCCGGCUCGGGCUGAAACUGGUGUCGGCGGACCCAAACCGAACCCGGCGCGCUAGGGCGCACCUGGGGGCGCCGGCACAAGCGAAAAGGGGCAUGGGGCCGCUCUGUCUGCGAGUCGAGAGCCUCUUCCCACUGUUUCUUCCCGCCCUCGCCCCCACUUCCCUCUCAUUCUCUCCUUUCCUCCCGCCAAUCUCCCUCCCGCUCGCCUCCCAGCCGCCGCCAUGCCGCCGAAGAAGUACGUGAUCCCCCGCGCUGCGACCACCGCGUCUGCCUCCAUCGCCCAACCGAAGCAAAGGAGGCCUAGGGCGCCGUCGUCCAAGCCACCGGGCAUGACAAACACCGAGUGGAGGGAGGAAGUUCAGCGACGGGAGGCUGACACCGCCAACCGUCGGAACAGGGCAAUUGCCAAGAAGGCCCGUGACAACGCGGUGCGUGCCACUACAGCUACGGCGGACCAAGCCGAGGCCGAGGCGAAUCGCGUGGGGAUGACGAAUCCACCCGGCGGCCACGCCCAGUACGCACCCUGAAGCUAGCAAAGCGUCGGCUCUCCGUCCGGCUUCUCAUCGUCGCCGCAGCCAUGGCGAUGCACGCCGUCGCCAGGCUACGCUGACGGGGACGCGCACGGCGGGUUCAACCCCAACGUCACCUUCCCCCAUGGACACCCGGCCCAGCGCACGCCCCCGCCCCCCUUCACCAGCGUGCAGUACCCUCCAUACAACUACUCGCUGCCAGCUUAUGCGUGCUCCCCGAUGCCCCCUCUCCGCCGUGGCGCGCUGCCCUUCUCACAAGCUUCCACGUCGCACCUCGGCGACACCGACGAGACCGAUGCUGACAUGGACGACAUCAUCGCGGCAGGCUCGGCCGCGGCCGCCGCGUCCCUCGGGUUCGUGACCCCGGAAGACACGGUGGAUCUUAGCGACGGCAUGGACGGCAGUCUCGGCUACAGCGAGGAGGAGCCGGAGGAGGACGAGGAGGAGGAGGAACCGGCGACCGUUCCAGCGAGGAGGCGCAAGAAGAAGAGGGGGGCGGCCAGGACCGGCCAGCCGCGCAUCAAGUGGGCGUCCAAGGAGUAGGAAUGCCUCACCGAAGCGUGGAAAGUCGUCUGCCUCGACCCGACCACCGACACAAACCAGAGCAUCGAGACGUACUGGGAGCGCAUUAAGGCCGAGUUCGACGAGCACAAGCUCGUCGAUCCUUACUUCAAAGGCGUCUAGAUGCAGCGCGGGGCGAAGGCAAUGGCGAACCAUUGGGGGCUCAUCCAGGCGGCGUGCAAAAAAUGGCAUGGGGUCGUCAAGAAGGUCGCGGCUCGCCCGGAGAGCGGCACCAAUGUUGAGGAUUAGGUAUGGCACGCCGGUCUCCCGCUUCUCUUCGUCGUGUGCGCCCGCCAACUGUUUGUUCCUUCGCACAGCUGGUGCGCAUGUUCGCCUUGUAUCGCCUAGGCAACCGCGACCAAGAGUUCAAGUACAUCCACGUUUACAAGCGCAUUGACAAGUGCGAGAAGUGGGUAGAAGUCCAGCGCACCCUCGACAAGGCCAAGGAGACCUACAAGUCGGAUGCGCCAACGUCGGGCGCGUCAGAGGGGCGGCCGGACGGCAACAAACGGGCCAAGAAGGCGAAACACGCCGACGCGGCUACCGCGCGAGUGCAGGAGUCCAUCGAGCAUUACCUCGCCGACGCACAGGCUCGGGCCGUCCUGUGUGAAGAGAAGACCGCGGCGCGGUGGUCGGCGUUGAUGACGAGCAGCGCCGUCAAGCUCGACCUACUCCGGACCAACAUCGCCGCGAAGAAGAGGAACACCGACCUGGCUUUCCUGCUGGGCGGGGCGGACAUGCUCCAGAGCAAAGACGAGGCGGCCAAGACAUGGUACUUGGCAGAGUGUGGUCUCAUCCUGAACCAGCUGCCGUCGACGGCGCCGCCAACUCCCACGCCCAUGCCGCCACCGCCGCCAAGCUCGAGCGAUGAUGCCUACACGACUCCCUGCAGUACAGAAGCCAUGCCGACACCGCCCAACACAGAAGAAGCUCCGACCCCACCAAGCCCGCGCACGACCCCGCCAAGCCCGCGCACGCCAACUACGCCGACGCCGGAGGCCGACCUCGCCGUCUGAUGCGCUGCACGCGCACUCUUUCUUUUGUAAGCUGAACUUUUCAUUUGAUCGCCGAACUAUGGCCACAUGAUCGCCGUCUAUUUUGUGAGCGGGAAUGACUAAGUUUGAAUUUGCCGCGGGUUGGGGCGUCUGGGGGCAUGGCUGGGAGCUAGGUCACCCCCGGGGACCGAUCUAGCGCCGGUUCGCCCCAUGCCGCUCUUUUUUGACGCCUUGGGGGCUGAACCGCUGGAGAUUCUCUAAGUAGCCUAUAAUAGUGUAACACCCAUGAUGUGGCUAUAUCUCCCACGUGUCGGAGCACGACUUAGAGGCAUAACUGCAUAGUAGGCAUGUCGCAAGAGGGGUAAUCUUUACACAUCCCAUGUACUGAAUAAGAAAGGGAUAAAGAGUUGGCUUACAAUCGCCACUUCACACAAUACAUAAAUAUAGCAUUACAUCAUCCAGAAUACAAUCAAGGUCCGACUACGGAACCAAAUAAAGAAAGACAACCCCAAAUGCAUAGAUCCCCGAUCGCCCCAACUAGGCUCCUCUACUGAUCACCGGAAAGGAAACAUAAUAACGUCCUGAAUCCUCGUCGAACUCUCACUUGAGUUUGAUCGCGUCCCCUGCACUGGCAUCGUCGGCACCUGCAUCUAGUUUUUGGAAGUAAUCUGUGAGUUACGGGGACUCAGCAAUCUCACACCCUCGCGAUCAAGUCUAUUUAAGCUUAUGGGUAGGAAAAGGUAGUGAGGUGGAUCUGCAGCAAGCACUAGCAUAUAUAGUGGCUAACUUACGCAAAUGAGAGCGAGAAGAGAAGCAAAGCACGGUCGAUAAGCUAUCAUGAUCAAGAAGUGAUCCUGAAACUACUUACGUUCAAGCAUAACACGAGACCGUGUUCUCUUCCCGGACUCCGCCAAAAAGAGACCAUCACGGCUACACAUGCAGUUGAUUCAUUUUAAUUAAGUUAAGUGCUAGGUUUUCUACAACCGGAUAUUAACAAAUUCCCAUCCGCCCAUAACCGCGGGCACGGCUUUCGAAAGUUCAAAACCCUGCAGGGGUGUCCCAACUUAGCCCAUCACAAGCUCUCACGGUCAAUGAAGAAUAUUCCUUCUCCCAGGAAGACCCGAUCAGACUCGGAAUUCCGGUUACAAGACAUUUCGACAAUGGUAAAACAAGUCCAGCAAAAGCACCCGCUGUGCUGACAAAUCCCGAUAGGAGCUGCACAUAUCCCGUUCAUAGGGCACACCGGAUAAGCUAAGCGUACAGGAGCCAACGUAACCCAAGUUUCCAAGGGACGCCCCCGCACGGUGCUCUAGUUUGGACCAACACUCAGAGGAGCACUGCCCGGGGGUUUAAAAUAAAGAUGACCCUUGAGUCCGCGAAACCCAAGGGAAAAAGGCUUAGGUGGCAAAUGGUAAAACCAAAGUUGGGCCUUGCUGGAGGAGUUUUAUUCAAGGUGAACUGUCAAGGGGUUCCCAUUAUAACCCAACCGCGUAAGGAACGCAAAAUCAAGGAACAUAACACCGGUAUGACGGAAAACUAGGGCGACAAGAGUGGAUCAAAACACCAGGCAAAAGGCCGAGCCUUCCACCCUUUACCAAGUAUAUAGAUGCAUUAAAGUAAACAAGAUAUAAUAAUGAUAUCCCAACAAUAACCAUGUUCCAACAUGGAACAAACUCCAUCUUCACCUGCAACUAGCAACGCUAUAAGAGGGGCUGAGCAAAGCGGUAACAUAGCCAAACAACGGUUUGCUAGGAAAGGUGGGAUAGAGGCUUGAUAUAGCAAUAUGGGAGGCAUGAUAUAGCAAGUGGUAGGUAUCUUGACAUAGCAAAAGAGCGAACAACUAGCAAGCAAAGAUAGAAGUGAUUUCGAGGGUAUGGUCAUCUUGCCUGCAAAGUUCUCCGAGUUGACGUAAGCUUGAUCCUCGUAAGCGUACUCAACUGGUUCCUCAAUCACGUAUUCGUCUCCCGACUCUACCCAAAGCAAGAACACAAGCAAAGGAAACGACAAUCAACCACGGUGCAAUGCGCAAGCAACAAGAUGCAAAACAUGGCAUGAUAUGCGGGAUGUGAUAUGCAAUGCAUACGCGUGCUCUGGAAGUAAAAGAUUGAUCAAGGCAUCAACUUGGAAAACCAAGUGCGCCGCUGGAAAGAUGAGUUGAUUUCGGUCGAAAUCGAUAUAAAGAUCACCGGAAUCGGAUGCACGGUUUGCAAAUGGCAAGCAAAACAAGAAUGGCACAAUUCUGCGAUUAACAGCACGAUGCCAUCUAAAAUGCAACAAGAAACUAAUAUGUUGCACUCCAACAUAGCAACAAAGCACAUGGCAGUGAUCUACUCAAGAUGCUUGACAAAAGAUGAACACUGAGCUACGGCUAAAUCACACCAGAGCAGGUUCAAACAAGCAUGGCAAAUGUGCAAAAGAUAUCAGCUUCACAAACUUAGUGAAAAUACUAACAUGCCAGGAAUUAACAUCAGGAAGCAAUGUUUAUAGCAAGCAAACAACAUGCUACAGGAACAGAACAUAGAAAAAAAGACAUGGCAUGAAUCUACUCAAAGCAUAGAACAAAAGUCCAUUACUGACCAUGAGCCAAAGGGGCACAGAAAAUAUGAUGGCACCCAUGUAAACAUAGUAAGUUUCGUUAACAGAUUCAGACUUAGCAGAAAACAGAGCAUGGCAAAACAGAGUUAUGAAGGCCUCUUUGCGAGCUCGACUCACUCACCACAAGGCAUUUCAUGACAAACUAAGCAAACUACCAGCAAGAAGACAUGAUCAUUAAGCUAACCAAAGCAAGAACAAGUUUAUAGCAUGCUUGGAUCAACUACAACAACCUUGGCAAAAUUAAUUAAUACGUAAACAAUCUACCAGGAACAUUUUGUAGCAAAAGUAGAGCAAGAUUAAGUCAUGCUAGGGCACUCCAUAAAUGCAAACACGGGCAUGGAUGGAUAUAGCACAAUCAUAUGUACAAAUCAUCCUUACUGAACAUACUCAAAAGAAGCAUGGAUCUCACUGUAGCAACAUGAAUACAUGGCAUAAAAAUAACAGCAGGAAAAUGACAGUGAAAUUCUAAGUCCCUGAAAUCAGCAAUAUCAUGAGAGCUACUUUGCAUGCUUGUGCUCGUCACCACAAUGAUCACAAAAAUACAUGGCAUACACCCCUAUAAAGAUGGCAUGGCAUAACUCAAAACACAUGUAGAGCACAUGUUCAUAUGCAGCACACAACAAUUGUAGCAAAAAUGACAAAACCUCAUACUCUGCUAAGAAACAACAUCUAACAUUUUACAGCACUCUUGCAUCAGUCAUUUGGGCAUCAAGAUGGACUCAAACAAGCAGACCACAAUGGAACAAAAUGAAGAGCACAUCAUGAUGAAUACUUUGAUAUAUCAUGCAUGCAAAAUGGAGUUAUGGAUGAGAAGUUAUGGCACGUUGAAUAGGGCUUCAGAAUGCAAAAUAAAAUGACUAAGGAAAUCUGGAGAGUCAACCUGCUCAGAUCUAGGGUUCGGGCACGGAAUCCGAGGUUUGUCGGGAUCUCGCCGGAGUUGCAUCGCGGUGGCCCGAGUUUGCCAGAGAAGAGGAAGGAGAGGACGGGGAGGUUGGAUCCGGCNNNNNNNNNNNNNNNNNNNNNNNNNNNNNNNNNNNNNNNNNNNNNNNNNNNNNNNNNNNNNNNNNNNNNNNNNNNNNNNNNNNNNNNNNNNNNNNNNNNNNNNNNNNNNNNNNNNNNNNNNNNNNNNNNNNNNNNNNNNNNNNNNNNNNNNNNNNNNNNNNNNNNNNNNNNNNNNNNNNNNNNNNNNNNNNNNNNNNNNNNNNNNNNNNNNNNNNNNNNNNNNNNNNNNNNNNNNNNNNNNNNNNNNNNNNNNNNNNNNNNNNNNNNNNNNNNNNNNNNNNNNNNNNNNNNNNNNNNNNNNNNNNNNNNNNNNNNNNNNNNNNNNNNNNNNNNNNNNNNNNNNNNNNNNNNNNNNNNNNNNNNNNNNNNNNNNNNNNNNNNNNNNNNNNNNNNNNNNNNNNNNNNNNNNNNNNNNNNNNNNNNNNNNNNNNNNNNNNNNNNNNNNNNNNNNNNNNNNNNNNNNNNNNNNNNNNNNNNNNNNNNNNNNNNNNNNNNNNNNNNNNNNNNNNNNNNNNNCCGGGGUGCCCUGUGGCGCGUCCUGGUUCGUCGGGCGGCGGCGGGCGGACGUGUCCGACCCGAUCCGGAUGUGUCCGGCGGCGGGGGGGGAGAAAUUUAGGGUUUGGGACCCGAAUUUAAGGAGGGGUGCACAUAUUUAUACAUAGAAGGAGGUGGGAGUGUCCAAAUAAGGUGUAAUUUUCGACCACGCGAUCGUGAUCCGAUGGCGAAGGACAUGGGAUAGGUUUGGAUGGGUUAUUGGGCCACUUUGGAGGGGUGUUGGGCUGCAACACACACGAGGCUUUUUACGGUUCCCCGGUUAACCGUUAGAGUAUCAAACGAACUUCAAAUGGCACGAAACUUGACAGGCGGUCUACCGGUGGUGUACCAAGGCCUCUUGGCAAAUCUCGGUCCAUUCCGAGAAAGUUUAACACCCGCUCACGAAAAGAGACAAAAGAGGGCGCUGGAGGACGUAGGAGUGCCGGAUUGCAAAACGGACAACGGGGAAAAUGCUCGGAUGCAUGAGACGAACACGUGAGCAAAUGAGAUGCACAUGAAGGCAUGAUGUGAAAUGCAUGACAUGAGCAAAAUGCAAAACGAAGACAAAACUCAACCACGAAUCUCAUAACUUAAAGCCGGAAAUGCCAAGAGUUGGAAUACAAAUAUGAUAAGUUACAUCGGGGCAUUACAAAUAGAUCCAUUAGUAGUAGGUAAUAAACCGUGUACCCCGGUCGCCGGCCGGUCUGUAGCCCUGUAUAAUGUUCAGCGAGCCACGAUCAGGUGUACUCCCUUCGUCUAGGUGUGUAAAUCAUCUUACGAAAAUCAAAUAAUCCCAAAAUACUUAGACAUGGUACAUUAACUCGCAUGUCGUUUCUUGUUUCAUAACAUAUCAACUAAUAAGAGUUGUGGGCCAUGUAUGCUUUAAAUUACUUGAGCUAUCAAACACGACAUGCAGUGGCUAGUUCAUUGCAUGCAAUGUUAUUAAUUAGCAAAAAACAUUAAGUUCUCUCGUUUUCCCCUUUACCUUGGUCGUGGUGCACAAAUAAGAUGACUUGCACACCUAGACGGAGGAAGUACUGCGCUUCCUUCUGAUAAUGUAUGGAAUAAUGUGGUCAUGCUUUCCAUCUUAGUAUCUUUCCAGACAUCUUUAAUUAACAACUAGAAGUACUUUUUGUACUACAACUCUGGUGCAGGUGUACUCACUCAUCUCACCUUUUUUUACCAUUUGACAUGCGUCAGAGCAUUGCAAAAGACCGAGAGAACACUAGACUAAUAGUUCAUUCUUUUUGAACUCGUACUACUUUCCUCUGUUCUGUCACGAAAUGCCACCUGACCUCACACUUUAAAUCUUUUUGAUACAGUUUAUUAUUGGAUGCCUUGGCAAAUAAGGAUGGAAAUUUUAGCAGUUUGGAAACAAGCUUUCUGUACUAGCGGAGCCCNNNNNNNNNNNNNNNNNNNNNNNNNNNNNNNNNNNNNNNNNNNNNNNNNNNNNNNNNNNNNNNNNNNNNNNNNNNNNNNNNNNNNNNNNNNNNNNNNNNNNNNNNNNNNNNNNNNNNNNNNNNNNNNNNNNNNNNNNNNNNNNNNNNNNNNNNNNNNNNNNNNNNNNNNNNNNNNNNNNNNNNNNNNNNNNNNNNNNNNNNNNNNNNNNNNNNNNNNNNNNNNNNNNNNNNNNNNNNNNNNNNNNNNNNNNNNNNNNNNNNNNNNNNNNNNNNNNNNNNNNNNNNNNNNNNNNNNNNNNNNNNNNNNNNNNNNNNNNNNNNNNNNNNNNNNNNNNNNNNNNNNNNNNNNNNNNNNNNNNNNNNNNNNNNNNNNNNNNNNNNNNNNNNNNNNNNNNNNNNCAUAAGGGCAUCUCGAACGCGGACCCCCAAACCGUCUGCAAACGUUCAAACCAUGCGGUCCAGACAUGUUAUGUCAUCCAACGUGGUUCUGUAUUGGUCCGCUUGGUGGUCCUGACACACUUUUUCUGGCAAAUCGGAGAACUUGGGGAGGGGGGGGGGGGCUUUGUAGGCAUCCAGAAUGCUGCCACGUCCACUCCUAAGUGGCAUGGCCCACCAAAUAACCCCACCCGCAUCUCCCGUGCUUUCCUUUCAAUGCACACGCCGCUUCCCGCGCCGCAUCAUGGCCGGCCCAGAGCACGCAGCAGCCGGCAUUGAUGUCAUGUGAUGUGAUAGUACGGAAGGGCGGCGUUGACUGAUGCGACCUCUCGGGAGUCGCCGCUUCAAUGCAGACGCAUCUUCCCGACGAACCAAUUUCGACCGCUGCGCCGCAUUGAAGCAGCUGACCGUCUGUUCUCAUUUCCUAGCCGUGGCCUUAUAAGCUGUGCUCCGGCGCUGUCCACAUCGCUCCGCACAUCCUCCUCCUCCCAUCCCUUCUUCCUCCACAACUCCGGCGAUGGGCAAGUCGUGGGCCUCCGUGCCGGCAGGCGGGCGGCUCCGGAGGAUCUUGGCGAUGCCGCCCACAAACCCCGGGGUUGUCGUCCUCAUCGGCGGGCGGCUCCUCGCAGAAGGCAGAGAUCAUCAUCUCCUCUGGCGACGAGGAGGACCAGUCAGCACCGGUGUUCGCCGUCAUGGAAGAGGAGUACGAUCAACAGAUGAAGGUAAUGCUAUGUCGCUCCUUCCUCCACGUCAAUGGCCCGGUGGCUCCACCGGAGACGCUCCUCCGCAUGAAGCCUGAGCCCACCUACCCCCUGCGCUCUCCCUCGCGCAACUGCGGUGUCCGGAUCGGAUGUCGCAUCAAGGACAAGCCCCUCUCAUCGCGGCGAUGCACCAAGCAUGAGCGACUCUCUCCGCCGCCCCACCACGUGAAGGAGGAGUCGCACUCUCCGCCGCCCCCAUUGAGUCAAGGAGGAGCACCGAUCACCACCGCCCUUGCCCCGUGCGAUCACCAUGAAGGUGCGCAGUCGCAUUCGCCACUAUCUCGGUGGUGGCAACAGUUCAUCAUCCCGGAGCAUCGUAACGGUGUAGGAGUACGCCGACAGGGAGCGACGCCGGCGGGAUAGGCACAACGCGGCGCGCCAGUCUGAGUUCAUGGACUCCGAUGUUCUGCCGCCACACAUCGCGGCGGACCAGGACCUGACAUACACCUAGGUCCUGGAUCGCUCCAUGACGAUGGUGAGCAAGUGCCAUCUUCGUCACCUCGACCAGGAGAUGGCCCAGUACAACGAAGAGUGGUCUCUCAGUGAGAUUGUUGUCGCCAACGCUGCCUCCUCCAAGGCCCGCCACCAUCUCCCCCUGUCCACAUCAUCGGUGGCCGCGGCCGCAUUGUGCACAAUGGAGCAGAAAGCGGGGAGAAUCAUCUGCGAGCGUCAGGCGGCUACCGGGAAGCCCUGCCGCGACGCCGCACCCUUCCGCCGCCCGAAGCCCAACGACGUCGAUGAUGGAAACGACUCCGGUGAUGGUGCCAGAGGAACUGCUGGCCAGCCCGGCACGGUCUACGAGGUCACCAUGAAGUAUAGGGUAGUGUAGGAUUAGGUUUUUUUAAGGUUUUUAGUUCAUCGUACGAAAUAUUGUCCGGUUUUAUAAAAAAAAAUAUUUAAGUUUAAAUGAAUAUCGUUCGGUUUGUUUGAGUUUGCAUCAAAUUUGGUCAUUUUCAUUAAAAUUCAUUUAAAGUGUAAAUGGACAUAUGCGCCUAACUUUGGAUGGUCGCCUCAUGUAUCCGUGUCCGCGAACUAGACCCCCUGUUGGCAGACGGAUUCCACAGCAAAUUUGCGGGACAACGUUGGAGAUGUCCUAAGAGUAUCUAAAACCGGAGCUCCAAUAUCUAUUCUAAACUUCUCAAAUUGCUUAAUCAAAUCCCACUAAGUUACUAUGGUAGCGUCUACAUGCAAUUGACAGUAAAACCCGUCACUAAUUGUCAAGCUACCAUCUGGCAGGCGUUCGUUGUGACAUCCAUGCCAAAUCUUCAACAACAUCAUGAAGCUGCUAGGUGGCACCAACCUAACCAAAGUAGCAUGGCAUGGCCACACCAUUUGAAACCCAAAUGGGAAUCACAAAACAAUUACAAGAUAAUGGUUGAUUUCUUUACCCGAUAGGAGACAUUAUACUUUCAUCGUGCUCUAGAGGCCGCCGUCCCUCGCCGCUGUCAAGAUCCAGGCGAAUGGAGGUUGUGGAAGCAAUGAGUGGGAAAUAGAUCAACGGGAGGACGUGAUUGAAAGUGGCCGGAAAAAGGGGCUCUAAUGACCAAAACUUAGGGAGGUGCAAUGGUGCAGGUGAGCCCACAAUUAAGAAAGACACACAUAAGAGUGGCAAAAAUGGAAAUCAUGGCCUUAACAGAGAGCAGUGGCGGAGACAGGGGCACGAGCAGGGCCUGGCCCCCCUAUCAAUCGACAAUUCUUUUGGCUGCUACGAGUAAUUAGUGUUGGAUAAGGGAAUACAUGUUGUUGCCACCUUAACUCAAACGACGGUGAAAACUGAGAGUAUAAAAUCUGGAAAAAAAAAAAGGCCCAUAAGAAAGCCCAUUUAUGCCCACGGCCUUCUCCAUUCCUAGUACGCUCCCGGCUUUAUUUUAUUAUAUCCUAAAAAAGGGGAGCUUUAGGCGAGACUUCCUAUACGACGCAUUUUGCAUCAAAUAGGAACCCAAUGCACAUGGGGGCACGCUAACUGGGCCGGCCCACACGGUGUGAGAUGGAAAAUGGCAAAUGCGAAAAAGGAGAGUUGGCGGGAUUCGUACCUAUGACCGCACGCUUUUGUGCGAGUGCGGCUAGCCAAAGCGCCUAUCAAGUGUUAAUGAUGAAACUACAACACGAUACUAGAAGACCAAAAUCCAGCCCCAAAACAUAACACUUGGAAAACAAUCGUGAGCAGAUUUCUAAAAGAUGGAGCAAAAAAAUUGUACUUCCAAACAAUCAUGACAGAAACGACAAAAUUUUCAAAACUGAUGAAUACAUUUUAAUUUUGAACACAAAAUUGAAAAUCCCGUACAUCAUUUGAAUUUAGAGAACAAAAUUUACACAUGAGAUUUUUAAAAUCCCGAAUAUGUUUUGAAUUUAUAGAACAAAAUUUUGAAAUCAAGAACAAAAUUUGAACAUGGGGACAAAAAAUUAAAAACGCCGAACAUUUUUCAAUUUAGACAUUUUCUAUUAAAAUCAAGACCAAAAAUUUAACAUGGGAACAAAAAAUUGAAAAUCCCGAACAUCUUUCGAAUUUAGAGAAUCAAAAUUUGGACAUGGGAUUUUUUAUUAAAAUCCCGAAUAUGUUUUGAAUUGAGAGAACACAAUUUUGAAAUCAAGAACAAAAUUUGAACAUGGGGACAAAGCUAAAAACGCCGAACAUUUUUCAGUUUAGAAAUUUUCCUUUAAAAUCGAGACCAAAAAUUUAUCAUCGGAACAAAAAAUAAAAAAACGAACAUUUUUUGAAUUUUGAGAAGAAAAUUUGAAAAUUCAAAAGUUCUGAACAAUUUUUGGAAAUGCAAACAAUUUUUAAUACAUGAUAGUAGAAACAUUUUCGAAAAUAUGAAAAUCCUAUAUGUUUUAUGAAUGUUCGAUCAUUUUUUGGAAAGAAGCAAACAAAAAUUCUGAUCAAAUGAACAUUUUUCGAACUUCUGAACAUUUUCCAAAUUUCUGAUUUUUUGUAAAGCAGGAACAUUUUUUGAAAUUUCGUAUAGUAUUUGUAAAAAUAAGAUUUUUUUUAAUUUUCUAAAAAAAUCUGGAAAACCAAAAUAAAUUUGAAAAGCAAUCUGAAAAACAAAGAAAGGAAAACAGGAAAGGAAAGAAAAAUACAGUUAAUAAAAUAAACAGAAAUUGGAAAAGUAGAGAAAAGAAAAAAGGGAAAAUUAAAAAUAAAAAGAAAAAAUAAACAGAACAGAAAAAAAAGCCGGCUUAGGGGCCUUCUAGAAGUUUCCCUAAACCGAAGAAAACUGGCUGGAAACAUCUAGAAGGUUCCCAAAACUGGGAAAGCUGAAACACCUAAACGGGCCGGCCAAUCCUAACGCGACCGAUUGAUCCCUAUGCGAAACAGCAACACCUUGACGCAAAGCGCGUCAAAUAGGAAUUUCCAAUUUAGGCGCCGCAUCAGCUUCGUGGCGCCCGUGCGCCCCCGCUCGUGGACUGGCCCAAGCGCUCGACAACUGGUUCCCUGCUUCGCUCUCAUUCGAUCGUGUUGACUGGGCGCGGUUGACCAGCUGUCAACCGUUGACUUUAGAAACAAACACGAUUUGUUUGUGAGAAACGUGAAUUAAAAAUGUACACGGGUUUUCAAAAAAAUUCAAAAACUAGUAGAAAGAGAAAUCCAAUAUUAGAAAAAGUUCACAAAAUUGAAAAAACAGUUCAUCAAUUUAGAAAAAAGUUAAUGGUAUUUGGAAAAAAAUUAGGAAAAGGUUCAUCAAAUUUGGAAAAAGUACAUCGAUUUGGAAAAAAAUUAUCGGAUUUGAAAAAACGUUCAUCGGAUUUGAAGAAAGUUCAUCUCACCAAUUUUGAAAAAUGUUCAUUAAAUUCGAAAAAAGUUCAUCAAAUUUGAAAAAAAAUUCCAUGAACUUUGAGAAAAGUUCAUCGAAUUGUAAAUAUAGUUCAUCAAUUGAAAAAAGUUCACCGAAUGGAAGAAAGGUUCACCGAAUUUUAAAAUGCAAUAAAAAAGGAAAAAUAAAUAGAAAAAUGGAAAAAAAGCGAACUGGGAUAAGAGAAAAGGAGAAAAAAAAGUUGUUAUGCACGAAGUGAGCGAUAUCCGUAUUGGUUAGCGCGCUGAGUUAGGAACGUAGAGGUCUCGAGUUCCAUUCUUUGUAUGCGCUCAAUAUUUUUGCAGUUUAAAACGGAAUAAGGAAAAACACCAAUGGGCCAGCCCAGCUCGGAGGGGGUGUGUGUGCGCCGGUUGCGAAUUGUACGUUAGCGGGGGCUACGGGCGCCGUUUAGGAAUCGCCUAAAAAAGGUUUACCCGGCGUGAUUAACGUACGACUUGAGGCGAUUACAUCCCAGAAAAAACUUGAGGUGAUUAGAGCUGGCGGCGGCCGCUGCCUAAUCAGGCGCCACCAGCACCGCGAUUGGUAAUCUGUAGACUAGACUCUUUCAAUAUUCUAGCGGUCCAGCGCCAAGGUUAGCAUUAUUGAGUGCUACCCCUCUCAACUAUCAUCUUGUACGUGUUAAAAUUAUACAUCGAAUUUUAGUUAUUUUGAUGACAAGGUCAAUGAUUAUAGUUCAUUUUUAAUUUCAUUUGAUUGUUUGUUUUGUGAUGUGAUCAUGAAGAGCAAAACAUCAUAAAGAUUGAUUUUUAAACACAAGGCUAAUGCGCGAGUUACCAAUCCUAGUCCAAUGGAAUAUUACUUACUUUGAAAUUACAUGAUGAUAUACAUUCAUAGGAAAUUACUAGCAAUUAGGUUAUCUUUGGAUGAAAUUAUUAAUAGUUUUUUAUCUUAUUGGUAGUUGUAGGAAAAAAUUAAACUAAUACAAAUGUACUUGUGUUUUGCGUUGAAACGAUACAUUAUUAUGGUACUUAUUUUUCACGUUGCACAUAUUUUUUUUUACAACUUGGCUCGGCUCCGCCUAUACUCAAAUCCUGGCUCAGCCCCUUAUGGAGGGCUCCCACAUCGACAAGAACACUCAAAGAGUCUUGUCAUCAAUAUUGGUUGGUACACGUCAGAGUGGAAAAUGGAAAUUAUGGCCUCAAGAGUGGGCCCCCCACAUUGCCCAAAGGGGCCAAUCGAGUCUCCUGGUGGUUGUUGUUGAUGUGGUGAAGUGGAGGGUCCAAAAUGGGAGGAAACGACGCAAAGUCGAUGGUAACUGGCAGUGACGACUUGUGGGGGAAUGCAUCUAAUUUUUAAAAAAUCCCUAGUGGCCCAAAUCGAAAUAUGGAAGCUUAAGUGGCAGGACUCAAAUAUGCAAUUUCGGUAGUCGCAUAGACCAAUUCUUCCCCAAAAUAUGAUAUGAAAACUUUUUUAUGAUGGGUUUGAGGAUAUUGAUCGGUAUCGUACAUGUUAAUAUUUCUUUCUUAUAAACUAGAUCAAAGUGUAAUCAAACAAAACAAAUAUGCAUUCUAUUUUGAAAUGAGGGGAGUAGGUGGCUAUUUCUUGGUACUAGUACCAAUGACAUUUUAUUGGACUAGGUAAUUGCCUGUGCAUUGCAACACGGCCGAUCUAUCACUAGUAGAAAAGGAGCCAUUUGUCCCGGUUCAAGAGGGCCUUUAGUCCCGGUUCUGGAACCGGGACUAAAGGGUCGGUACUAAGCUUGAGCAUGAAGUCACACAUUUCACAGUUUGAGUUUGAAACUAUUAUUCUAAAAAAUAAUAAUUAUUUAGUAACACAAAUAUUUCUUGAAUAAGCAGUUUGACCAUAGUUUGACCAGAUUUGACCAAAAUUCAAAAAAUGAAAUAAUUAUUUAGUAACACUAAUAUCCUUGAAUAAUUAUUUAGUAACACUAAUAUCCUUGAAUAAUUAUUUAGUAACACUAAUACUUCUUGAAUAAGUAGUUUGACCAUAGUUUGAUCUGAUUUAACUAAAAUUCAAAAAAACUGAAAUUUGAGCAUAUCUUUUUUUUCUUUUAGAAUUUGAGGAUUAUAAAAAUUUGCAAACAGGCCGUAGGCGGUCAAAAUUGGAUGCGGAUUUUCGUGCUGAUAUAUUAUACAUUUUUUUUCCGACAUCGUAUGCAAAAGUUAUAGCCGUUUUACUUUUUCAUAACACUUUUUUGCAAAGCAUGUCCAAUUUUAAGUUUUUUAGUUUUCCUAACUAGCAGAUGUAGUAAUAUAACUACAUCUCGAAGGAUUUUUUUGAAGUUUUUAUCAGUUUCUUUUGUUUUACUCAAAAUUUAAAUGGCGAUACGUGCCGGUGGUGGGGGGUAAAGUUUGAGAAAUGGGCCCUUUAGUCCCGGUUUGAAACACGAACCGGGACUAAAGGGCCCAUUUGAACCGGGACUAAUGCUCACAUUAGUCCCGGUUCGUAAUGCAACUGGGACUAAUGUGUAUAUUGUCAUGUGACCGAAGCCCUGUUUUCUACUAGUGUAUUCUGAUGGUUCAUGCACAUCAUGACAUUUUUUGCUUAUAGUACCGCAGGAUCACUCUUCUUCCUCAAUCUCUCACUCACCCCCCGUGCGCUCUCUCUCUCUCUCUUCUUCCACCUUGUCUGAAUGUUAGAUAGGAAUACUUGCCUAGAGACCAGAUGUCGGACUUGGAGCCAAAUGGAAUGUCAGCAAGAAGUUCAGGGCAUAUGUAACUGGGCGUUCCUACAACCUUCAAAAGAGACAUGGUAUAUCAAAUCAUAAGCAACUUAGAAAGAGAAAGACAUACAUAGGGGCAGUGGCGGAGCUUGGCCCAGAAAACUGGGCGGGCCGACAGUAGGAAAGAACUAUUGGGAUGGUGUUUCAUGGCCCAAAAGUAAGUAUACACUACAGAAAAAUCGAAUGGGCUGGGCGGGCCACGGCCCAUUCGGCCUUGCUGUAGCUCCGCCACUGCAUAGGGGUUGAGCAAGAACAACUUACUGAUGAAGCUAAAUCAUCCGAAGUCAAUACUUUUGCCAAAAUCACCUAUGUCAGACAACAUAUAUUCAAAACACAAAAUUUGUCGUCAGUUCAUACAAGUAUUCACAGUGCAGUUAUUUCCAUUUAUUUUUUCGUGAGAGCAUACUUACCGAGCCGUAUAAUUUGGUCCUUUGUAAGAAAAAAAAAACAAUGCAUGGUGAGUAACCUGCUAGGAUUAACUGAACUGCAAUUAUCAAAUAAAGUCGCUACGUACUAUUAUCAGAAGUUGUCCCAGGCCCUUGAGUCGCCCACCUCCCAGGGCAACUCGGGUGACGGUGAGAUCUAGUCCACCAGGUCCCUCUCACACCUUCUCUCCCCCCUCGCCGCCGCUCUAUGGACUCGGCAGGGCUAUGCACGUGCAGAUCCGGCGGCGGCGGGGCCCCUGGCACCCUGGUGUGGCUUGUCGGGCGGCUCAAGCGAUGGGUGGACGACGCGGCGCUCCUCCGCCCACGUCGCUAGGCCCAGUGGUGGUGGAGGACUGUGAUGGUCGUUGUUGUGCGCCCAUGUCACCACAAUCCUCUUCUUCAAGAAUGGGAUCCUGCCCAGAUCCAUGGAGGAGGCGUGGUGGGCGCAGUGCGGGCGCACGCGCGCGGAUGGCGUCCAAUCUGGUAGCAUGAUCAACCAUGAUGGUGGCGGUGGCUACCUCCGGCGGUCAGGUGUCCUUCACGCUGAUUUUGUCCGGUGGGCGGCUUGGCGGCGCCUCCAGCCAGAUCCGAUCUAGCCGGUGCAGCCGGUGGUGGUCGCCAUCUCCUCCAUCGGAGGUGGUCGGUCUGAGGCUGGAUGAUCAGAUCUCGAGAUCUGUCAUCUAGUUCCGGCUGCGAGUCGGGAUGACAUUGUUGCCGGUGAAAACCGAGCCGAUGGCAGGCGAUGACGGCGUUAUGCGCCAUUACCUUGAUGAAGGCAUCGUCAUGCAACGACUGUCGACCUACUCGUGCUGCUCCGGAGGAAACCCUAGGAUCUGGCCUUGCAGAUCGGACGAUGACGGUACUGCGGUGUCGUUUCUCUCUUGGGAGCAUCAUUUGUGAAGCAACGCUGGAAGACAGAGGCAGGAGAUGGAGCGGCUUCGUCUGGCACGGAGGUUCGAUGGGAUGUCUAAGUCAUGCCUGACUGACAGGUGCUAUGAUGUGUCAUGCCUGGUCGGCAGGUGCUACGCACGACAGAUCUUUCAUAAUCUUUGUAUCUGGAUUGACGAACGUGGGGCGAUGGCGCUGUUAGGUGCCGUGGUGGCGUUGACGGAUGGACGGACUGACAAGGAUGAUGUGGAUCUCUCUCUUGAAGAUGGGUCAGCAGUCCGAUGAUGAUGACGGCGUCUAAAACGUGUGCAUAUGUGGUGUACACUUUAGGUCUACUGCAUCAAUUGUUCAUUCCGAUACUUAUGUGGAUGGAUCGGCGACGACACCGGUUUAGAUAUGGGGAGUGAGAGAUCUCCACAUAAUCAAGUUUUGUAGGUGUAAGUGGUGACUUCGAGUGGUUUGAUGUAUAUUCUUGUUAGACCUUGGUGAAAUAAUAAAUAAAGAUGGCCGCAUGCAUCGCUUGAUGCAGAGGCCGGGGAUUUAAACCUCUUUUUCCAAAAAAAUAAUAUUAUCAGAAGUUGAGCAACUAAAAAUGCAUGGACAGACUCGCUUACUUUAUUGCCUGAUCAGGGCGGCUUGGGAAGGCCGGCGGCUCCACAACGUGUGGGCACUAUGAGAAGAGUUGUGAUGUUGCUCCUCGUCACUGGUUAAUUGUCCAAUGCUACUGCCACACAAUUUUGCAAACACGGUAAUGAAAAGGCCAAACCAUAACUCCACGCUUACCUUAGAAGGCAGAUCAACAAUUAAAAUUGAGUCAGUGAUUAGAAUCCUGCAGCCUCGCGUGGUUGUUCAUUGACACAACAGAUAGAACUACUGCUAUGAAGAGAAUCAAUCUAAUAGAUACGUGUCCCUGGAAAGAGUAUGAACUUGGGAUUCCCAAUUGGCGACGGCUUGGUCGUCGGACGAGCACAUGCGCGCAUAUGUCCUGGACGAGCUUUUCGGCCAGGCCCAGGCGUCUCCUCCUAGCACCGAUGUUGCGGACCCGCCUCAAACCUGAACCAUAGAUUGAUGCAACCGUGAUGGUCCUCAUCACAUUUUAGAUUGAUGCGGCAGUGUCGGGCUCAACACGUAGCGGCAUCCGGGCAGGGGCAUGUACUGUGGAGUGUGCCGUCAAUGACUGCCAACACAGGUCGGUGUUGGCUUAAGCUCAUUCACUGCUGGGCUGUGUAGCUUAGGGUCAUUUUGCUUUUCUGUUUUGCUGUAAUAAUGUGUGUGCAUGGACAUGACAUGCGCAUGCACGUAGAUGGUGAUGUGUGGCGUGCUCGCCCACUCCCAACUCCUUCCUAGUUUCUCUCCCAGUGGACUUGGUGCUUUGAUUCGUGGUCGUGGGAUGGCGCGGCCGGCUCGGAUCAUGGCAUGCCCACCGGGAGUUGGUUAGCUAGGCCGUUGUAUCUAGCAUAUAGGAAGGAAGAGAAAUAACAGAAGAAAAACUGUGAGGUUUGACAGCGCAAUACCCUCUCUCUCUCGCGAGUUCUCCAUCCUCUCUCCCUCAUGCUCGAUCCGGCAACGACAGUCGGCUGGGCGAGAGAGGAAGGAGGAAGACCGGCGAUGAUAAUUACAGAGAGUCAGAAGCAGCAGCAUGGGUGACAGGGUGGUCGGUGGUGCGUUGGUGCGUUGCAGGGAGGCAUCAAGGGCGGCGGCGGCAUAUGAGUGGCUGGAGGCGGCCGUCACUAGUAAAAAACAGGGCUUUGGUCACGGGGCAGUUUUCACAUUAGUCCCGGUUCAGUUAAGAACCGGGACUAACGUGACCAUUUAUCCCGGUUCGUACGGCUAAGGCAUUACUCCCGGUUUACCUAGGUCCUUUAGUCCCGGUUCGUGCCACGAACCGGGACUAAAGGGUGUGAUGCCCAUUAGUCCCGGUUGGUGGCACCAACCGGGACUAAAGGUUAGACCUUUAGUACCGGUUGGUGCCACCAACCGGGACUAAUGGGUUUUGAGGCAUUAGUACCGGUUCAUGGCACGAAUCGGUACUAAAGGUCCCAUUUCAAAACUCCCCCGACCGCCUUUUCAGUUUUAGAAAAAACAAAAGAAAAUGAUGGAAAUGUCAAUAAAAUAAAAUAAAAUAAGUUUCCCAUGUGAUAUGUGGUCUACUUGUUGGGAAAAUUUACAAAUAUGAAUUUCGACUUUAUUUGCAAAAUUUCUUUGGAAUUUGUAAAAUGGGCAUAACUUUUGCAUACGAACUCGGAUUAAAAAGUUUUUUAUAUGAAAAAUCAUCUACUCGAAAAGUUACAUCCGAAUUUAACAAGGGGACAAUUAUCGUGGUCGAGAUUAAAACCAACCGGGACAAAAGCCCCUUUUUCUACUAGUGCGUGCAUGAGAGCACGAGGCGUACGGGGAGGCGCCGAGGGUUGGGUGUGGCUAGCGCCGACGCUAAACCUAGCGCAUCAUCGUGGUCGAGAUGGGGUCUCGUGGUUUUGAUAGGCUUAGCCCAUGUGCGACUGUGCGGACGAUGUUGACGAAAGGAGGAUGAAACGAUGGGCGAAGCGAAGAGGCCCGGUCAGUCGGCAGCAAAAGACUUUACUAGACUUGGAGUCAUUUUGUGGGCGAUUUGCAGCUCUAGGAGAAAAUUGAUUCAUGAAGGGGUGCACCAAACACCAUACGCAACAAACGCAUUCGUGGUCUCUUUCAUCAACGAUCUCCAGGUGCUAGCGAAGCCACAUGGGCAGCCUAGGGCGGCGCAGCCCCGCCCGGGUAAGUGGGUGCCACCCCAAGAAGGCACAUGCAAGAUUAAUGUCGAUGUUGCGCUCAUGAGGACCAGGCCGGUUGGUGCAGUCACAGCGGUGUGCAGAAAUAGGCAUGGGGUUUUUUUGGGCGCGUCCAUGAUUACCUUUCAUGGUCUUGCUGAUCCUACGACGCUAGACGGCAGUACGGGAAUCACUCGCAUUGACAAAUGAUCUUUAUGAGCGCAGGAUUUCAAUGGCCUCAGACUGCAAAGUGGUCAUAUUGAUGAUAUCGGGCAGAUGAGUGCAGCGGCAUACGGAGCUAUCAUUAGGGAGAUUGUAGAUCGAUCUAAGCAUUUUGUUACCUGCUUUUUUAGUCAUGAGUUUAGGGGCUCGAAUGUCGAGGCUCAUAAUUUAGCGAAGCAUGCUCUCUCACUUGGAGUUGGCCACCAUGUGUGGUUAGGCAACCCAGGAGAUCUAUCUUUCGUCCCUGUAAACAUUGUGACGAGUUAAAUAAAAGCUUCGCGAGAUUGCCUAAAAAAAGUCGGCAGCAAAAGAAACAUUACUCUUUUUUUAAGUAGUAGAGAUUUAUUUGGCAUUUAUUUGGAUAAGGAUGACCUUUAUCCAAAGAAAAACGAAACAUGUCAUUUAAUGCCAUUAAUUGGAUAAGGAUAGCCUUGAUGCCAACAUAUCUAUAUAAGGCGACUGAAUGGUACCCCUCAUGACCACAAAAACAUUCUGGUUGAUAGAUUCUUACAUAACUAUAUAUUUUCUAUCGUUCUGUGUUCUUAGGCAAUGGCGAACAAUGGCAUCUUCCAAGUGAUCAUUGUUUUUCUCAUGGCGCAAGUCUGCUUGCUCAUGAUGAUGGCAGCACCGGUAGCACAUGCAGCUGCUAGACCGGUGGGGUACAAUCCAGUGUGCUGCCCUAGGAACAUCUAUUGUUGCGGGUUCGGUAGCGGAUUGGCCAAUUCACCCGCACCAUCCAUUGUAUCUUGAUGCGUGGUUUAUUCUCCCCCAAGUAGUAAGCUUGACAUAUAAAUGAUAUAUGUGAUUCAUGUACCUAAUCCUGAAUAUUUGUGAUGCUACUUUCAAAAAGUUAUUGUACUGGUUACUUACAUAAUAAAAUGGGAGGAGAUUAUUAUAUAUCUUAUUCGGAGUAUACCGCAAAGAGACUUAAUGUUAUGUUUGCUUUAGUCCUUUUGAAAACUAGAUUAUUUUGCCGCAUUGAUUUACGACAAAAAGAGAGUGGCUAGGCAUACAGGUUGACCUCAUGAGUCUGCA